AAUGGCCUCUAUUGAUUUCUUCCUUGGCAUUUUUGCUCAUAGCCACUACUGCCACGGCUGCUUAUGAGCCUUACAUUUAUGCCUCACCACCUCCACCGCCUUACUAUUACAAGUCACCACCACCACCAGAAUAUUCUCCACCACCACCUUACUACUACAAAUCUCCACCACCACCUGAGAAGUCUCCCCCGCCACCUUACUACUAUCACUCACCACCUCCUCCUAAGAAGUCACCCCCACCACCUUACUACUAUAAGUCUCCGCCUCCGCCGAAGGAAUAUCCCCCACCACCUUACUACUACAAGUCUCCGCCACCACCGGAGAAGUAUACCCCGCCACCUUACUACUACAAGUCUCCGCCCCCACCCGAGAAGUAUACCCCGCCACCUUACUACUACAAGUCACCGCCCCCUCCGCCACCUUACUACUACAAGUCUCCGCCACCACCGGAGAAGUAUACCCCGCCACCUUACUACUACAAGUCACCGCCCCCACCCGAGAAGUAUACCCCGCCACCUUACUACUACAAGUCACCGCCCCCACCGGAGAAGUAUCCCCCUCCACCUUACUACUACAAGUCACCGCCCCCACCGGAGAAGUAUCCCCCUCCACCUUACUACUACAAGUCACCGCCCCCACCAGAGAAGUAUCCCCCUCCACCUUACUACUACAAGUCACCGCCCCCACCAGAGAAGUAUCCCCCUCCACCUUACUACUACAAGUCACCGCCCCCACCAGAGAAGUAUCCCCCUCCACCUUACUACUACAAGUCACCACCGCCACCAGAGAAGUAUCCCCCUCCACCUUACUACUACAAGUCACCACCGCCACCACCUUAUUAUUAGAAGUCUCCUCCACCUCCCUCUCCAUCUCCACCCCCUCCAUACUACUAUAAGUCGCCACCUCCUCCUUCUCCAUCUCCACCCCCACCGUACUAAUAUUUGUCUCCUCCACCUCCUAAAGGCUACUAAAUAUACAAUGUGUUGUUGAAACAUGUGUGAUCUUAGUUAUGUAAGAAUAAGUGUAAGUUUGUAAGCUUGUUCUAUUUCUGAUUUUUUCUUCAUCAAUGUUUUUGUGAAUAAAAGGAUUUGAGAUGGUAAAUCCAUUUGUAAGAAGUGCUGCUCAUUUUCGUUGUAAAAGUUAUUGUAAGCAAUAAGAUCUCGUAAUUUAAGGUUUCAUAAAAGUUAUAUGUGCAACUACUUUCAAUUUCCAUUGUCAUCUUUUUCACAACCACCAAGCGUAUUACUUCUUUAUAGAUGGAAAAUGCAGAGGCAAGCUUAUUAUUCUUUAAUAUUACCAUUCUUGAUGUGUUUGUUUAUUUAGUUGAAACGGUAAAUAAAAUGUACAUGAAGUACCGCACUGCAUCCAAAUUAAAUUUAGGAUAUAGACUAAGUUCAUGUAAUCUCAAUUUUGUCACAUUAUUAUUGGAUUUUAUAUAAAUAGCUAAUUUCUUUUCCUUCCGAAUUUCGACGGGAAGGAGAAUUUAUUAAGUAAUACAGAGAAGUGCACCUAGUAAUAUUUAAAGAGGAUAUAAUGAGCACUACCUUUCAUGAUGAUAAUGCCCAUGAACAAGUAAGAGAAGCUUAGAGUUUUAUUCCUACUCAAAUCAGAUUCUACGGAGGAGUUAUAUUCGUACCUUUUUAACGCUUUACAUAUAUGAUUAGAGAAUUAUGAGGACAUAAAUUCCGCUAUAAAUUUGUUGUUAUAUUUAGAGGAGUUUACAUGACUGGAGAAUUAUACACACAUAAAUUCUUUGAUGUCCAUUUUAAAUUAUAUUCCAAAAGGGAAAAUGUUUUCCGUUUAUGGUUUAAAAAUAGAAGCUUUGUGCUUUUUUUUUUUAAAAAAAAAAUCUAGAUCAUUCAGUGAAUAUUGGUUGUUAAUUUACUGCCAAAAUACUCGUAAGUUUAUUUAUUUAUUCUGUAAUGCAACUUUUGGGAUACAUAAUAAUCAUAUAAAUAAAUAAACUAUAUUGUAAUAUAUUUCAAUUAACUUGUUGACUUGUAUGAAAAGAGCGUGUCAUUACCUUUUAUGCCUAAUUAAAUUUACAAUUUUAGUCCCUAUGAUUUUUUUUUUUCAAUCAUUAAUUCCAUGCUCUUAUGAGUAGAAACAUAUGUAGAAUUUUGAUAUUUAAGAGUUGGUGGAGUUUCUAUGAUAUUUUGUACCUGUGGCUCAUCAUUUCACCACGGUGGGCAACUUCAUGGAUUUUGUCCUCUAAAAGGUAGCACUCUAACUUAAGAUGCCAUGUUCUUCAGAAAGUUAUCAAAUAGUUGAAUAGUUAUAUUAAGUUUAUUAUUGAUAAGAAUCUUAAUUAACUAGAUAUAGUACUUAAUAUACAAUGUUUUAUUCGUGAAAUUGUUGAACUAUUUUCACCAUUUUUCAAUGUCAUUUUCAGGAUGAGCUAUCAUUUGGAAUUUCAUUUUCUAUGGACUCUCACUUUUUCCCAUAACCACUUUUUUUGUUUAUAUUUUAUCAGAUUAAUUAUUCCUUGUUUGUUUAGAAGGAGCUUUCAUAUUGGAGAAAUACAUUACGUAUCUUAUAAAUCUAUGCAUCUUUACCUUUUUUUUUCCCAAAAUAAUUAAAAAAAAAAAAACCUCACCAAUGACCAAUCCAAUGUUCAAUAUGAAAAGUUUGAAGAAAAAAUGGUGUGAACUAAAACAAAAUAUAUAAUUUUGUCACAAUCCAAGAAAAAAAAAUCAUUAUAAAAUAUAAUUAAGAGGUAGCCACCUUCUCUACAUCAAUUUGUCACAAAACUAUAUCAGUGAGAUAUAUGCAAGACUCACCCAUUGGUACAAAAGAAAAUGAUCAAAGUGGAAGCAAAAAUGUGGUGAUAAUUUAGAUGAUCUCCACUCCCCAUUUAGUUUCAUUUAUUAAGUUAAUGUUUAAUCAAGAGUCUAAUUACUCAUUUUAUUAUGUUAUUAAUCAACUGCCGCCCCUUCCACUGGUUCAUUAUUUUUUAUGGAAUACAAAAAACAGACAAUAAUAUUCUUUGACAUAGCUAGGAAUAUAGCCCACUUGCAAGAGACUUACAUUCCAUCGCUCCCUAAUUUCCCGUGUAACAUCUUAUCUUGCAUCACAUCAGAGACGUGUUCGUUUGCACAGCCAUUUCGUGAAUAUAAAAUUGCUGCCGAAUAAGCAUCUAAUCAAAAGAAUUUGUCAACGGUAUAAAUUAAAAUAUAAAAAACGAGUAAAAGAAUUUGUCAAUAGGAUAUGGGAGGCCAUGGCUUCAAUCGGUUUGUGCAAUGGUCAAUGGCAUAUUUUUGCUCAUCGUCACCACUGAAUCCACUGAUCAUUUGUGCAUGUGAGUUGUUUUUGAGCAUUUAUUUUUCCCUUUAGAAGCAUAAGGAUAAGGCUAGUCUUCUUUUUGGGAGGACUUAUUGCUUCCAUUCGUUAAAAUUGGGCAUGUAAAAUGUCAAGAAAAAAUGGCCUAAGUGGCUAGCUAGAUGAUAUAAUGGAUGGUUACUACUCAAACCUAGCAAUAAAUGAAUGUCCGACAAGCAUUCAAAUGAAUGAAUAAAACCAAUCAGAUUAGAAUAUCUAUUUAUGAUAGAUUAAUGAAAAUACGAUUCAAAUAUAAGGUAAAUAAUCUCUCCAUUAAUUUUUUAUUGUUUCAGGCAGGGUUGCCAAGCCUCUGUCCGGGCUUCUAUAAGCUCAAUUCCAGCUCUCCUAUAUGAUUGAAUUAGAUCGGGCUAGGCCCUCGGACUUUUUAAUUAAAAAAGGUCGAUUUUUAAGUUUAUGAAGUUAAUACACUCACGCUUAUACUUUAAUAUUUUUAUUAUUUGGCUUUUAGAAUAUUAACGUGUAAAUUACUUUUUUUUUUCAAGUGAAAUAAUUAUCACAUUUUGUCUUCUUAGUAUAUAUUUCUACCUUUUUGUUCCUAUAGAUAUUUCCUCAUUUCAUCUUUGGUACUAGAGCGUAGUAAAAAAACACAUGAUUAAAGAUAAAUAUGACAUUUUAACUAACAAAUUAAUUAUUUGUAUCUAAGAUCUAGCUCUAGUGGUAAAGAUCAAUUUUCAUCGAAUUCAAGUCUUGGGUUUGAAUUUAAAUGCAUGGGUAAGUUAAUAAUAAUAAUAAUAAUAAUAAUAAUAAUAAUAAUAUCAAAUUAACUAGCUUUAAUUUGCAAAGGUCUUAGAUAAUCAAUUCGCUUGUAAAAAUAUCAAAAUUUUUUUUAAUCAAUGAAAUUUUCAAGUCUCUAGUUUUAGCACAAGGAAUGAAUUAAAAGAGUAAUGAUAAAUAUUUUACAAUUUUAUCCCAAAUGAUAAGACAUGUCAUGUGUCAUGUAUUAAGUGAUUGAUGAUUUUUUUAUAAAUUUUAAGUGGAUGAAAUAUAUUAUUUCACCAACCAGUAAAUGAAUAUGACAUCAUUUGAGAAGGAAUUUUAUGGUACAAUUUUGAAAUAUUUAUCACUACUCAAUUAUAUACAGUAUAAAAAAUCUAAUAGGGACCAAAAAUAUAAAAACAGAUUAAGAAUAAAAAAUAUAAAAGUCAAUUCCUAAUUAGGAGAAUGAAAGUGUCAUUCCCCUGUAAUCAUUUCACUAGAUAUUAUGUAAAUAUAUUAAGGCAAAAUUUUAAUAGAAAAUUGGUACCCAAACCUAACGUCUUUGACAUUGCUGCCAAGAUCACUCACAACUUACAAGAAUAAAAAAUUGGUAUUAAAUUUAUUAAUGUUCUCAAGGAAUUUUUAGCUUGACUUUACAUUUCUCGGACCCAUUUGUCACAUAACACCUUAGUUCGUUAACAAAGCCCUUUCAUGAGAAUAUUAGAACUGCUGUCGAAUAAGCAUCUUAACAACCCCUUUUUGACAUACAUGCAUGCCUCCUUCUGUGAACAAUUUGAAACAUAAAAUAAAAUUUCAAUCGAUGUGAGGGUUGGAGUAUUUUAUAGCUUUUGACCUCAUUAAUUAUGAGUAAGAGAAUAUUUCUACGUCACUAAUGGUUAAAAUGAUCACUAUAUAAAGGGUAGCAAAGUAUGUUUAACAUCAAGUCAGAAAACACAAUUUUUAGGAAAUGGGAACUCGGGGACAAGCGAGGCAAUGGCCUCAAUUGUUUUGUGCUAUAGCAUUUUUGCUUAUAACCACCACCACCAAGGCAUCGGCUGAUGAUUAUGCCUCAGCACCACCACCAAAGUAUUCUUCUCCACCUCCUUACUACUACAAAUCACCACCUCCUCCUUCUCCCUCUCCACCUCCACCAUAUUAUUACAAGUCUCCCCCACCACCAUCUCCGUCUCCUCCACCACCUUACUACUACAAGUCACCACCACCACCAGUGCAUUCUCCCCCGCCACCUUAUUACUACAAAUCUCCGCCGCCACCAAAGUAUUCUCCCCCGCCACCUUAUUACUACAAAUCUCCACCGCCACCAAAGCAUUCUCCCCCACCACCUUACUACUACAAAUCUCCACCGCCACCAAAGCAUUCUCCUCCACCACCUUACUACUACAAAUCUCCACCACCACCAAAACACACCUUACUAUUAUAAAUCACCACCUCCACCAAUGAAGUCUCCACCUCCGCCAUAUUACUAUAAAUCACCACCACCACCAAAGCAUUCUCCCCCGCCACCUUACUACUACAAGUCUCCACCACCACCAAAACAUUCCCCACCACCACCUUACUACUAUAAGUCACCGCCUCCACCAGUAAAGUCUCCACCACCGCCCCCAAAGCAUUCUCCCCCACCACCUUAUUAUUACAAAUCACCACCUCCACCAGUGAAGUCUCCACCUCCGCCACCUUACUAUAAAUCACCACCACCUCCAAAGCAUUCUCCCCCUCCACCUUACUAUUAUAAAUCACCACCUCCACCAAUGAAGUCUCCACCUCCGCCAUAUUACUAUAAAUCACCACCACCACCAAAGCAUUCUCCCCCGCCACCUUACUAUUAUAGAUCUCCACCACCACCAAAGCAUUCUCCCCCACCACCUUACUACUAUAAGUCACCACCUCCACCGAAGAAAUCCCCACCUCCACCAUAUUAUUAUAAGUCGCCACCACCACCAAAGCAUUCUCCCCCACCUCCUUAUUAUUACAAAUCUCCACCACCACCAAAGUAUUCUCCACCACCACCUUACUAAUACAAAUCUCCACCAACGCUAUCUCUAUCCCCACCUCCAUCUUACAUUUAUAAAUUCCCACCUCCACCAUCUAUAUCACCUCCACCACCACCUCCAUCACUGUCACUAUUGCCUCGCUACUGUUCCAAGUCAUCACCACCUCCUGAAGACUACUAAGUUCAAUGUUCCGUCUUCAAACAAAUUUAAAAUUCAAUAAGAAUAAAUUUGUUCCUUCAGUUGCCUUUUUCAUGAAUUUUUAUGUUAAUGUUUUUACGAAUAAUUUUUAAGAAGCGUUCGGUGUAUCAUUGUCAUGUGCAAUAAAAAUUUUCUAACUUAAUGUACCCAAAAAAAAAUGUUCCACAAGAAAUAUUCUAUUGUUUUAUCACAAAUGUGUUGUGGCACAUGUAAUGCGCCUAGAUAAAGUAAUAUUAUGUCUUGAUGAACAAUCAUGCACAACAAUGAUCAUGUACAUAGUUCUUCCAAUGUCAUGAUAAUGUCCAUGCACAUAAUAACAAACUUCUUCCUUGUAAUAUCAAAGAAAAUGAAUAUACAAGCCUCUUAUUCUCUAAUCAUUCACUCAAACAACAUUGUUUUAAUUUAGGUUUUGAUCAAUCUUAAUGCUCAUAAAUGCUAACUACAAAUCAUAUACAAGAUCAACAAAAACCAUAUUUUAAAUGAAUUAGAAAAACAAACAUUAGACUUAACCAAGUAGUUAACCUUUAUUAUUCUCCUAGGUAGAUUACAAGCUAUCACUGAAAAAAAAAAUCAUCUAAAAUGGUGAACAAAUGCGCUCUAAAUCAGUUGCAUUCAUUUGUUCAGCUAAGCAAUAAAAUAACCCUUUUCCAUUUUAACUUAUAUACUUUGGCAUGGUAACUUUAAAUAACACCCUCAACUUGACAAAUUUUAAUAACCAAAGCGAUCAAUAACUGUAAAUCUUGACAAAAUUUUUUACUUUAGUUAAAGCCAUAAACAUAGUAUUAAAUAAAAUGAAAAAAAAGGCCAUAAACAUAGUGUUGAAAUACCUUUAUACUUGUGAACUAACUUUUGAUGUUGAUUAAGCUCAUGUACCCUCAACUUUUGUAUUAUGAAUAUGCUUAUGCCCUAUCUUAGGUCUCCUCUAUGAACUCCUCCAUGAACCACUUUUUUUUUUUUUUUUAAAAAAUAAAUUCAUUAUGAUACUAAGGUAUAAGCAGAAGUAAAAUUCCUUUAAUAUUAUUGUAAUCAGGAUGUGGCUACCUAGGUGAUACAUGAAUUGGUUAUUUGUACAUUUUACUACAUUUUUUUGAGUUUGCUUGCUAUUUUUCUCUUUGUUCCAAUAAUUCCCACACGAGGAUAAUCUCAUUUUAACAAAGAAAGAUACUACUGAAAUACAACAAAACAUAAAUUCUAAUAUACUAGAAAAUUUUUUUUUCUUUGCCUUUUCAUAUCUUAGAGUUAUGUUUUUAUCCUCUUGUAGUGGCAUAUAUGCAUUUUAACUAGAAUAUUCUUAUUUGAGAAUUAUUAAUAAGAGAGUGGUAGACAAAUGAUACAAAACUAUGCUGCUUCACGAUUAACAACACAUUCAAUCGAGUAACGAUAGAGAGUCAAUUCUAACACCACGAGAAAGCAAACAAAAGUUGAAAUAUUUUAGCGAAUACCUUUUAAAGUUUGAAUUAAUAAUAAAAUUGUCCCAAAAAACUGCCUUAAUGGAAUUAAUGUGGAGAUUUAGUGGUAGGGUGCAUCAAUAUCAUUUUCCAGAAAAAAAAUAGUCAAAAUAUGAAAGGUUUGUUCUGCAGGUGGUUGAUAUUGCUGUACAUUAAUAUCAAUGAUACGUACCAAAUUCUAUUAUAAAAUUCAUUAAUGUAUAAGUAGAAUAUUUAAUAAAUUAAUUCCGGGUAAAACGUCGGUGAUAUGAACAGUAGCGAAGCUGCAACCGGGUUAGCUUUUUUUUUUAAUAAAAAAAUAGUUAAUUAUAAUUUAUGAAUUUGCCUUUAUUAAUACUUAAAAAAAUAAAAAUAAAUUUAAUAGCCCACCCCGAUGCUAGCUAAGCUAAAAAUAAAAUAUAUCGAAUAAAUGGUGAAGAGAAAGCUGUAAUAAUUAUCGUAAUUACAGUGAGAAGCUGUAAUUUUCUUGAACACGCUUUGACGUACGAUUAGCAAAAAAGUCGUCUGUCUAUAAGCAAUUGGCCGUACAGCAUCUUAACUAUUCCGUUGACAUUGUAAUUAAUUAAUUGAUGACUUUUCUAUAAUUUCUUUGAACCAAAUGCAGAUAUUUAGUGGGCAACCCGCAACCCUUGCUUGGCAAAAUAUAGGAAAGAAAAACUUGAAAUUUAUAAAUGUUACAUUUUGUUUGGAUGAAUAAUUUUGAGAUAAUGUUUCAGUUUUAGAUUUUGUUACCGAUACCUAAUUAUAAUAAUAAAAAAUAUUGCAUCAUUUUUUUACCAACAGUUACAAUACAUUUUAUUUUUUUUUCUUCUCAAUAUUUAAACUCGAAUAAUCAGUUAAAAGUUGCUCGAGAAUGUUUAAAAGCCAUUUAAGUAUACCACGUCAUUCAUGUUUUGCAAUCAUUCAAUUGUUAAUAAGUUUCCCAUGUGCUGAAAAUAAAUAAAAAUGCACGUGCAUAUGUCAUAUUGUCUCCGAAACCUCACAGCGGAAUGAGUGUAGUACUUGCAAUGCAUGUACUUUAGACUUUGUAUUUCUCUUAUUUAAAUGAUCAAUAAUUUUUCUUUGUCCUUUAAUUAGACGUCAACAGUCGAAGUUGUGGGCAAGUAGUAGGCUAUAUAUAAUAAUUUCCUGGAGAUCUUCCGUCUUCUAAGACAUUGCAAAUGCCAAACGUGAUAACUAUUUUGAUAAUUCAAAUACUACAUAAAAUAUAUGAAGUGUCAGACAAGUCAAAAGAAUUGAUUCUUCACAAUUGUAUAUACGUAUACACACACUUUGCCCAAAUCCCAUUGUAUCCAGGCUGUAAUUUUUAUAUUAAACGAACAUAUUUUAUUUUAUGUCAGCAAUAUUGAUGCAGGCUGGUGGAACAACAGCUUCAGGAUGGUCAACUACCCUUCGGAUCAUUGCAAGUGGGAUGGCAUCACUUGCAAUUCAGAUGGAACCAUAAUCGGGCUAAAAUUAUCAGGGUAUGAUGUUGACUUCAAAAGGUAGUCUUCGUAAAAUUAUCAUGGUAUAAUAUACGUAUUUAUUUUCGCAUACAUAAAUAAAUAACAAAAUUGUAAUUAAUUGGAUACAACUUCAGCUUUUGGACUGGUUUGUGAAAAUCGGAAAAAUUUAAAAAUGCUCCUCUUGAACAAUCAAAAUCUACUUUAUACGUGAACAAAGGGGAUGAUUCGUAAAGAUAAUUCAUCAAUGUUUGAUUACUUUCAGAAAGAUAGACUUCAUUUGAUCUCGUCCCAAAGCAUAAUUUCACUUUGAAUUUGAAAAAGAAUAAUGAAGUUCAUACGAUGCUGUUGUGACCUUUUUUUUUUGUUUUCUUUUUUUCUCGACGUUGUUUUGUGAAUCAUAAGGGUUAAUUUAGUACGGUGGGUUCGCUUGUAUGAAGCGUACUUAUUGUACCAUUCUGUUGCAAGUAAUGAAAAAACGCUAUAAUUUUUUUUAGGUUUCUACAAGUAUUAUGUUAUCUUAUAUCUAACUGUGCAUCUCUAUUCUUUGCUCUCAGUUCAGGUUCUCUAAAAGUAUAUUAAUUAUGAAAAGCAUUAAAGGUUCCGAAACUCUAUUUUGCGGGGAAAAAGAACCUCCAUUUUUGGUUUUUUAUUAUCAUAAGAGGUUUUACUAUGCUCGUAAUAACUUAAUCGAAAUUAAACAUAUCACUGGUCUACAUUUUUUUAUCAGAUUUUGUGCCUUGCUAAUUAAGAUGAGUAUCACCAUCAAAUCAACAAGCUUAUACCUUCAAAGAAAAAUAGACUAUAAGUCGGGAGAAAGAAGAAGAAAAAAAAAAAGAAGCUUCGCAAUUUAUGCUGUUGGUUGUGAGUUCAUGAAACAAAUAAAAAUAUGAAAUCAAACAUUUAUUCAAAAUUUAAAAUUAAAAAAAAAACUCUAUAUCUACAGUAAUCUGUUCAAACCACAUAGGUGGAGCAAUAUAGUUCCAAGACGUGGUUUUAAAACAUGUCUUUGUGAUAAACAAUAUCGUGAUACUUGCGCCAAUUCCCAUGGCAAUAAUUGCCUACAUUUAUCCAAGAUCCAUGGCCAGGUUUAGAAUGUGCUAGUCUUCUUUCACUUUCAUAAAUAACCACUACUAGGUAAUCAGAGUGUCGGUCUAAAUUUUUCGGAGAUACAACGUCAAUGUAUGUGCCCGGAGUUGAAGCUGAACGCGCUUAAAUAUGUUCGGAAUUUGAAGUUGAACGCCUGGAAAAGGAUGCAGACUGAAGAAAGGCAAUUCCUGGAAUUUGUCUUUGGUAAGAAAACAUGGCUGCUUAUGCCCUUUGAAAGACUGAAGAAACCAAAUUGAUUAUUGCUGCAAUUUAGUGGCACAUGUACGAGGAGAGGCAUCCAAUUAAACUUGUUCAUAAAAGUAUUGCUGAUAGUUGCAGCCGAUCUCCAGACAAAAUCUUCGUACAAUUUUAUCCGCCAGCAAUUUCGACCAAGAGACCUUGAUGCAGUUCAGACCAAUUCGCCAGUUGAACAUCAAGUUGCCUAGGCAUUGAGAAUUAGGUCAAUAAAAUAUAUCCUGGGUCACUUACAAAAGAUGAAAUAAGUGAAAAAGGAAAGAUGACGUAAUAAUUUCUUAGUGAGAAAAGUUAGUUAAUUUUCAAUUGCUUUCAUUGUUUUGAUAAUUUUCAAAACAUUUCAUUGCUUUCAUUGCGUAAUUAAGCUUUUUUUGCUUCAAAAUAUUUCAAAUUGUGUUUGUGGGACUACUAAACAAUUAGGACACAACAAUGUUUCGUUCUGGUCUUUUUUUUUUUUUACUUUUUAAUUUAUUUUAAGAAAAUCUUUGUCCAUCUCUCAUCCUGCCAAAUAUAUCGUCUCGUCUUGUUAUCUAGAAUAAUUCUUCAUGCAUCAAUGAGUUUUGACAAAUUUUUAUCUUUUAAAAGUUGUUGUAAUUCAAUAUAGCUAAAAUCUUAAAUACAUACAUGUAGAAUAAUCUAAGCAUUACCUUAUUCGGGGAAAAUCGAGAUUAGAAUCAAUCAAAGCAAUGAUACCUUAUAUCAGUGAGAUAUAUGCAAGACUCACCCAUUGGUACAAACGAAAAUGAUCAAAGUGGAAGCAAAAAUGGAAUCCUCAAAUGUGGUGAUAAUUUAGAUGAUCUCCACUCUCCAUUUGGUUUCAUCUAAUAAGUUAGUGUUUAAUUAAGAAUUUAUUACUCAUUUUAUUAUGAUAUUAAUCAACUGCCGUCCCUUCCAUUAGUUCAUUAUUUUUGAUGGAUUACGAAAGACAGACAAUAAAAUUCUCCAAAACUGUUGUAAGAGUAAUAUUGUAAAAGUUACAUAAAAGUGAGGAUAAGGAUAAUUUGAGGUAUGUUUCAAGAUAUAAAGAUUAAAUAAAUUCUUAACUCAAAAUAAAGAGAUUUAUUUUUUUUAAAAGAGAUUAAAAUGUCAUGAUAAAUAAAUAAGGGAGGUGAUAUUCUGGGCUCUCCCCUGGCUUUUUGUGAUAACAUCUUAAAUUAAUAUAAAUAGUUAAAAUUUUAUUAAAAAAUAAAUUUUUACCUAAUACUCUUUGACAUAGCUAGGAAUAUAGCCUACUUGCAAGAGACUUACAUUCGUUUGCACAGCCCUUUCGUGAAUAUAAAAUUGCUGCCGAAUAAGCAUCUAAUUAAAAGAAUUAGGAAUUUGUCAACGGUAUAAAUUAAAUAUAAAAAACGAGUAAAAGAAUUUGUCAAUGGGAUAUGGGGGGCUAUGGCUUCAAUCGUAGGGGUGGGCAAAUUUCGGAUUCCGAAUCCGAUCGGAUUUUGGAUAAUUCGGAUUGGGAAAAAAUCCAUCCAAAUUCAAUCCGAACCUUAAAUCUGUUUCGAUCCGAGAUAAUUUCGGAUCCGGAUCAGAUUCGGAUGAGUUUGAAUUUCAGAUUAUAUUUCAAGUUCGGAUUAUAUUUUGGAUUCGGAUUAAUUCGGGUUUGGGACCUUUUUACAAUUCUCACAAAAAAAUUAUGAAAUUUAUAAUUAAUGAAAAAUAAUUUCCAUGAUGCUGUCAACAAUAAUUAAUAUUUUGAAAACGCAAUAACGGAAUUUUCAAAAAAAAGAAAAAGAAAACACAGGAACGGUAUUGAUAAAGAAUUUUCAUUAGCCAUUUGUGACUGCUAACUAAAUUGUAACAACUAAGUAAAAUAUAAUAAUAAUAAUAAUACAUGCGGGUAUAUUCAAAGCAACUAAAUCACUUGCGAAUGAUCAAGACAAAUCGUAUAAACAAGUAAAAAAUUCAAAGUUUCAAACGCAAAUCGUCGGGGGCUAUCGGAUUAGUGGAUUACCAUUAACAAGACGAGGUUUAUGUCGGUGUGAGUUGCUCAUUGUGGGUCUGGAUGAUGUCGCGAUGGCUGGGUUUGUGCCAACUAUGAUCCAGCUAGGUUUGUAUCGAAUCUGAUCUCGUCUAGAGGACGUUGUGGCGGCUGGGUUUGUGUCGAAUUCAUUCGGUUUGUCUCGUCGGCGACAUGGUUGUUGGUUGGCUCGUCAGGUUGUGGCCCGUGGGUGUGGUGUGGUUUGUUGUCGUGGAUUGACUUAUCAAAGGGCGUGCGACGAUGGUGUGUGGUUUUGUCAUUUGGAAAUUGAGUUUUGAUUUUUCAUUUUCGUUUUUUUAAAAAAAAAUUUUUGGAUUAUUCGGAUUGAACUGAAUCUUAUCCGAUCCAAAUCAAAUCCGAUCAGAUUACAAAAAUUUCAUCCGAUUGGAUUUUAAAGCAAAUCCAAAUCCGAUCCGAACAAAUUCGGAUCGAAUUGGAUUAGAUCGGAUCUAUCCGAAUCUGAUCCAAUGUCCACCCCUAUUCAAUCGGUUUCUGCAAUGGUUAAUGGCAUAUUUUUGCUCAUCGUCACCACUGCAUUCACUAAUCAUUUGUGCACGUGAAUUGUUUUUGAGCAUUUAUUUUGCCUUCGUUAAAAUUGGGCAUGUAAAAAUUUCAUGAAAAAUGGCCAAAGUGGCUGGCUAGGUGAUAUAAUGGAUGGUUACAACUCAAACCUAGCAAUAAAUGAAUGUCCGACAAGCAUUCAAAUGAAUGUAUAAAACCAAUGAGAUUAGAAUAUCUAUUUAUAAUAGACUAAUUAAAAUACGAUUCAAAUAUAAGGUAAAUAGUCUCUCUAUUAAUUUUUUAUUGUUUCAGGUAGGGUUGUCGAGCCUUUGUCCGGGCUUCUGUAAGCCCAUUUCCAGCCCUCUUAUAUGAUUGGAUUAGAUCAGGCUCGGCCCACCAGGCCGGGCUAAAUCUUGAGCUCUUUUUAAAUAAAAAAAAGUUGAAUUUUAAGUUUUUGAAGUUAAUAUAUAUACACACACACUUGUACUUAAAUAAUUUAUAAAUUUUUUAAAAGCCAAAUAAUAAAAAUAUUGACAUGUAAAAGUACAAUUUUUUUUUCAUGUGGAAUAAUUAUCUCAUUUCUACCUUUUUGGUCCUAUAGAUAUUUCCUCAUUUCAUCUUUGGUAUUAGAGCAGUAGUAAAAAGACACACGAUUAAAGAUAAAUGUGACAUUUUUACCGACAAAUUAACUAUUUGGAUCUAAGAUCUAGCUCUAAUGGUAAAGACUAGUUUUUAUAGAAUUCAGGUCCUGGGUUUGACUUCCAAUUGCGUGGGUAAGCUAAUAAUAAUAAUAAUAAUAAUAACAAAUUAACUAGUUUUAAUUUGCAAAGGUCUUAGAUAAUCAAUUCGUUUGUAAAAACAUCAAAUUUAUUUUCAGUAAUGAAAUUUUCAAGUCACUGGUUUUAGCACUAGGAAUGAAUUAAAUAGAGUAAUGAUAAACAUCUUAAAAUUUUAUCCCAAAUGAUAUGACAUGUAAUGUGUCAUUUAUUAAGUGGUUGGUGAUUUUUCAUAAAUUUUAAGUCGAUUAAUUAUAUUAUUUCACCAACCAAUAAAUGAACAUCACAUCAUUUGAGAAUGAAUUUUAAGGUAAAAUUUUAGAUAUAUAUCAUUACUCAAUUAUUUUUUAUAGUAUAAAAUCUAAUAGGGACCAAAAAUAUAAAAACCAAUUAAGAAAAAAAAAGUCAAUUCCUAAUUAGAAGAAUGAAAGUGUCAUUCUCCUAUAAUCAUUUCUCAAGUUUUUAUAUAAAUUUAUUAAUGCAAAAUUUUAAAAGAAAAUCGGUACCUAAAACUAACGCCUUUGACAAUGCUGCCAAUAUCACUCACAACUUACAAGAAUAAAGAAUUUGUAUUAAAUUUAUUAAUGUUCUCAAAGAAUUUUUAGUUUUGACUUUACAUUCUCAGACCCAUUUGUCACAUAACAUCUUAGCUGAUUAACAAAGCCCUUUCGUGAGAAUAUUAAAACUGCUCUCGAAUAAGCAUCUUAACAACCCCGUUUUUGACAUACAUGCAUGCCUCCUCAUGUCAGCAAAUUUGAAACAUAAAAGAUAAUUUCAAUCGAUGUGAGAGUUGGGAGUAUUUUAUAGCUUUUGACCUCAUUAAUUAUGAGUAAGAGAAUAUUUCUACGUCACUAAUGAUUAAAAUGAUCACUAUAUAUAUAAAGGGUAGCAAAGUAUGUUUAACAUCAAGUCAGAAAACACAAUUUUUAGGAAAUGGGAACUCGGGGACAGGCGAGGCAAUGGCCUCAAUUGUUUUGUGCUAUAGCAUUUUUGCUUAUAGCCACCACGACCAAGGCAUCGGCUGAUGAUUAUGCCUCAGCACCACCACCAAAGUAUUCUUCUCCACCUCUUUACUACUACAAAUCACCACCUCCUCCUUCUCCCUCUCCACCUCCACCAUAUUAUUACAAGUCUCCCCCACCACCAUCUCCGUCUCCUCCACCACCUUACUACUACACGUCACCACCGCCACCAGUGCAUUCUCCCCCGCCACCUUACUACUACAAGUCACCACCGCCACCAGUGCAUUCUCCUCCGCCACCUUACUACUACAAAUCUCCGCCGCCACCAAAGCAUUCUCCCCCGCCACCUUACUACUAUAAGUCACCACCACCACCAGUGCAUUCUCCCCCGCCACCUUAUUACUACAAAUCUCCGCCGCCACCAAAGUAUUCUCCCCCGCCACCUUAUUAUUACAAAUCUCCGCCGCCACCAAAGCAUUCUCCUCCACCACCUUACUACUACAAAUCUCCACCACCACCAAACCAUUCUCCCCCACCACCUUACUACUAUAAGUCACCACCACCACCAAAGCAUUCUCCCCCACCUCCUUAUUACUACAAAUCUCCACCACCACCAAUGUAUUCUCCACCACCACCUUACUAAUACAAAUCUCCGCCAUCGCCAUCUCUAUCCCCGCCUCCAUCUUACAUUUAUAAAUUCCCACAACCAUCAUCUAUACCACCUCCACCAUGACCUCUAUCACGGUCAUUAUUGCUUCCUUACUACUCCAAGUCACCGCCAACUCCUUUAUCUCCACCUUCACCGUAUUACUACAAUCACCCCCACCUCCCAAAGACUACUACGUUCAGUAUCCCUUCUUGAAACAAGUUUAAAAUUCAAUAAGAAUAAAUUUGUUCCUUUGGUUGCCUUUUUUUUUAAUUUUUUACUAAGUUCAAUGCCCCUUCUUGAAACAAGUUUCAAAUUCAAUAAGAAUAAAUUUGUUCCUUUGGUUGCCUUUUUAUGCUUUUUUGUGUCAAUUUUUUUACAAAUAAUUUGUAAGAAGCGUUCAGUGCAUCAUUUGUCAUGUGCAAUAAAAAUCUUCUAACUUAAUGUAUCCCCAAAAAAAAAAAAAAAAAUUGUUCUAUAAGAAUUAUUCUAUUGUUUUAUCACAAAUGUGUUGUGGCGCAUAUAAUGCUCCCGGAUGAAGUAAUAUUAUGUCUUGAUGAACAAUCAUGCACAACAAUGAUCAUGUACAUAGUUCUUCCAACGUCAUGAUAAUGUCCAUGCACAUAAUAACAAACUUCUUCCUCAUAAUAUCAAAGAAAAUGAAGAUACAAGCCUCUUAUUCUUUAGUCAUUCACUCAAACAACAUUGUUUUAACUUAGGUUUUGAUCAAUCUUAAUGCUAAUAAAUGCUAACUACAUAUCAAAUACAAGAUCAACAAAAACCAGAUUUUAAAUUAAUCAGAAAAACAAACACUAGACUUAACCAAGCAGUUAAGCUUUAUUAUUCUCCCUCAGUAAAGGAUACAAAGAUGUAGGUGGAUUACAAGCUAUCACUGAAAAAAUAGAAAUCAUCUAAAAUGGUGAACAAAUGAGCUCUAAAUCUGUUGCACUCAUUUGUUCAACUAAGCAAUGAAAUUACCCUUUUCUAUUUUAACUGCUUGUCUACUUUAACACGGCAACUUUAAAUAACAACCUUCAACUUGAAAAAUUUGAGUAACCAGAGCCAUCAAUAACGGUAAAUCUUGACAAAAAUUUUAGUUUAAUUAAGGCCAUAAACAUAAUAUUAAAUAAUAAAAAAAAAAGGCCAUAAACAUAGUGUUGAAAUACCAUUAUACCUGUGAACGAACUUUUGAUGGUUAUUAAACUCAUGAACCCUCAAUUUUUGUAUUAUGAAUAUGCUCAUGGCCUAUCUUAGGUCUCCUCUAUGAACCACUUUUUUUUUAAAAAAAUUAUAUUCAUUAUGAUACUAAGGUAUAAGUAGAAGUAAAGUUCUUUUAAUAUUUUUGUAACCAGGAUGUGACAACCUAGGUGAUACGUGAAUUGGUUAUUUGCACAUUUUGCUACAUUUUUGUGAGUUUGCUUGCUGGUUUUCUCUUUGUUCCAACAAUUCACACAUAGGAUAAUCUCAUUUUAACAAAGAAAGAUACCACUAAAAUACAACAAAACAUGAUCAAUUCUAAUAUACUAGAAAACUUUUUUUUUUUGUUUGCCUUUUCAUAUAUUAGAGUUGUGUUUUUGUUAUCUUAUAGUGGCAUCUAUGCAGUUUAACUAAAUGAGAAUAUUCUCAUUUGAGAAUUAUUAAUAAGAGAGUAGUAGACAAAUGAUACCCAACUAUACUGCUUCACUAUUAACAACACAUCCAAUUGAGUAAUGAUAGAGAGUCAAUUCUAUCACCAAAUGAAAGCAAACAAAAGCUGAAAUAUUUUAGUGAAUAUCUUUAAAGUUUGAAUUAAUAAUAAAAUUGUCCCAAAAAACUGUCUUAAUGGAACUAAUGUGCGAUUUAUUUGUAGGGUGAAUAAAUAUCAUUUUCCAGAAAAAAAUAUAGUCAAAAUAUGGAAAGCUUGUUCUGCAAGUGGUUGAUAUUGAUGUACAUUAAUGUCAAAGAUACAUUAAGUGCAUGCCAAAUUCUAUUAUAAAAUUUAUAAAUGUAUAAGUAGAAGAUUUUAUAAAUUAAUUCCUGUAAAACGUCGGUUAUAUGAAUAAAUGGUGAAGAGAAAGCUGUAAUAAUUAUCGUAAUUACAAUUUUCUUGAGCACGCUUUGACGUACGAUUAACAAAAAAGGUCUGUAUAUGAGCAAUCGGCCGUACAUUAUCUUAACCACCUGAUUUUGUUUUUUUUUUUUGUAAUUUCAAUCUUGGCCGUUGGAGUCAAUGAAAAGAUCGUUCAAAUGGUAGAGAUUUGUCUAUUUGAUUAUUAACAUUAUGCUUCCCGAUGGUUAUCAAAAACCCAAACAAAUUAAAGAGUUAAAACUUUUAGCACAUAAGUCCGAAUUGUUUCAAAUUUAUGUUGUUUAAUCACUAGUGAGUCUCAAAAAAUAAAUUUAUUUUAAUAUUAUAUAUUUUAUUUAAAAGAAUUAAUUUUUUAUAUCAUUUAUUUUAUUAAAAAUAAAUAUUAUUGAAUACUAAUUAUUCUCAUUUUAUUUAAUAUUAUUUAGUUAUAGGCUUAUUAUUAUAUUUAAUUGUUCAAAAAACUAAAAAAAUUUAAAUAAAAUAAAGUAAUUGAUGGUUGUCGAAGCCAACAAAAAUAAAUUCCUACUCUAAAUAAAUUGUGUAUAGUGAUUGAGCAGGGUCGUGUCCACAGAGAUCGGUAAUUAUUUAAAUCCUUUUGAAACGUAAAACGUAAAAUGGGGGAAUUGUUGACAAUAAUAAAAAUCAAAUUAAAAUAACAAGAAUGCAAAUUAAAGUUGUAAUUCAAAUUGGAGAAAGCUCUGGUUGAAGGAAUUAACUCAGCUUGAUUCGACUACUGAUCAUUGAUUCAAAUAUAGAUUAUUAUUACUCAUGAAUAGACCGGUUAUAGCUACUGAGACCCUCUAAUAGCCAAUCUCUCCUUAACUAGUCGAUAACCAAGGUACGACCGUUGGAUAUUCCCUAAUCAAUAGACAACCCUAGAUACGAUCAUAGAAUUUAAUCAAUUGACAGCCUGAAAAACCAGAAAGACCCAAAUCCUAAUCAACACAUAUGAUGAUUCAUUUAAAUUAAAUUGUUUAUUCUCACAACACAACUCUCUGCUAUGUCAUUUGUCACAAACAUUAAAUUCUUCAUACGAUGAAUCCCUUAAUUGACAAUAGAUUAAGUUGAUAAUUAAAUAGUGGCCAACUGCUGUACGGCCAAGGCGGAUGUACGGUACAGCAGAAUACAUUCCCUUACUCAACUAACAAAGUCUUUCAUUUAUCUGAAAACAGUUCCAAUUUUGAAAUAUCAGUGUCAAACUUUUCCCAGCAACAUAUUUAUCAUCUCUCCACAUUAUCCUUAACUGACAGCAGCUUGGAAGAUCUUCAAUCAGCAAGUUCAGAAAGCAAUGAACAAGUACCUUCUGUUUCUGCACACACAAAUAAUCUGCAUCAACAAGAGCAUUCUNNNNNNNNNNNNNNNNNNNNNNNNNNNNNNNNNNNNNNNNNNNNNNNNNNNNNNNNNNNNNNNNNNNNNNNNNNNNNNNNNNNNNNNNNNNNNNNNNNNNNNNNNNNNNNNNNNNNNNNNNNNNNNNNNNNNNNNNNNNNNNNNNNNNNNNNNNNNNNNNNNNNNNNNNNNNNNNNNNNNNNNNNNNNNNNNNNNNNNNNNNNNNNNNNNNNNNNNNNNNNNNNNNNNNNNNNNNNNNNNNNNNNCAGCAGAAUAAAAUAUUAUUAAUUUUAUUUUUUUUAUUUUGCUAUCUUACUAAUAAUUGGCAAUAAUAAUAAUAAUAAUAAUAAUAAUAAUAAUAUCUUUAAGGUUAAUGAUUUUAUUUUCUAAUUAAUAUGGAUAAUUUUAGAUUUUUAUAAUAUAUAUGACGAUAAACACGAAAUUAAGUAUAAAACUAAUUCUCAAAAUCCGAUUUUAAAAAUCUACUUUUUCCCUACUUUUUAAAAUCUUCAGUAAGAUAAGGUAAAUUUACCAAAAGUGAUUUCUGAAAAUAUUUAUCAAAUAAUAAAAUUAAUUUGUAACUUUUCAAAAUAACUUUUAAAUCUCGCAAAAAAAAAUCCUAAAUGAGUCCUAAGUACCUAACUUUAUGACGGUCAACAAAUAUGGUAUAAAAGUCUUCUACACCUACUGGGCAUUUGAAUGGGCCAUCUGUCUUAGCUCUUACCUCUUAAAAUGGGCUAAAAAUCAGAGAGUCAGUUAACUAAUAUGGGCUAAAAUUUGGGUACACCUCUCGGGCAUGUUAAUGGGCCAUCAUCUUUCACAGGUUUCUAAAGGGUAAAGGCUUUCUGUCUCCCAAGACUUCGACUAGUGAAAUUUAAUCGAUAUAAAUAUGUAGCUACCUAUAUUUAUAUAAGAAAAUGAUGUUCUCAUAAAUUUGCGUGCAAAGAUUUGCACAAAACGGUGCGUUUUGUGCAGCUUUAAAAAUGCUCUUCGUACGUGCACCAAACAACACACAAGCACGCCAAUUCACAACAUCAUUUUCCCACUCGCGUCUGCCUCCUUUCACUGCAACAAAAACCCAGCAGCUUCGUUCUCCACACAGCAAGAAGUCUCCUUAUUAAUAUAAUAUUAUAUAAUAAACUCAACAGAAGUCUCCUUUCUUCCUCCAUUUUUCCUCACGAGAUAGCUCCGAUCUCUCUCCCUCCGUCCUCCUUUCUUCCUUACAAGACAGCUCGGGUCUCUCUCUCUGGCCUCCUUUCUCCCUCACAAGAUAGUUCGGAUCUCUCUUUCCAGUCUCCACGCCGCUAAUAGUCCCAGUUCUAACCUCUCUCGCCCCGCAGCAACCAUAAGAUCUCUCUCUCACCCGUUUCAAUUCAUUGCUCUAAUUGAAAUCUUUAACUCGUUUAGGACAUUGUGCUGAAUUACCUAUGGAUGGUGGUGGUCUUAUGCUUGAGUGUUGUAAAUUAGAAUCAAAUUAUGCAAAACCUGAUGCCUUUGGGAAUCAUGUUUAUUUCAAGCUUCUAUGUUGUGAUUUGAUUAUUUGAUGAAGCACCUGGAAAAUGUAGUUUGCUCCCUCAAAUUAUUUUACUCUGUUGAAUAAAUUGUAUUUGCCAUUAUUUGAAAAGAAUUUAAAAAAAAAUUACAGCCCCGAAACAUUGAGCUUAUGCUAUAAUUUAAGCAUCUCCCUCAUUUAUAGCACAUUUAUUUUCAUAAUUUACGCGACAAUGGAGAACGGAGCCGAGACUGUUAGUGGCAUGGGGAUGAGAGAGAAAAAUAUGAGCUGUUUCGUGAGGUUUUGUUAGGUUUCGUGAGGGAGAAAGGAGAUGGGAGAGAGAGACGCUGAGUUUUGUUGCUCCCCUCACUUGUGUGUGUUUGGUGUUAAAACUUUGCAGCAAAGAGUGGCUUUUAUACUUUGCACAAAACGCACCGUUUUGUGCAAAGUUUUGUGCAAAGUGUUGUGAGAACAUCAUUUUCCAUUUAAAUAUUGGCUUUUCAUUUUUUUUCAAAUGAGAAUUGAUCCAGUGUGCACCAUCAUGCACAGCACAAGGUAUAUUUUCAUCAGUGGGCGCUAGGUCUCAUAGAUUGGUUCUCUCUAAUAAGAACAUGUCGUCUGUUGUCCCGCGCUAGAUCGAAUGCGUUUUCAAAUUUGUCAAAUUACAUUUUGAGCAUGUCAUAGUGGACGUUAUUACAAAGUCGUCAAUCUCAAUACAAUAAUCAUGACAUCAGGUUUUGAGAAUGUGAAUAAAACUCAUAUUUAUUUGAUAAAAUAUAAUUUAAAAAUAAAAAUAAAAUAUGUAUAUUCUAUAUAAUUUGAUAAUAAAAAAUAGAAAUCUCAUUUUUAUAUUGGGUUGGGAAUGAGGAUUCCUAUUUCUUGAACUGACUUUUAUAUCUCUCUAUUUUUUUCAUAUUUUUUAAAUUAUUCUCGUUUAAAUCACAAUUAAUUUGAUUACUGCUGUACGGCCAAGGCGGAUGCAAUAGAAUUGCACCUACAAAAGUAAAACAUAAGUAAAUCACUAUUAUUAAGUGCAAAACAUUGAUAUUAAGGGAAGUAAAUAAUGCAAAACUAGUGCAUAAAUUGCACUCUAACAGUAAUCAGUAAUCAGCAUUAAAAAUUAAAUUAAAUUAAAUUUUUUUGUUUUUAAUAUUAUUUAGUUAUAGACUUAUUAUUAUAUUUAUUCGUUCAUAAAACUAAAUAAUGUUAAAUCAAAUAAAAUAAUCAGGAAUGGUUCUUAAAAAAUUAAUAUUAUUUAUUUUAUUUUAUUUAAUAUUAUUUAGUCAUAGCCUAUUAUUCUGUUUAUUUUUUGAAAAUUAAAUAAUAUUAAAUAAAAAUCCCCCCUUUUCACAAUAGAUUCCUCCCUUCAAUACUCUCUCUCUCCUCUCUUUUAGAAUUCUAUUUAAAAUAAAAUACUAAUAUCUGAAAUAUUAAAUUCGUAAUUACAAAAAUAACCAAAAAUACAAAAUACGUUAAACUAAAAACUGCAGGUCCGCAGUUGACAGCACGCGCCCACGCCUUAUCAACAAAGUUCUUCUGACGCUCAUAAUUUCUCCAAGAGAACAAUCAUCCUUAAACAUCAUCUUAUAGCUCAAUUUUAUCAUCAAUCAAUAGAAUUACACCUACAAAAGUAAAACACAAGUAAAACAUUAUUAUUAAGUGCAAAACAUCGAUAUUAAGGGAAGUAAACAAUGCAAAACUAGUGCAUAAAUUGCACUCUAACAAAUUCCCCCACACCAAGAUGAUGCUUGUCCUCAAGCAUAUAACUCAAGACUAAUCUCAAAUCUCCACUAAAUUCUCAUCUCAACUCAUCCAAAAAUAAUUUUAAGCAAGCAUACCUCAAGAAAUUAAGUCGAUCAACAUUCGAGAGACAAGGAUUUUUAAAGCAUAGAAUCUCAUAAGAUAGAAUAAGAACAUUCAACCACCAAGAAGAUCCAUUCAAAAUUCAAGUGCAACAAGAUGUAAUAGCCCUCUCAAUAACUUCACUCCAUGCACUCAAAGUGUUUAGGGUAUCAUUUAUGCACUCAAAUCAAAUCAAAGAAUGCUAUUACCAUAAGCUUGCUCAUAUAUCACAUCUCAAUCCACAAAACAUGAAUAAAAUGAAAAAAUCUAAGGGUCUUAAAAGGGUUGUAAUGGGGUUAAAUAGGUUAAAUGAAAAAGAAAGGUCUAUGAAAGAAAAAGAGAUCAAAAUGAGAAGAAUGAACUCAUUGAAUGAACUUAUGAUAUCAAAAUGCUCCUUGGCCGUACAGCAGGAAUGGUUCUUAAAAAAUUAAUAUUAUUUAUUUUAUUUUAUUUAAUAUUAUUUAGUCAUAGCCUAUUAUUCUGUUUAUUUUUUGAAAAUUAAAUAAUAUUAAAUAAAAUAGAAUAGAAAAUGUGAGUCCUUAAAAAUAAAAAUUAUUUUUAAUAUUAUUUAUUUUAUUUAAAAGAAUAAAUUUUUUAAUAUUUUUAUUUUAUUAAAAAAUAUUAUUUAAUAUUAUCUAGUCAUAGGCUUAUUAUUAUAUUUCUUCUUUUAGAAAGUUAAAUAGUAUUAAAUGAAAUAAAAUUACAUUUUAGAAGGUCAUUAGCCAAAGCACAUAAACUUAUAAACAAAUGGAAAUAAAAAAGGUAAAUAAUAUUCAAUAAAAUAAAAUUACAUUUUAAAAGGUCACCAACCAAAGCACAUAAUAUUAUAACAAAAAUGUAAAUAAAAAAGAAAGUAAGAGAUUCAAUGAAAUUUAACAUCACAAAAGACAAUUUCAAAAAUUGGGGGUAGCUUGCAACUGUUGCAAAGUGGCUGGUUCCAUAAUUUUGAGAUAAUGUUUCGGUUUCAAAUAUUGUUAUCGAUACCUAAUUAUAAGUAAUAAAAAAAUAUUGUAUAAUUUUUUUACCAACAUUUACAAUACAUUUUAUUUUGAUUUCUGAAAAAAAUAGAUAAAACACAAAUUAAUUAUUUUAACCCUCUAUUCUCUCAAUAUUUAAACUCGAAUAAUCAGUUAAAAGUUGCUCGAGAAUGUUUAAAAGCCAUUUAAGUAUACCACGUCAUUCAUGUUUUGCAAUCAUUCAAUUGUUAAUAAGUUUCCCAUGUGCUGAAAAUAAAUAAAAAUGCACGUGCAUAUGUCAUAUUGUCUCCGAAACCUCACAGCGGAAUGAGUGUAGUACUUGCAAUGCAUGUACUUUAGACUUUGUAUUUCUCUUAUUUAAAUGAUCAAUAAUUUUUCUUUGUCCUUUAAUUAGACGUCAACAGUCGAAGUUGUGGGCAAGUAGUAGGCUAUAUAUAAUAAUUUCCUGGAGAUCUUCCGUCUUCUAAGACAUUGCAAAUGCCAAACGUGAUAACUAUUUUGAUAAUUCAAAUACUACAUAAAAUAUAUGAAGUGUCAGACAAGUCAAAAGAAUUGAUUCUUCACAAUUGUAUAUACGUAUACACACACUUUGCCCAAAUCCCAUUGUAUCCAGGCUGUAAUUUUUAUAUUAAACGAACAUAUUUUAUUUUAUGUCAGCAAUAUUGAUGCAGGCUGGUGGAACAACAGCUUCAGGAUGGUCAACUACCCUUCGGAUCAUUGCAAGUGGGAUGGCAUCACUUGCAAUUCAGAUGGAACCAUAAUCGGGCUAAAAUUAUCAGGGUAUGAUGUUGACUUCAAAAGGUAGUCUUCGUAAAAUUAUCAUGGUAUAAUAUACGUAUUUAUUUUCGCAUACAUAAAUAAAUAACAAAAUUGUAAUUAAUUGGAUACAACUUCAGCUUUUGGACUGGUUUGUGAAAAUCGGAAAAAUUUAAAAAUGCUCCUCUUGAACAAUCAAAAUCUACUUUAUACGUGAACAAAGGGGAUGAUUCGUAAAGAUAAUUCAUCAAUGUUUGAUUACUUUCAGAAAGAUAGACUUCAUUUGAUCUCGUCCCAAAGCAUAAUUUCACUUUGAAUUUGAAAAAGAAUAAUGAAGUUCAUACGAUGCUGUUGUGACCUUUUUUUUUUGUUUUCUUUUUUUCUCGACGUUGUUUUGUGAAUCAUAAGGGUUAAUUUAGUACGGUGGGUUCGCUUGUAUGAAGCGUACUUAUUGUACCAUUCUGUUGCAAGUAAUGAAAAAACGCUAUAAUUUUUUUUAGGUUUCUACAAGUAUUAUGUUAUCUUAUAUCUAACUGUGCAUCUCUAUUCUUUGCUCUCAGUUCAGGUUCUCUAAAAGUAUAUUAAUUAUGAAAAGCAUUAAAGGUUCCGAAACUCUAUUUUGCGGGGAAAAAGAACCUCCAUUUUUGGUUUUUUAUUAUCAUAAGAGGUUUUACUAUGCUCGUAAUAACUUAAUCGAAAUUAAACAUAUCACUGGUCUACAUUUUUUUAUCAGAUUUUGUGCCUUGCUAAUUAAGAUGAGUAUCACCAUCAAAUCAACAAGCUUAUACCUUCAAAGAAAAAUAGACUAUAAGUCGGGAGAAAGAAGAAGAAAAAAAAAAAGAAGCUUCGCAAUUUAUGCUGUUGGUUGUGAGUUCAUGAAACAAAUAAAAAUAUGAAAUCAAACAUUUAUCCAAAAUUUAAAAUUAAAAAAAAACUCUAUAUCUACAGUAAUCUGUUCAAACCACAUAGGUGGAGCAAUAGAGUUCCAAGACGUGGUUUUAAAACAUGUCUUUGUGAUAAACAAUAUCGUGAUACUUGCGCCAAUUCCCAUGCCAAUAAUUGCCUACAUUUAUCCAAGAUCCAUGGCCAGGUUUAGAAUGUGCUAGUCUUCUUUCACUUUCAUAAAUAACCACUACUAGGUAAUCAGAGUGUCGGUCUAAAUUUUUCGGAGAUACAACGUCAAUGUAUGUGCCCGGAGUUGAAGCUGAACGCGCUUAAAUAUGUUCGGAAUUUGAAGUUGAACGCCUGGAAAAGGAUGCAGACUGAAGAAAGGCAAUUCCUGGAAUUUGUCUUUGGUAAGAAAACAUGGCUGCUUAUGCCCUUUGAAAGACUGAAGAAACCAAAUUGAUUAUUGCUGCAAUUUAGUGGCACGUGUACAAGGAGAGGCAUCCGAUUAAACUUGUUCAUAAAAUUAUUGCUGAUAGUUGCAGCCGAUCUCCAUGAAGUACAAACCCAACGCAAAGAAACAAAGUGUUCGUACAAUUUUAUCCGCCAGCAAUUUCGACCAAGAGACCUUGAUGCAGUUCAGACCAAUUCGCCAGUUGAACAUCAAGUUGCCUAGGCAUUGAGAAUUAGGUCAAUAAAAUAUAUCCUGGGUCACUUACAAAAGAUGAAAUAAGUGAAAAAGGAAAGAUGACGUAAUAAUUUCUUAGUGAGAAAAGUUAGUUAAUUUUCAAUUGCUUUCAUUGUUUUGAUAAUUUUCAAAACAUUUCAUUGCUUUCAUUGCGUAAUUAAGCUUUUUUUGCUUCAAAAUAUUUCAAAUUGUGUUUGUGGGACUACUAAACAAUUAGGACACAACAAUGUUUCGUUCUGGUCUUUUUUUUUUUUUACUUUUUAAUUUAUUUUAAGAAAAUCUUUGUCCAUCUCUCAUCCUGCCAAAUAUAUCGUCUCGUCUUGUUAUCUAGAAUAAUUCUUCAUGCAUCAAUGAGUUUUGACAAAUUUUUAUCUUUUAAAAGUUGUUGUAAUUCAAUAUAGCUAAAAUCUUAAAUACAUACAUGUAGAAUAAUCUAAGCAUUACCUUAUUCGGGGAAAAUCGAGAUUAGAAUCAAUCAAAGCAAUGAUACCUUAUAUCAGUGAGAUAUAUGCAAGACUCACCCAUUGGUACAAACGAAAAUGAUCAAAGUGGAAGCAAAAAUGGAAUCCUCAAAUGUGGUGAUAAUUUAGAUGAUCUCCACUCUCCAUUUGGUUUCAUCUAAUAAGUUAGUGUUUAAUUAAGAAUUUAUUACUCAUUUUAUUAUGAUAUUAAUCAACUGCCGUCCCUUCCAUUAGUUCAUUAUUUUUGAUGGAUUACGAAAGACAGACAAUAAAAUUCUCCAAAACUGUUGUAAGAGUAAUAUUGUAAAAGUUACAUAAAAGUGAGGAUAAGGAUAAUUUGAGGUAUGUUUCAAGAUAUAAAGAUUAAAUAAAUUCUUAACUCAAAAUAAAGAGAUUUAUUUUUUUUAAAAGAGAUUAAAAUGUCAUGAUAAAUAAAUAAGGGAGGUGAUAUUCUGGGCUCUCCCCUGGCUUUUUGUGAUAACAUCUUAAAUUAAUAUAAAUAGUUAAAAUUUUAUUAAAAAAUAAAUUUUUACCUAAUACUCUUUGACAUAGCUAGGAAUAUAGCCUACUUGCAAGAGACUUACAUUCGUUUGCACAGCCCUUUCGUGAAUAUAAAAUUGCUGCCGAAUAAGCAUCUAAUUAAAAGAAUUAGGAAUUUGUCAACGGUAUAAAUUAAAUAUAAAAAACGAGUAAAAGAAUUUGUCAAUGGGAUAUGGGGGGCUAUGGCUUCAAUCGUAGGGGUGGGCAAAUUUCGGAUUCCGAAUCCGAUCGGAUUUUGGAUAAUUCGGAUUGGGAAAAAAUCCAUCCAAAUUCAAUCCGAACCUUAAAUCUGUUUCGAUCCGAGAUAAUUUCGGAUCCGGAUCAGAUUCGGAUGAGUUUGAAUUUCAGAUUAUAUUUCAAGUUCGGAUUAUAUUUUGGAUUCGGAUUAAUUCGGGUUUGGGACCUUUUUACAAUUCUCACAAAAAAAUUAUGAAAUUUAUAAUUAAUGAAAAAUAAUUUCCAUGAUGCUGUCAACAAUAAUUAAUAUUUUGAAAACGCAAUAACGGAAUUUUCAAAAAAAAGAAAAAGAAAACACAGGAACGGUAUUGAUAAAGAAUUUUCAUUAGCCAUUUGUGACUGCUAACUAAAUUGUAACAACUAAGUAAAAUAUAAUAAUAAUAAUAAUACAUGCGGGUAUAUUCAAAGCAACUAAAUCACUUGCGAAUGAUCAAGACAAAUCGUAUAAACAAGUAAAAAAUUCAAAGUUUCAAACGCAAAUCGUCGGGGGCUAUCGGAUUAGUGGAUUACCAUUAACAAGACGAGGUUUAUGUCGGUGUGAGUUGCUCAUUGUGGGUCUGGAUGAUGUCGCGAUGGCUGGGUUUGUGCCAACUAUGAUCCAGCUAGGUUUGUAUCGAAUCUGAUCUCGUCUAGAGGACGUUGUGGCGGCUGGGUUUGUGUCGAAUUCAUUCGGUUUGUCUCGUCGGCGACAUGGUUGUUGGUUGGCUCGUCAGGUUGUGGCCCGUGGGUGUGGUGUGGUUUGUUGUCGUGGAUUGACUUAUCAAAGGGCGUGCGACGAUGGUGUGUGGUUUUGUCAUUUGGAAAUUGAGUUUUGAUUUUUCAUUUUCGUUUUUUUAAAAAAAAAUUUUUGGAUUAUUCGGAUUGAACUGAAUCUUAUCCGAUCCAAAUCAAAUCCGAUCAGAUUACAAAAAUUUCAUCCGAUUGGAUUUUAAAGCAAAUCCAAAUCCGAUCCGAACAAAUUCGGAUCGAAUUGGAUUAGAUCGGAUCUAUCCGAAUCUGAUCCAAUGUCCACCCCUAUUCAAUCGGUUUCUGCAAUGGUUAAUGGCAUAUUUUUGCUCAUCGUCACCACUGAAUCCACUGAUCAUUUGUGCAUGUGAGUUGUUUUUGAGCAUUUAUUUUUCCCUUUAGAAGCAUAAGGAUAAGGCUAGUCUUCUUUUUGGGAGGACUUAUUGCUUCCAUUCGUUAAAAUUGGGCAUGUAAAAUGUCAAGAAAAAAUGGCCUAAGUGGCUAGCUAGAUGAUAUAAUGGAUGGUUACUACUCAAACCUAGCAAUAAAUGAAUGUCCGACAAGCAUUCAAAUGAAUGAAUAAAACCAAUCAGAUUAGAAUAUCUAUUUAUGAUAGAUUAAUGAAAAUACGAUUCAAAUAUAAGGUAAAUAAUCUCUCCAUUAAUUUUUUAUUGUUUCAGGCAGGGUUGCCAAGCCUCUGUCCGGGCUUCUAUAAGCUCAAUUCCAGCUCUCCUAUAUGAUUGAAUUAGAUCGGGCUAGGCCCUCGGACUUUUUAAUUAAAAAAGGUCGAUUUUUAAGUUUAUGAAGUUAAUACACUCACGCUUAUACUUUAAUAUUUUUAUUAUUUGGCUUUUAGAAUAUUAACGUGUAAAUUACUUUUUUUUUUCAAGUGAAAUAAUUAUCACAUUUUGUCUUCUUAGUAUAUAUUUCUACCUUUUUGUUCCUAUAGAUAUUUCCUCAUUUCAUCUUUGGUACUAGAGCGUAGUAAAAAAACACAUGAUUAAAGAUAAAUAUGACAUUUUAACUAACAAAUUAAUUAUUUGUAUCUAAGAUCUAGCUCUAGUGGUAAAGAUCAAUUUUCAUCGAAUUCAAGUCUUGGGUUUGAAUUUAAAUGCAUGGGUAAGUUAAUAAUAAUAAUAAUAAUAAUAAUAAUAAUAAUAAUAAUAAUAAUAAUAAUAAUAAUAAUAAUAAUAAUAAUAAUAAUAAUAAUAAUAAUAAUAAUAAUAAUAAUAAUAAUAAUAAUAAUAAUAAUAAUAAUAAUAAUAAUAAUAAUAAUAAUAAUAAUAAUAAUAAUAAUAAUAAUAAUAAUAAUAAUAAUAAUAAUAAUAAUAAUAAUAAUAAUAAUAAUAAUAAUAAUAAUAAUAAUAAUAAUAAUAAUAAUAAUAAUAAUAAUAAUAAUAAUAAUAAUAAUAAUAAUAAUAAUAAUAAUAAUAAUAAUAAUAAUAAUAAUAAUAAUAAUAAUAAUAAUAAUAAUAAUAAUAAUAAUAAUAAUAAUAAUAAUAAUAAUAAUAAUAAUAAUAAUAAUAAUAAUAAUAAUAAUAAUAAUAAUAAUAAUAAUAAUAAUAAUAAUAAUAAUAAUAAUAAUAAUAAUAAUAAUAAUAAUAAUAAUAAUAAUAAUAAUAAUAAUAAUAAUAAUAAUAAUAAUAAUAAUAAUAAUAAUAAUAAUAAUAAUAAUAAUAAUAAUAAUAAUAAUAAUAAUAAUAAUAAUAAUAAUAAUAAUAAUAAUAAUAAUAAUAAUAAUAAUAAUAAUAAUAAUAAUAAUAAUAAUAAUAAUAAUAAUAAUAAUAAUAAUAAUAAUAAUAAUAAUAAUAAUAAUAAUAAUAAUAAUAAUAAUAAUAAUAAUAAUAAUAAUAAUAAUAAUAAUAAUAAUAAUAAUAAUAAUAAUAAUAAUAAUAAUAAUAAUAAUAAUAAUAAUAAUAAUAAUAAUAAUAAUAAUAAUAAUAAUAAUAAUAAUAAUAAUAAUAAUAAUAAUAAUAAUAAUAAUAAUAAUAAUAAUAAUAAUAAUAAUAAUAAUAAUAAUAAUAAUAAUAAUAAUAAUAAUAAUAAUAAUAAUAAUAAUAAUAAUAAUAAUAAUAAUAAUAAUAAUAAUAAUAAUAAUAAUAAUAAUAAUAAUAAUAAUAAUAAUAAUAAUAAUAAUAAUAAUAAUAAUAAUAAUAAUAAUAAUAAUAAUAAUAAUAAUAAUAAUAAUAAUAAUAAUAAUAAUAAUAAUAAUAAUAAUAAUAAUAAUAAUAAUAAUAAUAAUAAUAAUAAUAAUAAUAAUAAUAAUAAUAAUAAUAAUAAUAAUAAUAAUAAUAAUAAUAAUAAUAAUAAUAAUAAUAAUAAUAAUAAUAAUAAUAAUAAUAAUAAUAAUAAUAAUAAUAAUAAUAAUAAUAAUAAUAAUAAUAAUAAUAAUAAUAAUAAUAAUAAUAAUAAUAAUAAUAAUAAUAAUAAUAAUAAUAAUAAUAAUAAUAAUAAUAAUAAUAAUAAUAAUAAUAAUAAUAAUAAUAAUAAUAAUAAUAAUAAUAAUAAUAAUAAUAAUAAUAAUAAUAAUAAUAAUAAUAAUAAUAAUAAUAAUAAUAAUAAUAAUAAUAAUAAUAAUAAUAAUAAUAAUAAUAAUAAUAAUAAUAAUAAUAAUAAUAAUAAUAAUAAUAAUAAUAAUAAUAAUAAUAAUAAUAAUAAUAAUAAUAAUAAUAAUAAUAAUAAUAAUAAUAAUAAUAAUAAUAAUAAUAAUAAUAAUAAUAAUAAUAAUAAUAAUAAUAAUAAUAAUAAUAAUAAUAAUAAUAAUAAUAAUAAUAAUAAUAAUAAUAAUAAUAAUAAUAAUAAUAAUAAUAAUAAUAAUAAUAAUAAUAAUAAUAAUAAUAAUAAUAAUAAUAAUAAUAAUAAUAAUAAUAAUAAUAAUAAUAAUAAUAAUAAUAAUAAUAAUAAUAAUAAUAAUAAUAAUAAUAAUAAUAAUAAUAAUAAUAAUAAUAAUAAUAAUAAUAAUAAUAAUAAUAAUAAUAAUAAUAAUAAUAAUAAUAAUAAUAAUAAUAAUAAUAAUAAUAAUAAUAAUAAUAAUAAUAAUAAUAAUAAUAAUAAUAAUAAUAAUAAUAAUAAUAAUAAUAAUAAUAAUAAUAAUAAUAAUAAUAAUAAUAAUAAUAAUAAUAAUAAUAAUAAUAAUAAUAAUAAUAAUAAUAAUAAUAAUAAUAAUAAUAAUAAUAAUAAUAAUAAUAAUAAUAAUAAUAAUAAUAAUAAUAAUAAUAAUAAUAAUAAUAAUAAUAAUAAUAAUAAUAAUAAUAAUAAUAAUAAUAAUAAUAAUAAUAAUAAUAAUAAUAAUAAUAAUAAUAAUAAUAAUAAUAAUAAUAAUAAUAAUAAUAAUAAUAAUAAUAAUAAUAAUAAUAAUAAUAAUAAUAAUAAUAAUAAUAAUAAUAAUAAUAAUAAUAAUAAUAAUAAUAAUAAUAAUAAUAAUAAUAAUAAUAAUAAUAAUAAUAAUAAUAAUAAUAAUAAUAAUAAUAAUAAUAAUAAUAAUAAUAAUAAUAAUAAUAAUAAUAAUAAUAAUAAUAAUAAUAAUAAUAAUAAUAAUAAUAAUAAUAAUAAUAAUAAUAAUAAUAAUAAUAAUAAUAAUAAUAAUAAUAAUAAUAAUAAUAAUAAUAAUAAUAAUAAUAAUAAUAAUAAUAAUAAUAAUAAUAAUAAUAAUAAUAAUAAUAAUAAUAAUAAUAAUAAUAAUAAUAAUAAUAAUAAUAAUAAUAAUAAUAAUAAUAAUAAUAAUAAUAAUAAUAAUAAUAAUAAUAAUAAUAAUAAUAAUAAUAAUAAUAAUAAUAAUAAUAAUAAUAAUAAUAAUAAUAAUAAUAAUAAUAAUAAUAAUAAUAAUAAUAAUAAUAAUAAUAAUAAUAAUAAUAAUAAUAAUAAUAAUAAUAAUAAUAAUAAUAAUAAUAAUAAUAAUAAUAAUAAUAAUAAUAAUAAUAAUAAUAAUAAUAAUAAUAAUAAUAAUAAUAAUAAUAAUAAUAAUAAUAAUAAUAAUAAUAAUAAUAAUAAUAAUAAUAAUAAUAAUAAUAAUAAUAAUAAUAAUAAUAAUAAUAAUAAUAAUAAUAAUAAUAAUAAUAAUAAUAAUAAUAAUAAUAAUAAUAAUAAUAAUAAUAAUAAUAAUAAUAAUAAUAAUAAUAAUAAUAAUAAUAAUAAUAAUAAUAAUAAUAAUAAUAAUAAUAAUAAUAAUAAUAAUAAUAAUAAUAAUAAUAAUAAUAAUAAUAAUAAUAAUAAUAAUAAUAAUAAUAAUAAUAAUAAUAAUAAUAAUAAUAAUAAUAAUAAUAAUAAUAAUAAUAAUAAUAAUAAUAAUAAUAAUAAUAAUAAUAAUAAUAAUAAUAAUAAUAAUAAUAAUAAUAAUAAUAAUAAUAAUAAUAAUAAUAAUAAUAAUAAUAAUAAUAAUAAUAAUAAUAAUAAUAAUAAUAAUAAUAAUAAUAAUAAUAAUAAUAAUAAUAAUAAUAAUAAUAAUAAUAAUAAUAAUAAUAAUAAUAAUAAUAAUAAUAAUAAUAAUAAUAAUAAUAAUAAUAAUAAUAAUAAUAAUAAUAAUAAUAAUAAUAAUAAUAAUAAUAAUAAUAAUAAUAAUAAUAAUAAUAAUAAUAAUAAUAAUAAUAAUAAUAAUAAUAAUAAUAAUAAUAAUAAUAAUAAUAAUAAUAAUAAUAAUAAUAAUAAUAAUAAUAAUAAUAAUAAUAAUAAUAAUAAUAAUAAUAAUAAUAAUAAUAAUAAUAAUAAUAAUAAUAAUAAUAAUAAUAAUAAUAAUAAUAAUAAUAAUAAUAAUAAUAAUAAUAAUAAUAAUAAUAAUAAUAAUAAUAAUAAUAAUAAUAAUAAUAAUAAUAAUAAUAAUAAUAAUAAUAAUAAUAAUAAUAAUAAUAAUAAUAAUAAUAAUAAUAAUAAUAAUAAUAAUAAUAAUAAUAAUAAUAAUAAUAAUAAUAAUAAUAAUAAUAAUAAUAAUAAUAAUAAUAAUAAUAAUAAUAAUAAUAAUAAUAAUAAUAAUAAUAAUAAUAAUAAUAAUAAUAAUAAUAAUAAUAAUAAUAAUAAUAAUAAUAAUAAUAAUAAUAAUAAUAAUAAUAAUAAUAAUAAUAAUAAUAAUAAUAAUAAUAAUAAUAAUAAUAAUAAUAAUAAUAAUAAUAAUAAUAAUAAUAAUAAUAAUAAUAAUAAUAAUAAUAAUAAUAAUAAUAAUAAUAAUAAUAAUAAUAAUAAUAAUAAUAAUAAUAAUAAUAAUAAUAAUAAUAAUAAUAAUAAUAAUAAUAAUAAUAAUAAUAAUAAUAAUAAUAAUAAUAAUAAUAAUAAUAAUAAUAAUAAUAAUAAUAAUAAUAAUAAUAAUAAUAAUAAUAAUAAUAAUAAUAAUAAUAAUAAUAAUAAUAAUAAUAAUAAUAAUAAUAAUAAUAAUAAUAAUAAUAAUAAUAAUAAUAAUAAUAAUAAUAAUAAUAAUAAUAAUAAUAAUAAUAAUAAUAAUAAUAAUAAUAAUAAUAAUAAUAAUAAUAAUAAUAAUAAUAAUAAUAAUAAUAAUAAUAAUAAUAAUAAUAAUAAUAAUAAUAAUAAUAAUAAUAAUAAUAAUAAUAAUAAUAAUAAUAAUAAUAAUAAUAAUAAUAAUAAUAAUAAUAAUAAUAAUAAUAAUAAUAAUAAUAAUAAUAAUAAUAAUAAUAAUAAUAAUAAUAAUAAUAAUAAUAAUAAUAAUAAUAAUAAUAAUAAUAAUAAUAAUAAUAAUAAUAAUAAUAAUAAUAAUAAUAAUAAUAAUAAUAAUAAUAAUAAUAAUAAUAAUAAUAAUAAUAAUAAUAAUAAUAAUAAUAAUAAUAAUAAUAAUAAUAAUAAUAAUAAUAAUAAUAAUAAUAAUAAUAAUAAUAAUAAUAAUAAUAAUAAUAAUAAUAAUAAUAAUAAUAAUAAUAAUAAUAAUAAUAAUAAUAAUAAUAAUAAUAAUAAUAAUAAUAAUAAUAAUAAUAAUAAUAAUAAUAAUAAUAAUAAUAAUAAUAAUAAUAAUAAUAAUAAUAAUAAUAAUAAUAAUAAUAAUAAUAAUAAUAAUAAUAAUAAUAAUAAUAAUAAUAAUAAUAAUAAUAAUAAUAAUAAUAAUAAUAAUAAUAAUAAUAAUAAUAAUAAUAAUAAUAAUAAUAAUAAUAAUAAUAAUAAUAAUAAUAAUAAUAAUAAUAAUAAUAAUAAUAAUAAUAAUAAUAAUAAUAAUAAUAAUAAUAAUAAUAAUAAUAAUAAUAAUAAUAAUAAUAAUAAUAAUAAUAAUAAUAAUAAUAAUAAUAAUAAUAAUAAUAAUAAUAAUAAUAAUAAUAAUAAUAAUAAUAAUAAUAAUAAUAAUAAUAAUAAUAAUAAUAAUAAUAAUAAUAAUAAUAAUAAUAAUAAUAAUAAUAAUAAUAAUAAUAAUAAUAAUAAUAAUAAUAAUAAUAAUAAUAAUAAUAAUAAUAAUAAUAAUAAUAAUAAUAAUAAUAAUAAUAAUAAUAAUAAUAAUAAUAAUAAUAAUAAUAAUAAUAAUAAUAAUAAUAAUAAUAAUAAUAAUAAUAAUAAUAAUAAUAAUAAUAAUAAUAAUAAUAAUAAUAAUAAUAAUAAUAAUAAUAAUAAUAAUAAUAAUAAUAAUAAUAAUAAUAAUAAUAAUAAUAAUAAUAAUAAUAAUAAUAAUAAUAAUAAUAAUAAUAAUAAUAAUAAUAAUAAUAAUAAUAAUAAUAAUAAUAAUAAUAAUAAUAAUAAUAAUAAUAAUAAUAAUAAUAAUAAUAAUAAUAAUAAUAAUAAUAAUAAUAAUAAUAAUAAUAAUAAUAAUAAUAAUAAUAAUAAUAAUAAUAAUAAUAAUAAUAAUAAUAAUAAUAAUAAUAAUAAUAAUAAUAAUAAUAAUAAUAAUAAUAAUAAUAAUAAUAAUAAUAAUAAUAAUAAUAAUAAUAAUAAUAAUAAUAAUAAUAAUAAUAAUAAUAAUAAUAAUAAUAAUAAUAAUAAUAAUAAUAAUAAUAAUAAUAAUAAUAAUAAUAAUAAUAAUAAUAAUAAUAAUAAUAAUAAUAAUAAUAAUAAUAAUAAUAAUAAUAAUAAUAAUAAUAAUAAUAAUAAUAAUAAUAAUAAUAAUAAUAAUAAUAAUAAUAAUAAUAAUAAUAAUAAUAAUAAUAAUAAUAAUAAUAAUAAUAAUAAUAAUAAUAAUAAUAAUAAUAAUAAUAAUAAUAAUAAUAAUAAUAAUAAUAAUAAUAAUAAUAAUAAUAAUAAUAAUAAUAAUAAUAAUAAUAAUAAUAAUAAUAAUAAUAAUAAUAAUAAUAAUAAUAAUAAUAAUAAUAAUAAUAAUAAUAAUAAUAAUAAUAAUAAUAAUAAUAAUAAUAAUAAUAAUAAUAAUAAUAAUAAUAAUAAUAAUAAUAAUAAUAAUAAUAAUAAUAAUAAUAAUAAUAAUAAUAAUAAUAAUAAUAAUAAUAAUAAUAAUAAUAAUAAUAAUAAUAAUAAUAAUAAUAAUAAUAAUAAUAAUAAUAAUAAUAAUAAUAAUAAUAAUAAUAAUAAUAAUAAUAAUAAUAAUAAUAAUAAUAAUAAUAAUAAUAAUAAUAAUAAUAAUAAUAAUAAUAAUAAUAAUAAUAAUAAUAAUAAUAAUAAUAAUAAUAAUAAUAAUAAUAAUAAUAAUAAUAAUAAUAAUAAUAAUAAUAAUAAUAAUAAUAAUAAUAAUAAUAAUAAUAAUAAUAAUAAUAAUAAUAAUAAUAAUAAUAAUAAUAAUAAUAAUAAUAAUAAUAAUAAUAAUAAUAAUAAUAAUAAUAAUAAUAAUAAUAAUAAUAAUAAUAAUAAUAAUAAUAAUAAUAAUAAUAAUAAUAAUAAUAAUAAUAAUAAUAAUAAUAAUAAUAAUAAUAAUAAUAAUAAUAAUAAUAAUAAUAAUAAUAAUAAUAAUAAUAAUAAUAAUAAUAAUAAUAAUAAUAAUAAUAAUAAUAAUAAUAAUAAUAAUAAUAAUAAUAAUAAUAAUAAUAAUAAUAAUAAUAAUAAUAAUAAUAAUAAUAAUAAUAAUAAUAAUAAUAAUAAUAAUAAUAAUAAUAAUAAUAAUAAUAAUAAUAAUAAUAAUAAUAAUAAUAAUAAUAAUAAUAAUAAUAAUAAUAAUAAUAAUAAUAAUAAUAAUAAUAAUAAUAAUAAUAAUAAUAAUAAUAAUAAUAAUAAUAAUAAUAAUAAUAAUAAUAAUAAUAAUAAUAAUAAUAAUAAUAAUAAUAAUAAUAAUAAUAAUAAUAAUAAUAAUAAUAAUAAUAAUAAUAAUAAUAAUAAUAAUAAUAAUAAUAAUAAUAAUAAUAAUAAUAAUAAUAAUAAUAAUAAUAAUAAUAAUAAUAAUAAUAAUAAUAAUAAUAAUAAUAAUAAUAAUAAUAAUAAUAAUAAUAAUAAUAAUAAUAAUAAUAAUAAUAAUAAUAAUAAUAAUAAUAAUAAUAAUAAUAAUAAUAAUAAUAAUAAUAAUAAUAAUAAUAAUAAUAAUAAUAAUAAUAAUAAUAAUAAUAAUAAUAAUAAUAAUAAUAAUAAUAAUAAUAAUAAUAAUAAUAAUAAUAAUAAUAAUAAUAAUAAUAAUAAUAAUAAUAAUAAUAAUAAUAAUAAUAAUAAUAAUAAUAAUAAUAAUAAUAAUAAUAAUAAUAAUAAUAAUAAUAAUAAUAAUAAUAAUAAUAAUAAUAAUAAUAAUAAUAAUAAUAAUAAUAAUAAUAAUAAUAAUAAUAAUAAUAAUAAUAAUAAUAAUAAUAAUAAUAAUAAUAAUAAUAAUAAUAAUAAUAAUAAUAAUAAUAAUAAUAAUAAUAAUAAUAAUAAUAAUAAUAAUAAUAAUAAUAAUAAUAAUAAUAAUAAUAAUAAUAAUAAUAAUAAUAAUAAUAAUAAUAAUAAUAAUAAUAAUAAUAAUAAUAAUAAUAAUAAUAAUAAUAAUAAUAAUAAUAAUAAUAAUAAUAAUAAUAAUAAUAAUAAUAAUAAUAAUAAUAAUAAUAAUAAUAAUAAUAAUAAUAAUAAUAAUAAUAAUAAUAAUAAUAAUAAUAAUAAUAAUAAUAAUAAUAAUAAUAAUAAUAAUAAUAAUAAUAAUAAUAAUAAUAAUAAUAAUAAUAAUAAUAAUAAUAAUAAUAAUAAUAAUAAUAAUAAUAAUAAUAAUAAUAAUAAUAAUAAUAAUAAUAAUAAUAAUAAUAAUAAUAAUAAUAAUAAUAAUAAUAAUAAUAAUAAUAAUAAUAAUAAUAAUAAUAAUAAUAAUAAUAAUAAUAAUAAUAAUAAUAAUAAUAAUAAUAAUAAUAAUAAUAAUAAUAAUAAUAAUAAUAAUAAUAAUAAUAAUAAUAAUAAUAAUAAUAAUAAUAAUAAUAAUAAUAAUAAUAAUAAUAAUAAUAAUAAUAAUAAUAAUAAUAAUAAUAAUAAUAAUAAUAAUAAUAAUAAUAAUAAUAAUAAUAAUAAUAAUAAUAAUAAUAAUAAUAAUAAUAAUAAUAAUAAUAAUAAUAAUAAUAAUAAUAAUAAUAAUAAUAAUAAUAAUAAUAAUAAUAAUAAUAAUAAUAAUAAUAAUAAUAAUAAUAAUAAUAAUAAUAAUAAUAAUAAUAAUAAUAAUAAUAAUAAUAAUAAUAAUAAUAAUAAUAAUAAUAAUAAUAAUAAUAAUAAUAAUAAUAAUAAUAAUAAUAAUAAUAAUAAUAAUAAUAAUAAUAAUAAUAAUAAUAAUAAUAAUAAUAAUAAUAAUAAUAAUAAUAAUAAUAAUAAUAAUAAUAAUAAUAAUAAUAAUAAUAAUAAUAAUAAUAAUAAUAAUAAUAAUAAUAAUAAUAAUAAUAAUAAUAAUAAUAAUAAUAAUAAUAAUAAUAAUAAUAAUAAUAAUAAUAAUAAUAAUAAUAAUAAUAAUAAUAAUAAUAAUAAUAAUAAUAAUAAUAAUAAUAAUAAUAAUAAUAAUAAUAAUAAUAAUAAUAAUAAUAAUAAUAAUAAUAAUAAUAAUAAUAAUAAUAAUAAUAAUAAUAAUAAUAAUAAUAAUAAUAAUAAUAAUAAUAAUAAUAAUAAUAAUAAUAAUAAUAAUAAUAAUAAUAAUAAUAAUAAUAAUAAUAAUAAUAAUAAUAAUAAUAAUAAUAAUAAUAAUAAUAAUAAUAAUAAUAAUAAUAAUAAUAAUAAUAAUAAUAAUAAUAAUAAUAAUAAUAAUAAUAAUAAUAAUAAUAAUAAUAAUAAUAAUAAUAAUAAUAAUAAUAAUAAUAAUAAUAAUAAUAAUAAUAAUAAUAAUAAUAAUAAUAAUAAUAAUAAUAAUAAUAAUAAUAAUAAUAAUAAUAAUAAUAAUAAUAAUAAUAAUAAUAAUAAUAAUAAUAAUAAUAAUAAUAAUAAUAAUAAUAAUAAUAAUAAUAAUAAUAAUAAUAAUAAUAAUAAUAAUAAUAAUAAUAAUAAUAAUAAUAAUAAUAAUAAUAAUAAUAAUAAUAAUAAUAAUAAUAAUAAUAAUAAUAAUAAUAAUAAUAAUAAUAAUAAUAAUAAUAAUAAUAAUAAUAAUAAUAAUAAUAAUAAUAAUAAUAAUAAUAAUAAUAAUAAUAAUAAUAAUAAUAAUAAUAAUAAUAAUAAUAAUAAUAAUAAUAAUAAUAAUAAUAAUAAUAAUAAUAAUAAUAAUAAUAAUAAUAAUAAUAAUAAUAAUAAUAAUAAUAAUAAUAAUAAUAAUAAUAAUAAUAAUAAUAAUAAUAAUAAUAAUAAUAAUAAUAAUAAUAAUAAUAAUAAUAAUAAUAAUAAUAAUAAUAAUAAUAAUAAUAAUAAUAAUAAUAAUAAUAAUAAUAAUAAUAAUAAUAAUAAUAAUAAUAAUAAUAAUAAUAAUAAUAAUAAUAAUAAUAAUAAUAAUAAUAAUAAUAAUAAUAAUAAUAAUAAUAAUAAUAAUAAUAAUAAUAAUAAUAAUAAUAAUAAUAAUAAUAAUAAUAAUAAUAAUAAUAAUAAUAAUAAUAAUAAUAAUAAUAAUAAUAAUAAUAAUAAUAAUAAUAAUAAUAAUAAUAAUAAUAAUAAUAAUAAUAAUAAUAAUAAUAAUAAUAAUAAUAAUAAUAAUAAUAAUAAUAAUAAUAAUAAUAAUAAUAAUAAUAAUAAUAAUAAUAAUAAUAAUAAUAAUAAUAAUAAUAAUAAUAAUAAUAAUAAUAAUAAUAAUAAUAAUAAUAAUAAUAAUAAUAAUAAUAAUAAUAAUAAUAAUAAUAAUAAUAAUAAUAAUAAUAAUAAUAAUAAUAAUAAUAAUAAUAAUAAUAAUAAUAAUAAUAAUAAUAAUAAUAAUAAUAAUAAUAAUAAUAAUAAUAAUAAUAAUAAUAAUAAUAAUAAUAAUAAUAAUAAUAAUAAUAAUAAUAAUAAUAAUAAUAAUAAUAAUAAUAAUAAUAAUAAUAAUAAUAAUAAUAAUAAUAAUAAUAAUAAUAAUAAUAAUAAUAAUAAUAAUAAUAAUAAUAAUAAUAAUAAUAAUAAUAAUAAUAAUAAUAAUAAUAAUAAUAAUAAUAAUAAUAAUAAUAAUAAUAAUAAUAAUAAUAAUAAUAAUAAUAAUAAUAAUAAUAAUAAUAAUAAUAAUAAUAAUAAUAAUAAUAAUAAUAAUAAUAAUAAUAAUAAUAAUAAUAAUAAUAAUAAUAAUAAUAAUAAUAAUAAUAAUAAUAAUAAUAAUAAUAAUAAUAAUAAUAAUAAUAAUAAUAAUAAUAAUAAUAAUAAUAAUAAUAAUAAUAAUAAUAAUAAUAAUAAUAAUAAUAAUAAUAAUAAUAAUAAUAAUAAUAAUAAUAAUAAUAAUAAUAAUAAUAAUAAUAAUAAUAAUAAUAAUAAUAAUAAUAAUAAUAAUAAUAAUAAUAAUAAUAAUAAUAAUAAUAAUAAUAAUAAUAAUAAUAAUAAUAAUAAUAAUAAUAAUAAUAAUAAUAAUAAUAAUAAUAAUAAUAAUAAUAAUAAUAAUAAUAAUAAUAAUAAUAAUAAUAAUAAUAAUAAUAAUAAUAAUAAUAAUAAUAAUAAUAAUAAUAAUAAUAAUAAUAAUAAUAAUAAUAAUAAUAAUAAUAAUAAUAAUAAUAAUAAUAAUAAUAAUAAUAAUAAUAAUAAUAAUAAUAAUAAUAAUAAUAAUAAUAAUAAUAAUAAUAAUAAUAAUAAUAAUAAUAAUAAUAAUAAUAAUAAUAAUAAUAAUAAUAAUAAUAAUAAUAAUAAUAAUAAUAAUAAUAAUAAUAAUAAUAAUAAUAAUAAUAAUAAUAAUAAUAAUAAUAAUAAUAAUAAUAAUAAUAAUAAUAAUAAUAAUAAUAAUAAUAAUAAUAAUAAUAAUAAUAAUAAUAAUAAUAAUAAUAAUAAUAAUAAUAAUAAUAAUAAUAAUAAUAAUAAUAAUAAUAAUAAUAAUAAUAAUAAUAAUAAUAAUAAUAAUAAUAAUAAUAAUAAUAAUAAUAAUAAUAAUAAUAAUAAUAAUAAUAAUAAUAAUAAUAAUAAUAAUAAUAAUAAUAAUAAUAAUAAUAAUAAUAAUAAUAAUAAUAAUAAUAAUAAUAAUAAUAAUAAUAAUAAUAAUAAUAAUAAUAAUAAUAAUAAUAAUAAUAAUAAUAAUAAUAAUAAUAAUAAUAAUAAUAAUAAUAAUAAUAAUAAUAAUAAUAAUAAUAAUAAUAAUAAUAAUAAUAAUAAUAAUAAUAAUAAUAAUAAUAAUAAUAAUAAUAAUAAUAAUAAUAAUAAUAAUAAUAAUAAUAAUAAUAAUAAUAAUAAUAAUAAUAAUAAUAAUAAUAAUAAUAAUAAUAAUAAUAAUAAUAAUAAUAAUAAUAAUAAUAAUAAUAAUAAUAAUAAUAAUAAUAAUAAUAAUAAUAAUAAUAAUAAUAAUAAUAAUAAUAAUAAUAAUAAUAAUAAUAAUAAUAAUAAUAAUAAUAAUAAUAAUAAUAAUAAUAAUAAUAAUAAUAAUAAUAAUAAUAAUAAUAAUAAUAAUAAUAAUAAUAAUAAUAAUAAUAAUAAUAAUAAUAAUAAUAAUAAUAAUAAUAAUAAUAAUAAUAAUAAUAAUAAUAAUAAUAAUAAUAAUAAUAAUAAUAAUAAUAAUAAUAAUAAUAAUAAUAAUAAUAAUAAUAAUAAUAAUAAUAAUAAUAAUAAUAAUAAUAAUAAUAAUAAUAAUAAUAAUAAUAAUAAUAAUAAUAAUAAUAAUAAUAAUAAUAAUAAUAAUAAUAAUAAUAAUAAUAAUAAUAAUAAUAAUAAUAAUAAUAAUAAUAAUAAUAAUAAUAAUAAUAAUAAUAAUAAUAAUAAUAAUAAUAAUAAUAAUAAUAAUAAUAAUAAUAAUAAUAAUAAUAAUAAUAAUAAUAAUAAUAAUAAUAAUAAUAAUAAUAAUAAUAAUAAUAAUAAUAAUAAUAAUAAUAAUAAUAAUAAUAAUAAUAAUAAUAAUAAUAAUAAUAAUAAUAAUAAUAAUAAUAAUAAUAAUAAUAAUAAUAAUAAUAAUAAUAAUAAUAAUAAUAAUAAUAAUAAUAAUAAUAAUAAUAAUAAUAAUAAUAAUAAUAAUAAUAAUAAUAAUAAUAAUAAUAAUAAUAAUAAUAAUAAUAAUAAUAAUAAUAAUAAUAAUAAUAAUAAUAAUAAUAAUAAUAAUAAUAAUAAUAAUAAUAAUAAUAAUAAUAAUAAUAAUAAUAAUAAUAAUAAUAAUAAUAAUAAUAAUAAUAGAGAAGAGAAAAAUUAGAUCUAGGGUUUCUUUCUUUUUCUCCAAUCCAAAAAUCCCCCCUUUUCACAAUAGAUUCCUCCCUUAAAUACUCUCUCUCUCUUCUCCUCUAGAAUUCUAUUUAAAAUAAAAUACUAACAUCUGAAAUAUUAAAUUCGUAAUUACAAAAAUAACCAAAAAUACAAAACACGUUAAACUAAAAACUGCAGGUCCGCAGUUGACAGCACGCGCCCACGCCUUAUCAACAAAGUUCUUCUGACGCUCAUAAUUUCUCCAAGAGAACAAUCAUCCUUAAACAUCAUCUUAUAGCUCAAUUUUAUCAUCAAUCAAUAGAAUUGCACCUACAAAAGUAAAACAUAAGUAAAUCACUAUUAUUAAGUGCAAAACAUUGAUAUUAAGGGAAGUAAAUAAUGCAAAACUAGUGCAUAAAUUGCACUCUAACAGUAAUCAGUAAUCAGCAUUAAAAAUUAAAUUAAAUUAAAUUUUUUUGUUUUUAAUAUUAUUUAGUUAUAGACUUAUUAUUAUAUUUAUUCGUUCAUAAAACUAAAUAAUGUUAAAUCAAAUAAAAUAAUCAGGAAUGGUUCUUAAAAAAUUAAUAUUAUUUAUUUUAUUUUAUUUAAUAUUAUUUAGUCAUAGCCUAUUAUUCUGUUUAUUUUUUGAAAAUUAAAUAAUAUUAAAUAAAAUAGAAUAGAAAAUGUGAGUCCUUAAAAAUAAAAAUUAUUUUUAAUAUUAUUUAUUUUAUUUAAAAGAAUAAAUUUUUUAAUAUUUUUAUUUUAUUAAAAAAUAUUAUUUAAUAUUAUCUAGUCAUAGGCUUAUUAUUAUAUUUCUUCUUUUAGAAAGUUAAAUAGUAUUAAAUGAAAUAAAAUUACAUUUUAGAAGGUCAUUAGCCAAAGCACAUAAACUUAUAAACAAAUGGAAAUAAAAAAGGUAAAUAAUAUUCAAUAAAAUAAAAUUACAUUUUAAAAGGUCACCAACCAAAGCACAUAAUAUUAUAACAAAAAUGUAAAUAAAAAAGAAAGUAAGAGAUUCAAUGAAAUUUAACAUCACAAAAGACAAUUUCAAAAAUUGGGGGUAGCUUGCAACUGUUGCAAAGUGGCUGGUUCCAUAAUUUUGAGAUAAUGUUUCGGUUUCAAAUAUUGUUAUCGAUACCUAAUUAUAAGUAAUAAAAAAAUAUUGUAUAAUUUUUUUACCAACAUUUACAAUACAUUUUAUUUUGAUUUCUGAAAAAAAUAGAUAAAACACAAAUUAAUUAUUUUAACCCUCUAUUCUCUCAAUAUUUAAACUCGAAUAAUCAGUUAAAAGUUGCUCGAGAAUGUUUAAAAGCCAUUUAAGUAUACCACGUCAUUCAUGUUUUGCAAUCAUUCAAUUGUUAAUAAGUUUCCCAUGUGCUGAAAAUAAAUAAAAAUGCACGUGCAUAUGUCAUAUUGUCUCCGAAACCUCACAGCGGAAUGAGUGUAGUACUUGCAAUGCAUGUACUUUAGACUUUGUAUUUCUCUUAUUUAAAUGAUCAAUAAUUUUUCUUUGUCCUUUAAUUAGACGUCAACAGUCGAAGUUGUGGGCAGGUAGUAGGCUAUAUAUAAUAAUUUCCUGGAGAUCUUCCGUCUUCUAAGACAUUGCAAAUGCCAAACGUGAUAACUAUUUUGAUAAUUCAAAUACUACAUAAAAUAUAUGAAGUGUCAGACAAGUCAAAAGAAUUGAUUCUUCACAAUUGUAUAUACGUAUACACACACUUUGCCCAAAUCCCAUUGUAUCCAGGCUGUAAUUUUUAUAUUAAACGAACAUAUUUUAUUUUAUGUCAGCAAUAUUGAUGCAGGCUGGGGGAACAACAGCUUCAGGAUGGUCAACUACCCUUCGGAUCAUUGCAAGUGGGAUGGCAUCACUUGCAAUUCAGAUGGAAGCAUAAUCAGGCUAAAAUUAUCAUGGUGUGAUGUUGACUUCAAAAGGUAAUCUUCGUAAAAUUAUCAUGGUAUAAUAUACGUAUUUAUUUUCGCAUACAUAAAUAAAUAACAAAAUUGUAAUUAAUUGGAUACAGCUUCAGCUUUUGGACUGGUUUGUGAAAAUCAGAAAAAUUUAAAAAUGCUCCUCUUGAACAAUCAAAAUCUACUUUAUACGUGAACAAAGGGGAUGAUUCGUAAAGAUAGUUCAUCAAUGUUUGAUUGCUUUCAAGCGUGUCGAUUACUUUCAGAAAGAAAGACUUCAUUUGAUCUCGUCACAAAACAUAAUUUCACUUUGAAUUUGAAAAAGAAUAAUGAAGUUCAUACAAGUGCUGUUAUGACCUUUUUUUUUUUGUUUUCUUUUUUUCUCGACGUUGUUUUGUGAAUCAUAAGGGUUAAUUUAAUACGGUGGGUUCGCUUGUAUGAAGCGCACUUAUUGUACCAUUCUGUUGCAAGCAAUGAAAAAACGCUAUAAUUUUUUUAAGUUUCUACAAGUAUUAUGUUAUCUUAUAUCUAAAUGUGCAUCUCUAGUCUUUGCUCUCAGUUCAGGUUCUCUAAAAGUAUAUUAAUUAUGAAAAGCAUUAAAGGUUCCGAAACUCUAUUUUGCGGGGAAAAAGAACCUCCAUUUUUGGUUUUUUAUUAUAUGAGAUUUUACUAUGCUCGUAAUAACUUAAUCGAAAUUAAACAUAUCACUGGUCUACAUUUUUUUAUAAGAUUUUGUGACUUGCUAAUUAAGAUGAGUAUCACCAUCAAAUCAACAAGCUUAUACCUUCAAAGAAAAAUAGACUAUAAGUCGGGAGAAAGAAGAAAAAAAAAAAAAAAAGAAUCUUCGCAAUUUAUGCUGUUGGUUGUGAGUUCAUGAAACAAAUAAAAAUAUGAAAUCAAACAUUUAUUCAAAAUUUAAAAUUAAAAAAAAAACUCUAUAUCUACAGUAAUCUGUUCAAACCACAUAGGUGGAGCAAUAUAGUUCCAAGACGUGGUUUUAAAACAUGUCUUUGUGAUAAACAAUAUCGUGAUACUUGCGCCAAUUCCCAUGGCAAUAAUUGCCUACAUUUAUCCAAGAUCCAUGGCCAGGUUUAGAAUGUGCUAGUCUUCUUUCACUUUCAUAAAUAACCACUACUAGGUAAUCAGAGUGUCGGUCUAAAUUUUUCGGAGAUACAACGUCAAUGUAUGUGCCCGGAGUUGAAGCUGAACGCGCUUAAAUAUGUUCGGAAUUUGAAGUUGAACGCCUGGAAAAGGAUGCAGACUGAAGAAAGGCAAUUCCUGGAAUUUGUCUUUGGUAAGAAAACAUGGCUGCUUAUGCCCUUUGAAAGACUGAAGAAACCAAAUUGAUUAUUGCUGCAAUUUAGUGGCACAUGUACGAGGAGAGGCAUCCAAUUAAACUUGUUCAUAAAAGUAUUGCUGAUAGUUGCAGCCGAUCUCCAGACAAAAUCUUCGUACAAUUUUAUCCGCCAGCAAUUUCGACCAAGAGACCUUGAUGCAGUUCAGACCAAUUCGCCAGUUGAACAUCAAGUUGCCUAGGCAUUGAGAAUUAGGUCAAUAAAAUAUAUCCUGGGUCACUUACAAAAGAUGAAAUAAGUGAAAAAGGAAAGAUGACGUAAUAAUUUCUUAGUGAGAAAAGUUAGUUAAUUUGCAAAGGUCUUAGAUAAUCAAUUUGAUGUAAAAAUAUCAAAAUUUUUUUUAAUCAGUGAAAUAUUCAACCUCUAGUUUCAGCACUACAAAUGAAUUAAAUAGAAUAAUGAUAGAUAUUUUAAAAUUUUAUCCCAAAUGAUGUGAUAUGUAAUGUAUCAUUCAUUAAGUAGUUGAUGAUUUUUUUAUAAAUUUUAAGUGGAUUAAUUAUAUUAUUUUACCAACGAGUAAAUAAAUGUCACAUCAUUAGAGAAGAAAUUUUAAGGUAAAACUUUUCAAAUAUAUAUCACUACUCCAUUAAAUAUGGUAUAAAAAAUCUAAUAGGGACCAAAAAUAUAAAAACCCAUUAAAAAUAAAAAAUAUAAAAGUCAAUUCCUAAUUAGAAGAAUGAAAGUUUGUUUCUCCUACAAUCAUUUCACUAGAUUUUAAAUAAAUUAAUUAAUGAAAAUUUUUAAUAACAAAUCGGUGCCUAAACCUAACGUCUUUUUUUUUUUGGUCUUAUCCACGAGGUAUCCUGGGGAGGGCCCCAACUGUGGGAGGCACCUUUAAGCCCGUACCACAACCCAGACUAGAAGUCCCCGCUCGAACCGGGAGGCACAGGUUCUCCCAACAAAGGCGACUUCCCCGCGACUCGAACUGGGGAGCAAACCCAGUCAAGCCACUUAAGGGGACUCCAUUGCCAGUGGAGCCAACACUUUGUUGGUUAAACCUAACGUCUUUGACAGUGCUGCCAAUAUCACUCACAACUUACAAGAAAAUUUUGGUAUUAAAUUUAUUAAUGUUCUCAAGGAAUUUUUAGUUUGACUUUGCAUUCUCAGACCCAUUUGUCACAUAACACGUUAGCAAAGACCUUUAAUGAGAAUAUUAAAACAGCUGUCGAAUAAGCAUCUUGACGACGACUUUUUGACAUAUAUGCAUGCCUCCUUUUGUGAACAAAUUUGAAACAUAAAAGAAAAUUUUGAUCCAUGUGAGAGCUGGAGUAUUUUAUAGCUUUUGACCUCAUUAAUUAUGAGUAAGGGAAUAUUUCUACGUCACUAACGAUUAACAUGAUCACUAUAUAAAGGGAAGCAAAGUAUGUUUAGCAUCAAGUCAGAAAACACAAUUUUUAGGAAAUGGGAACUCUAGGACAGGCGAAGCAAUGGCCUCAAUUGGUUUGUGCUAUGGCAUUUUUGCUCAUAGCCACCACAACCGCAAAGGCAUCAGCUGAUGAUUAUGGCCCAGCACCAUCACCAAAGCAUGCAAAGCACCCUCCAAGCCAUUACAAGCCACCGAAACCACCAAAGCACCACGAGUCACCACCACCAUACUACUAUAACUCACCACCUCCACCAGUACAUUCUCCUCCACCACCUUAUUACUAUAAGUCUCCACCACCACCUUCUCUAUCUCCACCACCUCCUUACUAUUAUAAAUCACCACCACCACCGAAACAUUCUCCUCCACCUCCUUACUACUACAAAUCACCACCUCCUCCUUCUCCCUCUCCACCUCCACCAUAUUAUUACAAGUCUCCCCCACCACCAUCUCCAUCUCCCCCACCGCCUUACUACUAUAAAUCCCCACCACCACCAAAAUAUUCUCCUCCACCACCUUACUACUAUAAGUCACCACCUCCACCAGUGAAAUCUCCACCUCCGCCAUAUUACUAUAAAUCACCACCACCACCAAAACAUUCUCCCCCACCACCUUACUACUACAAGUCACCACCACCACCAAUGCAUUCUCCCCCACCACCUUACUAUUACAAAUCUCCACCACCACCAAAGCAUUCUCCUCCACCACCACCUUAUUACAAAUCACCACCCCCACCACCACCAAAACAUUCUCCCCCACCACCUUACUACUAUAAAUCUCCACCGCCACCAAAACAUUCUCCUCCUCCACCAUACUACUAUAAGUCACCACCUCCACCUGUAAAGUCUCCACCUCCACCACCUCACUACAAAUCACCACCACCACCAAAACAGUCUCCUCCACCACCUUAUUACUACAAGUCACCACCCCCACCAGUAAAGUCUCCACCACAGCCACCAAAGCAUUCUCCCCCGCCACCUUACUAUUACAAAUCACCACCUCCACCAAUGAAGUCUCCACCACCGCCACCUUACUAUAAAUCACCACCACCACCAAAUUCUCCCCCUCCACCUUACUAUUACAAAUCACCACCACCACCAAAGCAUUCCCCCCCGCCACCUUAUUACUAUAGAUCUCCACCACCACCAAAGUAUUCUCCCCCACCACCUUACUACUAUAAGUCACCACCUCCACCAAAGCAUUCUCCCCCGCCUCCUUACUAUUACAAAUCUCCACCACCACCUUACUAAUACAAAUCUCCACCACCACCAUCUCUAUCCCCACCUCCAUCUUCCAUUUACACCGCCACCAUCUACAUCACCUCCACCACCAUCUCCAUCAUUGUCACUAUUGCCUUCCGACUACUCCAUGUGAUCACCACCUCCCGAAGACUUCUAAGUUCAAUGUCCCUUCUUGAAACAAGUUUAAAAUUCAAUAAGAAAAAAUGUGUUCCUUCGGUUGCCCUUUUUAUGAUUUUUUAUGUUAAUGUUUUUAUGAAUAAUUUGUAAGAAGCGUUGGGUGUAUCAUUUGUCAUGUGCAAUAAAAAUUUCUAACUUGAUGUAUCCUAAAAAAAAAGUAUUGUGCCAAAAGAAUUAUUCUAUUGUUUUAUCACAAAUGUGUUGUGGCACAUGUAAUGCGCCUGGAUGAAGUAAUAUUAUGUCUUAAUGAAUAAUCAUGCACAACAGUGAUCAUGUACAUAGUUCUUCCAAUGUCAUGAUAAUGUCCAUGCACGUAAUAAAUAACUUCUUCCUUAUAAUAUCAAAGAAAAUGAAGAUACAAACCUUUUAUUCUCUAAUCAUUUAGUCAAACAAAAUUGUUUUAAUUUAGGUUUUGAUCAAUCUUAAUGCUAAUAAAUUCUAACUACAAAUCAAAUACAAUAUCAGCAAAAAUCAUAUUUUAAAUGAAUCAAAAAACAAACACUAGACUUAACCAAGCAGUUAACCUUUAUUAUUCUCCUCAGCAAAGGAUACAAAGAUGUAGGUAGAUUACAAGUUAUCACUGAAAAAAUAGAAAUCAUCUAAAAUGGUGAACAAAUGAGCUCUAAAUAUGUUGCACUCAUUUGUUCAACUAAGCAAUAGAAUUACCCUUUUCCAUUUUAACUGCUUGUCUGCUUUAGCAUGGCAACUUUAAAUAACACCCUUCAACUUGAAAAUUUUGAAUAACCAGAGCGAUCAAUAAUUGUAAAUCUUGAAAAAAAAAAUUUAGUUUAAUUAAAGCCAUAAACAUAAUAUUAAAUAAAAUGAAAAAAAGGUAGUAAACGUAGUGUUGAACUACUUUAUACUUGUGAACUAACUUUUGAUGUUGAUUAAGAUCAUGGACCCUCAACUUUUGUAUUAUGAAUAUGCUCAUGUCCUAUCUUAGGUCUCCUCUAUAAACCACCUUUUUUUAAAAAAUUAUAUUCAUUAUGAUACUAAGGUACAAGCAGAAGUAAGAUUCCUUUAAUAUUUUUGUAACCAGGAUGUGGCAACCUAGGUGAUACGUGAAUUGGUUUUUUGCACAUUUUGCUAUAUUUUUUUGUGUGUAUGCUUGCUGUUUUUCUCUUUGUUCCAACAAUUUCCACAUGAGGAUAAUCUCAUUUUAACAAAGAAAGAUACCACUAAAUUACUACAAAACAUGAAUUCUAAUAUACUAGAAACUAUUCUUUUUUUUUUUUGCCUUUUCAUAUAUUAGAGUUAUGUUUUUAUCAUCUUAGUGGCAUAUAUGCAUUUUAACUAAAUGAGAAUAUUCUCAUUUCAGAAUUAUUAAUAAGAGAGUAGUAGACAAAUGAUACAAAACUAUGCUGCUUUACUAUUAACAACACAUUCAAUGGAGUAAUGAUAGAGAGUAAAUUCUAACACCACAUGAAAACAAACAAAAGUUGAAAUAUUUUAGCUAAUACGUUUAAAGUUUGAAUUAGUAAUAAAAUUGUCUCAGAAAACUGCCUUAAUGGAAUUAAUGUGAGAUUUAUUGGUCGGUUGUAUCAAUAUCAUUUUCCGGAAAAAAAAAAUUUAGUCAAAAUAUGAAAGGUUUGUUCUGCAAGUGGUUGAUAUUGCUGUACAUUAAUAUCAAAGAUACAUUAAGUUCGUACCAAAUUUUAUUAUAAAAUUCAUAAAUGUAUAAGUAGAAGAUUUUAUAAAUUAAUUCCAGGUAAAACGUCGGUGAUGUGAAUAAAUGGUGAAGAGAAAGCUCUAAUAAUUAUAGUAAUAACAGUGAGAAGCUAGCUCAUCAUCGAGUUGUAAGAUAUAUUUUUGAAUUUUCUUGAACACGCUUUGACGUACGAUUAGCAAAAAAGUCUGUCUAUGAGCAAUCGGUCGUACACAGCUUAACUAAACCAUUGACAUUGUAAUUAAUUGAUGAGCUUUUUCUAAUUUCUAUGAAUCAAAUGCAGAUAUUUAGUGGGCAACUACCAACCCUUGCUUGGCAAAAUAUAGGAAAGAAAAACGUGAAAUUUAUAAAUGUUACAUUUUUUUAGAUGAAUAAUUUUGAGAUAAUGUUUCAGUUUCCGAUAUUGUUAUCUAUACCUAAUUAUAGAUAAUAAAGAAAUAUUUUCUAAUUUUUUUUAUCAACAUUUACAAUACAUUUUAUUUUUAUUUCUAAAAAAAUAGAUAAAGCACAAAUUAAUUAUUUUAACCCUCUAUCUUCACAAUAUUUAAACUCGAAUAAUCAGUUAAAGUUGUUCGAGAAUGUUUAAAUGCCAUUUAAGUAUACCACGUCAUUCAUAUUUUGCAAUCAUCCAAUUGUGAGGAUUCCCAUGUACUGAAAAUAAAUAGAAAUACACAUGCAUAUGUCAUAUUGUCUCUGAACCGCAGAAUGAUUGUAGUACUUGCAAUGCGUGUAUUUUAGACUUUGUCUUUCUCUGAUUUAAAUGAUCUAUAAUUUUCCUUUGUCCUUUAAUUAGAAGUCAGCAGUCAAAGUUGUGGGCAAGUAGGAUAUAUAUAGUAAUUUCCUUGAGAUCUUCUGUCUUCUAAGACAUUGUAAACACCAAACGUGAUCACUAUUUUGAUCAUUCAAAUACUACAUAAAAUAUAUGAAAUGUGAGACAAGUCAAAAGAAUUGAUUCUUCACAAUUGUAUAUAGUAUUAUUUGAUUCUGCCUCCCACCUAUACACACACACACACACACACACACACACACACAUAUACCCUGAGCAGGAUUUACAUUUUGUCUUUACAUUUUCCACAACGCCUUUAAUUUUUACAGUGAUUAAAAAAGGCCAAAAUAUUGAUGUAUUACCUCCAACUACUAUUUAGACUUUGUUCAAAUCCCAUUGUAUCCAGGCUGUAAUUUUUAUAUUAAACAAACAUAUUUUAUUUUAUGUCAGCAAUAUUGAUGACAAGAUCACUAUAUAAAGAGUAGCAACUAGGUUGUUUAUACAAGUCACAAAACAUAAUUUCACUUUGAAUUUUAAAAAGAUUAAUGAAGUUCAUACAAAUGCUAUUAUGGAUUUUUUUUUCUUUGGACGUUGUUUUGUGAAUCAUAAGGGUUAAUUUAAUAAGGUGGGUUCACUUGUAUAAAGCGCACUCAUUUUACCAUACUGUUGCAAGCAAUGAAAAAACGCUAUAAUCUUUUUAAGUUUCUACAAGUAUUAUGUUAUCAUAUAUCCAAAUGUGCAUCUGUAUUCUUUGCUCUCAGUUCCGGUUCUCUAGAAGUAUGUUAAUUAUGAAAAGCAUUAAAGGUUCCAAAACUCUAUUUUGCGGGGAAAAAGAACCUCCAUUUUUGGUUUUUUAUUAUAUGAGGUUUUACCGCGCUCGUAAUAACUUAAUCGAAAUUAAACUUAUCACUGGUCUAUAUUUUUUAUCAGAUUUUGUGACUAACUAAGAUGAGUAUCACCAGCAAAUCAACAAAGCUAAUACCUUUGUCUACUCGUUCAAAGGAAAAUAGAGUACAAGCCGGGAGAGGGGGAAAAAUGCUUAGCAAUUUAUACUGUUGGUUGCGAUAUCAUGCAACAAAUAAAUAUAUGAAAUCAAACAUACAUCCAAAAUUUAAAGUAAAAAAAAAAAAUCUAAAUCUUGAGUAAUCUAGCUGAAAUUCUGUUCAACCCACAUAGGUGGAGCAAUAUAGUUCCAAGACUUGGUUUUAAAACAUGUCUUUGUAAUAAACAACAUCAUGAUGCUUGCGCCAAUUCCCAUUCCGAUAAUUGCCUAUAUUGAUCCAAGAUCCAUGGCCAGGUUUAGAAUGUGCUAGUAUUCUUUCUCUUCCAUAAAUAACCAUUACUAUGUAAUCGGAGUGCGGUCUAAAUUUUUCGGGGAUAAAACGUCAAUGUAUGUGCCGGAAGUUGAAGCUGAAUGCACUUAAAUAUGUUCGGAAUUUGAAGUUGAACGCCUGAAAAAGGGUGCAGACUGAAGAAAGGCAAUUCCUGGAAUUUUUUUUGGUAAGAAAACAUGACUGCUUAUGUCCUUUGAAAGACUGAAGAAACCAAAUUGAUUAUUGCUGCAAUUUAGUGGCACGUGUACAAGGAGAGGCAUCCGAUUAAACUUGUUCAUAAAAUUAUUGCUGAUAGUUGCAGCCGAUCUCCAUGAAGUACAAACCCAACGCAAAGAAACAAAGUGUUCGUACAAUUUUAUCCGCCAGCAAUUUCGACCAAGAGACCUUGAUGCAGUUCAGACCAAUCACCACUUGAGCAUUUGUUAGGAAAUUGGUGGAUGAAGCAGACACGCAUCUAAAAUAAAAUUGGAAGAAAAAUAAAGAACAAGCACAAAAAGGACACCAAGAAAUUACGUGGUUCGACUUUUAGCCUACGUCCACAGACGAAUACAGAAGGAAAAUAUUUUACUAGUGAAAAGAAGUUACAAGUAUUGUGAUAUUUUAACUCACUACCCAAAAUCUCAAUACACCCAAACUCUCAAAACACUAAUCACUCAAGAGUUUAUUAAACUCUUAAUACUCUCAAUUUCCUAUAGGAAGGAAAUGCUUCUCUCUCGAUGGAAUGCUUCAGCUCUUCAUCUGCACUUCUAUUUAUAGAAAAAUAAUGGCCAAGAAAUCAACGAUUUUAGCCCAACAAUUAUGGCUUCAAUUUCGUCAAUCUGUGUGGCUUCAAUUUUGUCAAUCUAGCGUUCAAAAUUUGUGGGUUGUGUUCUCCAUUUUCUUUGAUUUGCUGGCACCAAAGUCAAGUACCAAAUUUGGUGCUGACUUUUAGGUGUUUGCUUUGACAUUCUCCCACUUGGAGAUUAAAUUGAAAAUUAAUCAAUCUCCACACCAUCCUUUCUAUUUCGUCAUAAUCAUGUUGCCUACAUUUCUGCUAGGCCAUAAGAGGAUCUACUUCAGACAAACUUGUCAAUAUUUAUUGGCUUGGUCAAAACAUCUGCUAGGUCUUCCACUACUUCUCGAAUGAAGUGAUACUGACUUCCUAUAUGCUUUGUCCUGGAAUGAAAUACUGAAUUUCUUGCAAUAUGCAAGGCACUCUAACUGUCACAAUACACAUAAAAUUUCUCUUGUUUGUACCCGAGCUUCUCCAAUAACCUUUGUAUCCAGAUAGCUUCCUUGUAAGCUUGUGUAGCUGCCAUGUAUUCUGCUUCUGUUGUAGAUAAAGCCACAACGAUCUGCAGUUUCGAAACCCAGCAUACAACUCCUCCUGCAAGUGUAAACACAUAACCAGUAGUUGAUUUUCUUUUAUCAAUGUCUCCUACAAAAUCUAAAUCCACGUAGCCCCUAAUAGUAAAUUCUUAUCCUCCAUAACAUAAUAUAACAUCUGAGGUUCCUCUGAUAUAUCUCAGAAUCCUCUUUACAGCUAUUCAAUGCUCUCCACCACGAUUCGCCAUGUAUCGACUGACUGCUCCCACUGCUUGUGCAAUGUCUAGUCUAGUACAUAUCAUAGCGAAUAUCAAACUUCCCACUGUUGAUGCAUACGGUACUCGAGACAUCUCCUUCCUCUCUGCUUCAUUGUUAGGACACAUACUUGAGGAUAAUUUGAAAUUAACAGGAAGUGGGGUAGAAAUUGGCUUACGAUACUGCAUGUUGAAGCGUCACAAGAUUUUCUUCAAGUAGUUCUUCUGAGAAAGCCAAAUCUUCAUGUUAUUUCUGUCUCGGUGAAUUUACAUCCCUAGAAUCUUGUUUGCUGAUCCCAAGUCCUUCAUUUCAAACUCUCUAGCUAAUUGUGCCUUCAAUUCUUGGAUUCGAUCUUUGUUAAGGCCUGCUACCAACAUGUCAUCCACAUACAAUAGCAAAAUAAUGAAAUCAUUAUCUUCAAACCUUUUGUAAUAUUCACAAUUGUUUGAACUGAGUCUGUUGUAUCCAAGGCUCAUGAUAAAGGAAUCAAGUCUCUUAUACCAACAUCUCGGCGCCUGUUUGAGAUCGUAUAGAGAUUUGUUCAACCUGCAAACCAAAUUUUCCUUUCCUAUUUCUGCAAAACCUUCUUAUUGGAGCAUAUAUAUUUCUUCUUCAAGUUCUCUAUGAAGAAAUAUAAUUUUCACAUCCAACUGCUCAAGAUAUAAGUCAAAUGUAGCACACAUCGCUAAGACUACUCUGACUGUUGUGAGUCGAACUACCAGAGAAAAUAUCUCGUUGAAGUCAAUACUUUCUUUUUGAACAUAUCCUUUCACCACCAAUCUUGCACGAUACCGUUCCACUUGGUCAUUGCCAUCACGUUUGAUCUUAUAGACUCAUUUGUUUCCAAUAAUAUUUCUUCUACGUGGUAGUGGUACAAGUUCCCAUGUCUUGUUCUUGUGUAGAACCUCAAUUUCUUCCUGCAUUGCUGUCAUCCACAAAGUAACAUCUGAGCUGUUUAAAGUUUCAUGGAAAUUUGAAGACUCUCCAUCCUCUAUUAGAAGACAGUAAGCAAUAUUGAUCUCUGUGACAUACUCCGAGUGCCACACUAGCGGUUGUCUCUCACGAGUUGACUGACGAACUUCUGGAGCCUCGGACUCGACUGGUUCUUGUUCCUCGUGCUCUGGUGCUGCUUUAGAAGAAUCUGAAUCUUCUGGAUUAUUUUCCACGUAUACCUGCACAAUCUCUAACUUUUCUUUUACAGUGCCAUCAUCUCAAUCUUUCCUUUGCAGAUGAUCUUCUACAAAAAUAACAUCUCUGCUAAUGACGAUCUUGUGGGCAGUGGGGUCCCACAGACGAUACCUCUUUACUCCAUCAGCAUAUCUCAAUAAGAUACAUCUUCUAGAUUUUGGAUCUAGCUUUAUUCUUUCUUGGGCAUUGUAUAUCACGUACACGAGACAUCCAAAUGCAUGUAGGUAUGAGUAAUCAGCUGGCUUUCCAGUCCACAUCUUCAUCGUUGUCUUCAGCCCAAUUGCUAUAGAUGGUGACCGAUUUACUAUAUAACAGACAGUUUUGGCUGCUUUUGCCCAGAAUGAAUUAGGUAAACCAGCAGUCCUUAACAUAUCUCUUAUUCUUUCUGUAAGAGUUCUGUUUAUCCACUCUGCCACUCUGUUUUGUUGAGGAGUGUAUGCUAUCAUGAACCGCCUCUGAAUACCUUCUUGCUUACAGAAAGCAAGAAACUCGUCGUUUGUAUACCCUCCACCAUUAUCUGUCCUCAAGCACUUGAUCUUUUUACCAGAUUUAAGUUCCACCCGCGCUUUGUAUUCUUUAAACACUAGAAAAACAUCUGACUUUUUCUUAAUUAGAUACACCAACAUUUCCUAGAAUAAUCAUCAAUGAAAGUCACCAGUACUUUGCACCUCCUAUGGACAUAUCCGGUGAUUCCCAAACAUCAAAAUGAAUCAAGUCUAAAAUGCAGUUACUUCUAGCAACAGAUCUACAGAACUUUAAUCUAUACUGUUUACUUAUAACACAAUGCUCGCAAAAUGGUAAACUUACCGAUUUGAGCCAUGGAAGCAAUUUUCGCUCAGAGAGAAUCUUCAAACUUUGUUCCAACAUGUGGCCAAGUUUGAGGUGUCACAUCAUCGUUGAUUCUUCUCCAUUUGACGCGACACACACAUCAGCCUCCUAUAGUGUUUCUCCUUUAAGCAUGAAUAGAUUAGCAUCGAUCUUUUCUGCCUUCAUCAAUACAAGCGUGCCUUUAACGAUCUUUAUAAUUUCAUUCUCUAUAUGAGUUUUGUACCCAUGGCUAUCCAUUUGUCCCAAAGACAAUAGAUUUUUCUUCAUGCCGUUAACAUGUCGUACUUCCCCAAUUGUGCGAAUUGUACUAUCAAAUAUUUUUAUUUUGAUAGUACCAAUACCAGCGAUCUCCAAGGCAUGAUCAUCUCCCAUAUAUACAGAUCCUCCUGAGAUAGGUUCAUAUAUGAGGAACCAUUCUCUCCGAGAGGUCAUGUGCUAGGUAGCUCCUGAGUUUAUAAGGCAGACAUCAGAUAAUUGUUUUCUGCCUUCUGAAACAGUUGUUGCCUCGCUGUAGAGAAUUUUGCCAUCAUCUGAGGUACUUGCUACACACCCCUGAGCAUUUUAUAACUCGGGUUCUUUGCCUUCUUUUCUCUUCUGAUUACUCCAACACUCUUUCUUGAUGUGCCCUUUCUUACCACAGUUGUAGCAUUUAACAUUCUUCUUACUUCUGGAUUUUGAUCUACCAUGAUUGUGACUCCCACUGGGACCACGUUCCAUUGAUCUCCCUCUCGUCACUGAUAGCGCCUCCGCUUGCUACGAACUUGCUUGUCUGUUUUCUUUAUUUUUUUUGUCUGCUCUCCUCAUUUAAUACGGAGGCUGCAACAUCGUCGAAAACCAGACUAUCCGCUGGAUUUUUGUUCGUCAUGUUGAUGAUGAGUUGAUCAUAUGAAUCUGGUAGACUUUGAAGUAGAAGCUCUGCACGUUCAUUUGCCUCUAUAUUAUGACCCAACGUUGUGAGUUGUGAAAAUAGAGUCUUCAAGGUGUUGAUGUGUCAUUCGAAGAGUAUAGAGUUUCCUCUUCGAAGAGUAUAGAGUUUCCUCUUCAAGAAAUAAAUUUAUCAAAGAUAAAAUGGAGACAAAUGUAAAUAAAAAAAAAUGAAAAAGCAAUAAAUUAUUGAAGUUGUUUGUGAGUUUAUUCGACAGAUAAUGGAUGCGUAUGCCUUACCUGCUAUUAAGAUUAAUUAGCUUCUUCAUUAACCGAAUACGAAAUAUUGAGGGGGAAAAAAACACAUAAUUGAAUCUUGAUUAAGCUAAAAGAAAUAACUCUGUUCAACCCACAUAGGGAGAGCAAUACGGCUACUAGACUUAUCCAUAAAAUGGGGGACAAUACUAUCAUCUCGAAUAUCAUAGAUUCCCAUGUUCUUACCGUUUACUUUCCAUUUAUCAGUGAAUUGUAUUUCUACUUGAGAACAAUCAGUAAAGUAUAUGCAAUUUCGUUCGCAGAUCGAGGAGUCCAAUAUUUCAAUAGAAAAAGAAGAAUUAAGACCCAAGAAGAGUGCUCUAUUUCCCAAAUCCUUGACCUUCGUCCAUGUAUUAGUGGUUAAAUCCACCUCAAAAACCUGAAACUUAUUCGCUCUACUUCGUGUGACAACCACCAAUGCCCCUCCAGAUUCUACCAAAUAUAGUAUUGAAGAGGACAUAAGUAACGAGAUUGACAUCCGUGCCACAACAAUCAAGUUAUUAGGAACGUGACCAGUAAAAUCACAAACAAAUAUAUAACCGAGCCAAUUUAUAGCAUAAAACCUGCCUUUGUGAUAAAUAACAUCAUGAAACCUGUACCAAUUCCCAGUGUCUACAGUGAUCCAAGUUUCUUGGCCUGGUUUAAAAUAAGCUAGUCUUCUUUCACUUCCACAAACAACCAUUACCGUAUAAUCAGAGUGUCGCUCCAAAUUACUCGCAGAAACAACAAAUUUUUUGAAGAAGAAGGGAUGGUCGACGCAAUAUUCCCAGGGCAUAAACGUACGUAUGUUCGGAAGUUCAAGUUGAACCCAUGAAAAGGAUUCAAAAGACUUGCAUUUAGAUUUUGAACAUGGAGUCUCAGAAGCCAACCCUUGGAAGAAAGGCAGUUCCUGUGGGAAUUUGCUUCUGGUAACAAAAUACGGCGGCUCAUGCCCCUUGACAGACUGAAGAAACCACGUUGAUUAAUAUCGCCGCAAUUUAGUGGCAUAUGCAUAAGGAGAGGCAUCUGAUUAAACUUGUACAUAAAUUUUUUGAUAGCUGCAGCCCAUCUCCAUGAAGUACAAACCCAACGAAAAGAAACAAAAUCCUCGUACAAUUUUAUCCGCCCAGCAAUUUCGACCAACAGAUCAUGAUGAAGUUCCGAUCGACCAAUUCGCCAUUUCAGAGGCCACUCGACUAGAGAUUAAUUGAAAUACCCUAACCCCUUAAGACUAAUCUCGCUCUCUCUCUCUUGUUGAAAAUUGAGUAAAAAAAAAAAGAGAGUUGAAAAGUCAAUUUGGAAGAUAUCAUUUGAAUUCAAUUUGGAGAUAGUCGAGAAGUUUGAUAAGCAAUUAGAAGUGGUCAAAACUAUUGAAAUGGUGGCUAUUGAAUGUUGAAAAAUUGGCUUGAUUUUAGGCAAAAUCUUGCCUAUAAAAGGAAGCUCUCAUUUGAGAGCUUGGCAUCCCAAAUCCCAGAGAUGGAAUCCAAGUUUUGGUGAGAAAUUAAGAGGGAGAAAUAUUCUUAAGCAUGUAGUUAUAUUGAAGGAGCAUUUGGCUCCUCAAUACAGGUAUUAUGGGUUUGCUUUGUUAAGGGAUAUUUCUCAAGAUUAUGUAUUUGGGGCUUGGGUGAGAGAAAAUUUAUGAGAGUGUGGUUGUAAUAAUUUUCCACAUAGUGAAUAUUUUUUUUUCUCUGGUUGUCUUGUGACAACGGCCGUGGUUUUUCUCCGGAUUUAGAGUUUUCCACGUAAAUCUUGUGUUGUGUGAUUGGUAUAUUCUCCAUUCAAUUUUUCUUAUUAAUUUGUUGCUUGAUAAAUUGCUUGGAGAGAUCUUGGGAGGAAACUCAAUUUCCUAACAGUGGUNNNNNNNNNNNNNNNNNNNNNNNNNNNNNNNNNNNNNNNNNNNNNNNNNNNNNNNNNNNNNNNNNNNNNNNNNNNNNNNNNNNNNNNNNNNNNNNNNNNNNNNNNNNNNNNNNNNNNNNNNNNNNNNNNNNNNNNNNNNNNUUUUGGCACCUCAAGAAAAUUGUCAAGAAGGUGGAGUGGGCUCGGUAAAUUACUCCAGAAUCAGUAAAGGAGAUAAUGAUAUUCUCGUAGAUAGUGAGUUUCCUUUUGAUAGGAGAUUGGGUUAGUUCUUUUGGCAUGUAAAUCUCCAAGUUGCCAUGAAAGAGAACAUGCUAUGAUCAGCGGGGUACACAAGUUUGCACGCGGGCAUUGGCUUGGUAUAAAUGCAAGGUGUGUGAUGGAAAAGUUAUGUCAUGGCUGAAGAAUUCUCAGGGAAACCAAGCAUGAGAAUUGCACCAUAAUUUUCAGCGGAUAUGUUCGACAUGUGCCGAAAAAAAAAAAUCUUAGAAUGGUUAAUUCUAAGUGUUAUACUCUUUAUGGUGGAGUAUGAUAAUUCUCUAUGUUGAGAAUUAUGACUGUUGGUGAAGACAGUGCUUUGUAACAUUAGUUAUGAAUUUUUUUUUUUUUUUUUAUCAAGGUGGAGAUUGUUGAAAAUUGAUUAAAAAAAAAAGAGUUGAAAAGUCAAUUUGGAAGAUAUCAUUUGAAUUCAAUUUGGAGAUAGUCGAGAAGUUUGAUAAGCAAUUGGAAGUGGUCAAAACUAUUGAAAUGGUGGCUAUUGAAUGUUGAAAAUUUGGUGAGAAAUUAAGAGGGAGAAAUAUUCUUAAGCAUGUAGUUAUAUUGAAGGAGCAUUUGGCUCCUCAAUACAGGUAUUAUGGGUUUGCUUUGUUAAGGGAUAUUUCUCAAGAUUAUGUAUUUGGGGCUUGGGUGAGAGAAAAUUUAUGAGAGUGUGGUUGUAAUAAUUUUCCACAUAGUGAAUAUUUUUUUUUCUCUGGUUGUCUUGUGACAACGGCCGUGGUUUUUCUCCGGAUUUAGAGUUUUCCACGUAAAUCUUGUGUUGUGUGAUUGGUAUAUUCUCCAUUCAAUUUUUCUUAUUAAUUUGUUGCUUGAUAAAUUGCUUGGAGAGAUCUUGGGAGGAAACUCAAUUUCCUAACAUCUCUCUCUAUCUAUAUAUAUAUAUAGUGUAUGUUAACUAGAAAACCUUUUUCAAAUCGGAGGCGUACAAAAAAUUAACAUAGUAAUUUUGUACAUUGCGACAAGAAUCUAGUUAUGAAUUCUACUAAAAUCAGGAAAAGCAAGUCAAUUCCAAAUAGAACAAGAGUGGUAAAAUUGAAAUAACAAAAGUACUAUUCAAAUAAGAAAACUAGUAUGGGCUUGUAUGUAUCUGUCAAUUGGAUUCGGCCAAUAGCCAGUGCACGACCCACCAAAACUAGUGGGCAAUGAUCUCGUUAGCCAUUAUGGUUCUGUCAAUUAUACAUUAUGUGUUAGAUUGAAGACGUAGAAAAGGUGAACUUAAUGAGGAAAAAAGAAAGAAAGAAAGAAAGACGUCGUAAUAAUUUCUUUGUAAUGCUGCUAACCUAAGAUAAAUUGAAUCAAAUAGAAAUAGAACUGGGGUACGUGUGGUUGAGCUUGCUUUUGUUAAAUGGACAUCUCGUUCCCCUCUAAAUAUUCCCCUCUUGCCAUGUUUGCUCGCGGUGAAUUUUGUCAAAUUCUUUGGUUCUUUUCGAACCAGAGACGUGAAAAAAGAUUAAAUAAAUAAAAAAUAAUCAUAAUUUCAUUCUGUUAUUCCACAUUAUAUUUAGUUAUAGUAGGAUAAGGUCAAUCAAGUCAAAUCAAUCAUGAGUUUCAUUUGACUGGAUACUUGAGUUCUAACCCCCUUAAAAAAUAAAAAUGUCAAAAUAUGAAUAGUUUCUAUAUAUUGCUCAAGGAAAAUCAAGAGAAAAAUUAGAAUCAAUCAAGCACGGAGAAUUGCAAGGAGAAUAAUGGAUACUUAAACAAUAUACUGUUUUUAAUUACAAUAUAAUCUCCAAUGAUCUUAGAAACAAAUAAUUACUUAUGAAGCAUUGCAAGUAGUUUAUGUUGAAGUAAAAUAGAAACGUAAUUAAGAAUGAAAAAUACGUCAACAUUGUAGCUGCUUCUAAUUUUAGGCAGCAAAAUAAAUUUGAAAUCAAAUAUACAAACCAAUUUUUUUUAAAAAAAUAAAAUCUAAUCGUAAGUAAGCUAACUAAAAUAAUUAUGUUCAAGCCACAUGGAGAGAGCAAUACGGCUACUAGACGUACCCGUAAAAUGUGGGACAAUGCUACCGCGUCCAAUGCCGUAGAUUCCCAUGUCCUUGCCCUCAUUGGAGCCCCUUUCUACUUGACAAUCAUCAGUGAAAUAUGCCCCUCCUGAUUCUACCAAAUAUUACCGCUGCCCCAACGAAGACCAAGACAUUUAACACUUGUGCCAUAACCGUCAAAUUAAAUUAGAAUCCUCAGCACUAAAAUCACAAACAACUAUCCGCCCACACUUAGCUACAGCUAGAAUAAAACUUAUCUUUGUGACAAAUAACAACAAGCCUCUCCCAUUCCAAGUGUGUACACUGAUCCAAGAUUUUCGGCCUUGUUGGAAAUAACCAUUACUAUGUAAUCAGAGUUUUCCAGGUUACUCAAUGACACAAUAAAUCGUUUGAAGAAAAUGGAUUGGUGAUCUCGUUGAGGAAAUUCCCUAUAUUAUUACUACAACGUGUUCUAAAUGUGGUCGGAAGUUGAAUUUGAACACGUUAGAAAGGAUGCAAAAGAGACUUACAUUGCAAUUUCGAGCGUCAAAUGUUAGAAGCCAACCAUUUGAAGAAAGGCAGUUCCUGCAGGAAUUUGCUUCUGAUAACAAAACACGGUCGCUUAUGCCUUUGAAAGACUGAAGAAACCACAUUUGCUAUUGCUGCAAUUUAGUGGCAGAUGCAUAAGGAGAUGCAUCUGAUUAAACUUGUUCUUUUAAAUGUCAUUAUAUUCAGUUGUUAUUUUGUUUUGUUGACAAUAAUUUGUUUAGGUGUCAGUUAUUUAGGACCUAGUCAAGUAAGUGGUGGACUUAGUCUACGACUUGGUAGGAAUUAUUGCCCACUUACCUUUUUUUCAUGCUUAGAGUUGCCUGUCUUUAGGAAUAACCGUUGUCUUUUUGUUUAUAAAGGUUCAGUAAAUAAAGAUGCAUAGGUAACUCUGAAUUUGAACAACACCGGUGUGUUUCACAGGGAGGUGCAGGGUCUCUCGAACGAUUCUGAUUUAUUUUCUUGCUUUCCUUCUUAAAUAUUUCAUCUUGCAUCCAAAAUGUUAGGCAGGACUAACAAGACUGAUUCAAGCUCGCUGUACCAUGUUCGUAAAGCUGUUGAUAGUGCCAGCCAAUCUCCGUGAAGUACAAACCCAACAAAAAGAAACAAAGUCUUCAUACAAUUAACUAUUUGAAGAAUAAAUGUGACAUUUUAAUUGGAAAAUUAACUAAUUGAAGCCAAGAUCUAGAUCCAGUGGUAAAGUGCAAUUUUUAUAGAUUUCAAGUUUUGCGUUUGAAUUUGAAUGGGUGAGUAAAUUAAUAAUAAUAAUAAAACAAAUUAACUAGUUUUAAUCUACAGAGGUCUUAGAUCAUCAAAUAAUGAUAGAACCUCGAAUUUCAUAAAUUUUAAGUUGAAUGAUUACAUUAUUUCACCAUCUAGUGAAUAAAUGCCAAAUUAUUUAAGAAAAAUUUUGAAAAUAAAAUUUUGAGAUAUAUAUCACUACUCAAUUAAAUGUAGUAUAAAAAAUACAUCAGGGACCAAAAAUAUAAAAAUCCAUUAGAAAUUAAAAAAAAAUAUAAAAGUCAAUUUCUGAUUAGAAGAAUUAAAAUAUCAUUCUCCUAUAAUCAUUUCACUAGAUUUUAUAUAUAUUUAUUACAGCAAAAUUAAAAUAAAAAAUUGGCACCUAACCCUAACGUCUUUGACAUUGCUACCAAUAUCACUCACUCACAACUUACAAGAAUGAAUCUAGACUUAAUUUUCCCAGGGAAUUUUUAGUUUGACUUUACAUUUUCAGACCCAUUUGCCACAUAACACCUUAGUUGGUUAACAAAGCCCUUUCAUGAGAAUAUUAAAACUGCUGUCGAAUAAGCAUCUUAACAACCCCUUUUUUGACAUACAUGCAUGCCUCCUUAUGUGAAGAAAUUUGAAACAUAAAAGAAAAUUUCAAUCGAUGUGAGAGUUGGGAGUAUUUUAUAGCUUUUCUCCUCAUUAAUUAUGAAUUAAGAGAAUAUUUCUACGUCACUAAUGAUUAAAAUGAUCACUAUAUAAAGGGUAGCAAAGUAUGUUUAACAUCAAGUCAGAAAACACAAUUUUAAGGAAAUGGGAACUCGGGGACAGGCGAGGCAAUGGCCUCAAUUGUUUUGUGCUAUGGCAUUUUUGCUUAUAGCCACCACCACCAAGGCAUCGGCUGAUGAUUAUGCCUCAGCACCACCACCAAAGCAUUCUCCUCCACCUCCUUACGACUACAAAUCACCACCUCCUCCUUCUCCCUCUCCACCGCCACCAUAUUAUUACAAGUCUCCCCCACCACCAUCUCCAUCUCUUCCACCGCCUUACUACUAUAAAUCACCACCUCCACCAAAAUAUUCUCCUCCACCACCUUACUACUAUAAGUCACCACCUCCACCAGUGAAAUCUCCACCUCCGCCAUAUUACUAUAAAUCACCACCACCACCAAAACAUUCUCCCCCGCCACCUUACUAUUACAAGUCACCACCACUACCAGUGCAUUCUCCCCCACCGCCUUACUAUUACAAAUCUCCGCCAACACCAAAGCAUUCUCCCCCGCCACCUUACUACUACAAAUCUCCACCACCACCAAAACAUUCCCCACCACCACCUUACUACUAUAAGUCACCGCCUCCACCAGUAAAGUCUCCACCACCGCCACCAAAGUAUUCUCCCCCACCACCUUAUUAUUACAAAUCACCACCUCCACCAGUGAAGUCUCCACCUCCGCCAUACUAUUAUAAAUCACCACCACCACCAAAGCAUUCUCCCCCGCCACCUUACUAUUACAAAUCUCCACCGCCACCAAAGUAUUCUCCCCCACCACCUUACUAAUACAAAUCUCCAUCACCACUAUCUCCAUUCCCACCUCCAUCUUACAUUUAUAAAUUCUCACCGCCACCAUCUACAUCACCUCCACCUCCACCUUUGUCACUAUCACUAUUGCCUCCCUACUACUACAAGUUGCCACCACCUCAUUCAUCUUUGCUUUCGUCGUAUUACUACAAAUCACCCCCUCCUCCUAAAGACUACUAAGUUCAAUGUCCCUUCUUGAAACAAGAUUAAAGUUCAAUAAGAAUAAAUUUGUUCCUUUGGUUGCCUUUCUUAUGAUUUUUUAUGUCAAUCUUUUUAUGAAUAAUUUGUAAGAAGCGUUUAGUGUACCGUUUGUCAUGUGCAAUAAAAAUCUUGUAACUUAAUGUAUCAAAAAAAGAAGUAUUGUUCCAUAAGAAUUAUUCUAUUGUUUUAUCACGUGUUGUAGCACAUAUAAUGCGCUUGGAUGAAGUAAUAUUAUGUCUUGAUGAACAAUCAUGCGCAACAAUGAUCAUGUACAUAGUUCUUCCAACGUCAUGAUAUGUCCAUGCACAUAAUAACAAACUUCUUCCUUAUAAUAUCAAAGAAAAUGAGGAUACAAGCCUCUUAUUCUCUAAUCAUUCACUCAAACAACAUUGUUUUAAUUUAGGUUUUGAUCAAUCCUAAUGCUAACAAAUGCUAACUACGAAUCAAAUAUAAGAUCAACAAAAUCCAGAUAUGAAAUGAAUUAGAAAAAUAAACACUAGACUUAACCACGCAGUUAACCUUUAUUAUUCUUCCUCAGUAAAGGAUACAAAGAUGUAGGGAGAUUACAAGCUUUCACUCAGAAAAUUGAAAUCAUCUAAAAUGGUAAACAAAUGAGCUCAAAAUCUGCUGCACUCAUUUGUUCAGCUAAGUAAUAAAAUUACCCUUUUCCGUUUUAACUGCUUGUUUACUUUAGCAUGGCAACUUUAAAUAACACCCUUCAACUUGACAAAUUUGAAUAACCAGUGCCAUCAAUACCGGUAAAUCUUAACAAUUUUUUUUUAGUUUAGUAAAGCCGUAAACAUAAUAUUAAAUAAAAUGAAAAAAGAGGCCAUAAACAUAACUUUUGAUAUUGAUUAAGCUCAUGAACUCUCCCAACUUUUGUAUUUUGAAUAUGCUCAUGCCCUAUCUUAUGUCUCCUCUAUGAACCACUUUUUUAAAAAAUUAUUUUCAUUAUGAUACUAAUGUAUAAGCAGAAGUAAAUUUCUUUAACAUUUUUGCAACCAGGAUGUGGCAACCUAGGUGAUUCUUGGAUUGGUUAUUUGCACAUUUUUCCGAGUUUGCUUGUUGUUUUUCUCUUUGUUCCAACAAUUCCCACAUGAGAACAAUGUAAUUUUAACAAAGAAAGAUACCACUGAAGUACAACAAAACAUGAAUUCCAAUAUACUAGAGAACUUUUUUUUUUUUUUGGCCUUUCAUAUAUUAGAGUUAUGUUUUUGUUAUCUUAUAGUGGCAUAUUUACAUUUUAACUAAAUGAGAAUAUACUCAUUAGAGAAUUAUUAAUAAGAGAGUAGUAGACAAAUGAUACUCGACUAUGUUGUUUCAGUAUUAAUGACACAUUCAAUCCAGUGAUGAUCGGGAGCCAACUCUAACCCCACAUGAAAGCAAACAAAAGUUGAAAUACUUUGGCUAAUACCUUUAAAGUUUGAAUUAAUAAUAAAAUUGUCCUAGAAAACUGCCUUAAUGAAAUUAAAGUGAGAUUUAUUGAUAGGGUGCAUAAAUAUCAUUUUUCAGAAAAAAAAAAUAUAGUCAAAGUAUGAAAGCUUUGUUCUGCAAGUGGUUGCAAUUGCUGUACAUUAAUAUCAAAGAUACGUUAAGUACAUACCAAAUUCUAUUGUAAAAUUUAUAAAUUUAUAAGUAGAAGAUUUUAUAAAUUAAUUCUGGGUAAAUCCUCGGUUGUAUGAAUAAAUGGAGUAGGGAAAGCUGUAAUAAUUAUCGUAAUUACUGUAAGAAGCUAGCUCAUCAUCGAGUUGUAAGAUUUUCAAUUUUCUUGAACACGCUUUGACGUGCGAUAGCAAAAAAUUCUGUCUAUGAGCAAUCGGCCGUGCAACAUCUUAAUACUCCAUUGACUUUGUAAUUAAUUGAUGAGCUUUUUCUAAUUCUAUGUACCAAAUGGAGAUAUUUAGUGGGCGACCGCCAACCCUCGCUUAGCAAAAUAAAGGAAAGAAGAACGUGAAAUUUAUAAAUGUUACAUUUUGUUUAGAUGAAUAAUUUUGAUAUAAUGUUUCAGUUUCAGAUAUUGUUAACUAUAUCUAAUCAUAAGUAAUAAAAAAUAGGGAGAUUGUCAAUUUCUCCCCCUACAGUAAUCAACAUAUACUAUUUCCCCCCCUAUUAUUUUUAUAAUGGCCAAAAAUCUCCUUGAUAGCAUAAGUUUACAAUAUUACCCUUAUUUUCAACUACUCUUUUAUUUAUAUUUAUUACAAAUUAAAUAAAUCACAUGAAUAGAAACUAAAUAAAAAAUUAAGAAUUAAAAACAAGAAAUAUAUGUUUUGAUAUGAGCAAAAAAAUUAAUAAUAAAAUUUUUUCCUGUACUUAUUUAUUUUGUGAAAAUUUUCUUAUAAUAAAUAUAUAAGAAAAUUAUUAUAAAAUGAUAAAAAAUUAUUAUAAGAAAACUUGAAUGACAAAUAAAAAUUUAUUAUAAGAUAAAUAAUAAAAUAUUUUGUCUAUACUUUUUACAUUUAAUUUUAAAAUAUUACAAAAUGUUUAUUAUAAGAAAAUGUUCACAAAAUAAAUUAUUACAAGAAAAAAAUUAUUUAUUAAUUUUUUUGCUCAUAUCAAAACAUAUAUUUCUUAUUUUUAAUACUUAAUUUUUUUUAUUUAGUUUCUAUUCAUGUGAUUUAUUUAAUUUAUAAUAAAUAUAAAUAAAAGAGUAGUUAAAAAUAAGGGUAAUAUUGUAAACUUAACUUAUCAGGGGGGUUUUCGGCCAUUAUAAAAACAACAGGGAGAAAAUGAUAUAUGUUUAUUACUGUAGGGGAGAAAUUGGCAAUCCCCAAAAUAUUGUCUAAUUUUUUUACCAACAUUUACAAUACAUUUUAUUUUUAUUUCUAAAAAAAAUGGGAUAAACCACAAAUUAAUUAUCUUAACCCUCUAUCUUCUCAAUAUUUUUUUUUGAAUACUAAUUAAUCAUCAGAUUACUGCAUUACACAGAUAUUUACAACAACUGCUUAUUGUAGCAGAGAUAUUACACUGAUAUUUACAAUCAGAUAUACAUGACUGGGACUUACAUUAUUACAAUGAAUUCUAUGAAGUACAUGCCCAGACAAAUAACCCCUCACAGGAGAGGGAUGUCCAUACUCCACUUGCAUUUCGCAAGGGAGAAGGAUUUUUAAAUAUAAAGAACAUUUAGCCCCCACAAUGCUUUUGUGGGGGCUAGAACCGCUGCCCUCACAAUGCUUGUGAGGGCAGCAGCCCACCACUUCGGCCAAGGCCGAAGUGGCUAUCUUCUCAAUAUUUAAACUCGAGUAACCAGCAAAAGUUGUUCCAUAAUGUUUAAAAGUCAUUUAAGAUACUACAUCAUUCAUAUUUUGCAAUCAUCCAAUCGUAAAGUAUCCCUUGUAAUAACAAUAAAUAAAAAUACACAUGUAUAUGUCAUACUGUCACUGAACCGCAGAAUGAUUGUCGUACUUGCAAUGCAUGCAUUUUAGACUUUGUCUUUCUCUUAUUUAAAUGAUCAAUAAUUUUCCUUUGUCCUUUAAUUAGACGUCAACAGUUGAACUUGUGGGCAAGUAGGCUAUAUAUAUAGUAACUUUCUGGGGAUAUUCUGUCUUUUAAGGUAUUGUAAAUAUCAAAUGAGAUCACUGUCUUGAUCAUUCAGAUACUACAUAAAUUAUUGAAAUGUUAGACAAGUCAAAAGAAUUGAUUCACACACACACACACACCAUUUCGUCUUUACAUUUUCCCGAACGCGUUUAGUUUAUAUACCAAAUGCAUGUAUCUUACGCAGGGGCUUAGUAAUGAGAGCGCCCUUGACUUGUUUGAUUGAUAAAUUUUUUUUUUUUUAAAAAAAGGUAACAACUGGUUUUUGCAAUUACCAGCUGUGCUAUAAAAGAAUAAAAUAAUAAUAUGCAAUUAUUAGAUAUAUAAACAAUCAAAUCUAAAAAAUGAUGACUAAUUAAUCAAAUAAAAAAUUUGCGAAUGAGCAUUGGUUUUAUGUAUAACGACAGUUGUUUCGGAUUUAAUGAGUAAUGCUAAACUAUUUCGAGUUAAUAGUUAAACAUUUCAUAAUUUAUGUUAGCAUUAAUUUCAUGUUUGAUGGUAAAUUUAUGGGAUUCAGUUGUAGUAGUUUGAUCUCAUUUGUACUAGGUUAUAGAUUUGCAUUACAUAGCUUUAAACUUAAUGCCUGGACGUUUGGUAAAGUUUCAUGUUACUGAUUAGAUAUUUUAUGUGAGCACAAGUUUCAUCUUUAAUGGUACAAGUUAUAGGAUUAAUGCUCUGUGUAUGAAGUUAACGACAUUUAUUUCAGGUUAAUGGUUCACAAUUUCAUACUAGAAUUAGUUUCAUAUUUAAUUGUGACGGUUUCACUAUUGCUACAAAAUAUUUUUAGCGGAAUUAAAUUACAGUCAUCAACAUUUUUCAUUUAUAAAUAAUCAAAGAAACUAUUUCUUCUUUUGUUUUUGGGAAGGCCAAAAAUGGCAUGCACACUCUUACAUAGAUCAGAGUCAACUUGUGAAUGAGUGGCCAUUCACACUAUUAUUUCUGCUGACAAAACGUCCGUCCAAUGACAAGGUGCAGACUGCAGACACGGUGCGGUCAAGGAGAUAUUCAAUAAAUAUUUAGUAUGACUUACUUAUAGUUUACUUAAUCCUAAAAAUUUUUAUUAAAAUUUUUAACCUUGGUUUUCUAAUAAAAUUUUUUAAAAAAUUAAAUAAAUUAUUUUUAAACUUUUUUAAAAAAAUAAAAAUUUUAUAAUAUUAAAAUAUCUCAAAUAAAUUUUAUUUACUCUGCUGUAUUAAAAUAAUUUUAUAAUUUUUAAUAAAAAUUCUCAUCAUUAACCGAACAAUUAAAUUUUUUUUAAAACACUUUCAUCUAAAAAAAACUAUUAAGAUAAGCUCCACCCAGUCAUACUUUAUUUGGAAAACUAUAUCAAACAUAGUCUUUUCGUCUACUAACAGUAGUUCAGAACGAAAAACGUUUCAGAGCCAGGCGAAUUACACAGCACAGAAUGAACAGGGCAACAUAAAUUGCCUAAAAUACAAUUAAAAUAAAAUAAGUCUUCACAAUUUGCUUCUCUUUAACUUCCGCAUAAGCUAGAUUUGAGUUCUUGAAUUUUCCGAAGACAGGAUUGAGCCUUCUCAAGAACCAAAUCAAUCCUGUUCCUUCCCUUGAAGUUCCCUUCAACCUUCUGACACUUACUUCUUUCCUCAAUGAUCACUUCGUGGGUUAAAGAACCACCUUUCUUUCUCUUCUUGCUCGUUGAUGCUAUUACAUAAACAACAACCAGAAAUAUUAAUAAACAAAGCUAUGUUAAUUAAUAAAAGGAAAGAAAGAGAGACAGAAUGUUAAGCUGACCUUGUGUGGUAGCAGUGGAACAAGAGGGAAUGUUAUUACUAUAUUGUUGGGAUUCAAGUAAUAAUAUGAAAGAUUUGAGCUCCAUUUUGAGAUGGCCAAAGCGAUUUGGGUACUGGGUUUCAAGCAUUUGCAACUCUUCCUUUGCCUGCUUCAGCAUUUUGUAUGAUGACCAUUCACUUUCCACGUCCUUAUUUAAUUUCUAUUGCCCUUUUCAUUCUUUCUCUCUCGCUCUCUCUCUUUUUUGACAGACCCUUUUCUUUCUCUUUUAAUUUCAAACUGAAGCGACAGAAAGGCACGAGACAUAUGGAAGGUUUUCGGUUUUGGUAAUAAAAAGGGAGGUGGAAAGUUGUGCAUUUUUUUUAAAGCAAAGAUGUGGAAAGUUCAGGCAGGCAGAAAAGGCGUAAUUGGAAUGUGUCUUAUGUGUUAGCUUUUUAUUAUUAUUAUUAUUAUUAUUUUUGGCGAUUAAGACAGGGCAACAUGUUUGCCACAUGGAAGAAAUAGACAAAUAGUACUUCAAAUCAAUUAGUGAGCCUUCUCAUUAGCUCACUAACGCACAUAUUAAUUCUACAAUUAAGGGUGUUUAGACAAAAAGUCGAGAGCAAUAUAUAUAAAAAUGGAUGACCUCUUAAAAAGUUCUUGUAUUAUAUUAAGGAGAAAACUUAUAUUAUUGUAAUUUUUAAGAGUUUUGUGUGUGGUGUUGAAUCUAUAAAUGAGCAAUGAUAAAUUGGUCAUAUUAAUUUAUUAAAGAAAAAGAAAUCAGAUAUCUAUAUAAAAAUUGUAUCUGUCGGAUACCCCAUGAAAGGAAAAGGGGGAUUUCGACUAACAUGAGGGACGACCAGUCGAUCUCUGUUCAUCACUGGCUUUAGAGUUUCUCGAGAGAGAAUAAGAAAUUACGCCGGAGAAUUAAUUGUAUUGUCCAAUCUUCUAACUUUAUGCCGCAUAGAGAAGAGGGAAAAGUUAAUUAUUCGUCAAACCUUCUUUUAUGCACAAUAUAUAUAUAUUUUUUAUAAAAAAAAACAUAAUCUGCACAAUGAUGUCUGAUUUCCGGUGCUCACACUGAUCAAAUGAUUUUGUUUUGUAGAAUAUAUAUUAUAAUAUAAUUUAUUGAAAAUUUUAACGAAAGUUUUAAAAGUCUAAUUCAAAAAUUAAAUUGUUUCAACGAAGAAUUGAGAGAUAUACUCUUAACUUAAAUUAAAAGAAAAUUUAAUAACACAACUCCAAAUUUGAUCUCAAAGAUGAUAAGGUGUGAACCACUAAAUUAAUAAAUGGUUCAUCACAAUGAUAUGAAGCUGGUCGUUCAGCUUUUAAGUCAUGCUAAUUUUCUCUAUCUUGAGUGCUCCCAAAUCUUGGAUUAACUUUUUUUUUUUGGGUAAAUAUUCAUUUUUAAAGAUUUACUUAUUGAGAAAACAAUAAGGAUGUAGAUUGUCUAGUUAAUUUGGAGCUCCACUAAGAUGAUUUUUCUUUGUGGCGGCAUAGCGAUAUCCUCCCUCGGAUGUUUGUAAAUUUAUUUCUUAAGAUGCUAACAAUUUCAAUCAAUUAGCUACCUGGUUUUUUUGGUAGUAUUUUUGUUGUUGUCUUCUCUUAAGCCUCACAUGUGCUAUAGUUCUUGGGUAAGACUUAUUAAUUAUGAAUGGAGAAAAAAUGACUUUGGUUCAAUAAGUGCUAAAAAGAAGAACCAACAAAGGUCGUAAACCAAAUUUCUAGAAUUGAGGGGGAUAAAACAUAAAAUUUUAAAGAAAUUGGCUAAAUUUCUAUUCGGAUCAUCUUCACUUAACUUUGUUUCUGAAUUGAGGGACCCUAGCCUCCUAGAUGGGUCCACCCCUCCUUAUAAACUAUCUCCUCUACUUUGUUGUUGCUGCUUCUUUUUAUUUUUUGCUUACCGGCGUUUAAUUUUUUUUUUCCCAAAAAAAUUAAGGAGAUAUAUGGAUUUGGAAAUCUGAUUGGGUAGUUGUUUGAAUGAUAUGGAAAGUAAAACGUAAUCAAGAAUUUCUGGAAAAGAGUAUGUUAUUUAUGGGCAAAGCUACAUUGCAACGUGCGUUUGGUACCCCUCUCUUUUGUCUUUUUAAAGGUCAAUUACAAUAGUGUCCUGGUAUUUGUUAUAAAAAUGAAAAUGUUGAAAAUUUUUAAAAUUUUACGCAUUAGUCCUACACCUACAUAGCAUCAUUUUUCUCAUCCAUUUUGCACCAUCAAUGACAUCAUUUUUCUCACUCAUUUUAAUUAAAAGGUAAUUAAAAUUAUUUUCCAUAUAGAAACAAAAUAAUAAAUUAAAAUUCUUUUUCUUAUUUUUUAAUUAAUUAUAAAAAGAUAUUUUGUAUUAAAAAAUAAACAAUCACUAGUGACUAUUGUUUAUUCGUGUGCAAUGAUAUUUUUAAUUGAAAGGGGACAUGAAGAGUUCCAUUAUAUUUGAAAUUGGAUGAUUUACAUAAAGAUAGUCUCAAUGCUAGCAAAUGGUGAUAUGUAAAGUUGCAUGCUCCUUCUAAAAUAACUGCAACAAUAACUAUACCACAAAAACACAAGGAGUUACAUUACACUACCACCUUUUGUUUUCUUUUCUUUUUCUUUUUUAAAUCUUUUUUUUAAAUUUAGAGACCUUCAAUUUGGUUGUUAAAGGCAAUGAACCUUAAACGUGAUGUAGGAAGCAUAUUAGAUAAAAUGAAUUAGAAUUUACUAGAAAUUAUAAUAUUUGGGUCAAUUUAAAAUUUAGUAUUUUAUUAAAAUUUAUCUUAUUUUAUUAAGCUUACUUGAGUCAUAUUUGUAAUUCUAAUCUAAUUAGGAUUUCAGACUAUUUCUCUUAUUUGAGAAAGAUUAGCUACUAUUAUAUAUAUAAACUUGUUAUUCUUAAUUUAUGAUAACAGACACAAACUUCUUAUUAAUAAGCAGAGCAUUUUUGACCACCAACUCCGUAUAUUAGUUCCAUGAAGUUAAAAAAAAAAACCCAACAAAACCCGAAGCCACCAUCACAUCCGCGCCACACGGCUGCCGCCGCCGCCACUGGUUUCUCUUCUUUUCGGUCGAUCCUCUCUCCCAUCCGAAAGCCCUCACGCCGCCAAUCAUAACCCAACCCAUAACACCACCAUCUUGUCACCGUAGCCACGGGAAACUAGCCAAAACAGCUGCUGAACCACCACGAAAAUCCACCUCUCUAUUCGCCGCGAUUCACAGCCUCCACCACCACCCAUUCGUCCACGAUUAUCAGCUCUUUCUUUUCAACCCACUCACGCUGCCAACCCCCGGCUGGAUCGCCGAAAACUGAAACCAACCUCCACCCGCUACUUUAACUCAACUUUUCGAUCAAAUCACAACUAUUUGAGACAAACCACCACCAGUAUCACACUCAGCACCAUCAAAUCUUCCAAUUCCACCUAUCCUAGGCCAAUUUUUCAACCACCGUCGCCGGCAACACCAACUUUUGCCUAUUUAUAAUUUUGCCCCUUUACUUUUCUAUACUUAUACUAUUACCUAUAAUUUUCUGUUCUUUAAAAAACACCCAAAAACCAAACAAACUUAUAAAAAAAUAAAUAAAUUAGAAUUUACUAGGAAUUAUAAUAUUUGGGUCAAUUUAAAAUUUGGUAUUUUAUUAGGAUUUAUCUUAUUUUAUUAAGCUUACUUGAGUCAUAUUUGUAAUUCUAAUCUAAUUAGGAUUUUAGAUUAUUUCUCUUAUUUGAGAAAGAUAAGGAUUAAUUUAGCUACUAUUAUAUAUAUAGGCUUUUUAUUCUUAAUUUAUGAUAACAGACACAAGCUUCUCAUUAAUAAUAUUCAGUUUUUUCUCAAUUAAAAUAUCUUCUCUUUGAUGAGAGUCUCUUUCUUGAGUUUUCAAGACGUAUAAUAGAACGAAAUCUAGUAUCGCUUCCGCCCUGCGUUAAAAUGUCAUCUAAUCAUAGGGUCUUGUUAUAGUUGUUUGCAUUGGAAGGCUCAUCUAUCGCCGACAUAUCUAUUUAUCCGGCAACAUUGCCACCAUUACAUUGAUCAGAGANNNNNNNNNNNNNNNNNNNNNNNNNNNNNNNNNNNNNNNNNNNNNNNNNNNNNNNNNNNNNNNNNNNNNNNNNNNNNNNNNNNNNNNNNNNNNNNNNNNNNNNNNNNNNNNNNNNNNNNNNNNNNNNNNNNNNNNNNNNNNNNNNNNNNNNNNNNNNNNNNNNNNNNNNNNNNNNNNNNNNNNNNNNNNNNNNNNNNNNNNNNNNNNNNNNNNNNNNNNNNNNNNNNNNNNNNNNNNNNNNNNNNNNNNNNNNNNNNNNNNNNNNNNNNNNNNNNNNNNNNNNNNNNNNNNNNNNNNNNNNNNNNNNNNNNNNNNNNNNNNNNNNNNNNNNNNNNNNNNNNNNNNNNNNNNNNNNNNNNNNNNNNNNNNNNNNNNNNNNNNNNNNNNNNNNNNNNNNNNNNNNNNNNNNNNNNNNNNNNNNNNNNNNNNNNNNNNNNNNNNNNNNNNNNNNNNNNNNNNNNNNNNNNNNNNNNNNNNNNNNNNNNNNNNNNNNNNNNNNNNNNNNNNNNNNNNNNNNNNNNNNNNNNNNNNNNNNNNNNNNNNNNNNNNNNNNNNNNNNNNNNNNNNNCCCUUAAACUUAGCUUCUUGUCACAAAAGUUUCUCUUUUCAGUUAAUUUUCUUGGUCCAACAUCUAAUCUUUCAAUUUCAUAAGCAUUAGCAUCUUUAGCUGUGGUUAUAACAGUUGUAUGCUAACAACCUCUGCCCGUCACAUUCUAUUAAAAAUUUUAAAGAUCUCAAUUUUACCCUUUUUGGUUUUCGUUCUGUAGAGCACAUAGAUAUUUGAAUAUUUAAGCAAAAAAAGAAAAAAGAAAAUUAGAAUAGAGUUUUAUCAUGUCAAUUGAAUCAAAAUUGAUGAGCAUGUAAGUAAAGCAGAACUUUUCUUUUUCAUUCUAUUAACAUUAACCUAUAUGCUAAAAGUUUGUAGUAUUUCAUGUUACAAAUUAUAAUCUUGCAUUAACAAAAACUAGAGAAACAAAAAAAAAAGAAAAAAAAAUUCCUUAUACGUACCAAAAUAAUGGUGAAAGGCAAAAAUUCUUCCCAAUGCCAAAAUAAUAAUAAGGCUAACUAUUUUUCAACUUGUCAUUGAUCAAGUGUUUUCUCAACAGUCGCAGCAAGAGAAAAUGAUAACUUAAAUAAGAAAAUAAGGAUAAAGUAGACUAUGUGAUUAUCAUGACUUAUCUUUCCUAAUAUCAUAAGUCAAACAUGUGCAUUAAAGAGUCAAUAUCUAAUCAUUAUCUCCAAAUAAAAAUUGCAAAAAGUUUACAUUCCAAUAUAAAUAUAAACUAAUUAUAUUGCAAAAAGUUUACACUUGUUGAGUUUCAUGUGUUGGUAACUAUUGCAAAAAGUUUAAGGCAUAAUAAAAACUUCACUUACUGGAAAAGAAAACUUCCUCUCUUAUUUUCACUUAUUGACAAAGAAAAUAAGCAAAUCGGUUCGAUCAAAUAAUUUAAUAAGCAAUAUAGGUAACACAGAGAUAAAUUAUUGUGAUUAUAAUCCCGCCUCAUUAAACUCAAUUUGUCAACCAAAAUCGAUUCGAUCAAACAAUUUAGUAAACAAAUCUAAGCCAACCAAUGGAAAUCAUCAUACCUACAUCACUAUAUGAGCAUUUUUAAAACACAGUUUAUGCUAUGUUCUAUAUGAAAUCUAAAAUUCUAUUACCGAAACAAAUAAUACCACUAAAAGUUAAUCAAUGUUAUUGAUUAAUGACAUAUCAUUGCAUGUAUGACUUAACAAAAACUAGAUCAGCGACAUGAAUAUUAUUAGUGUUUAAUUUUCAAAAAAAAUUAGAGUAUAAAACAUUACCUUGGAUGAUUCGAAAUCAACCAAAGAGAAUUUAGCAGCAUGGGUAGUGAUUCCGAAGAGCUCUGAUUGAGGCUAGUUCAUGUAUUCUCUUUUCGCUGGCACCGGUGACUUCUUCCAUAUGAAGAAAUCGAGCAAUGAUUUUGGGAUUUCACGAAUUAGAUUUUGGGAUUUCACUGGUUAGGGUUGAUGAACUUGGAAUUCGAUACCAUUAGGUCCCUUUUAUAUAUGGUACAAUCGUAAUAUUUUAUAUUGCUUAAGGGCAUUUUUGGUAUUUAAAGGAGUGGGAGUGGGAAUCUCACUCCCCACUCCAAAAUUGAGUGGGCCCCAUGGAGUGGGAAUCCCACUCCCCCUUCAAAACUUGCAAGUAAAUACUGGAGUGGGAGGAAUUCACACUCCUCACUUCCACUCCAGAAAGUAAACACAGCCUGAGUGUUUAGUUUGUAAAAUGUGAAAAUAGAGAGAACAUAUGCAAUUGUAAUGGAGAGAGAGAAAGAAAUUAGUGAAAUGUAAUUUUGAUUUUUAAAUUUUUAAUUGUUAUUAGUGAAAUUAUUUUUUAAAAUGGGUGUAAAGAAAAAUUUAGUGGAUUCAAAUAUUCUUAUUCUAAAAACUAUACUUGCGAAGUAAAAACUCGUGAAUAUACAGUAAAUAAUAAUAUUUUUGCUAAUUUACAAUAAGGAAGAUGGAAGUAUUAAUGAGCCACAUUUUUAAGGGAUGUUGCUUCACCGUCUUAAUCCACCAAUGUGGAUUGAAUAAAAUUUUUAACAUUUUCAAUCUUGGCUUUCUGAUGUACUGGAAACAACGGUUAUGGGUUCAAUGGUUAAUAGAGGGUGAUUCGAAUAUGCGUUUCUUUCAUGCUUGAGCCUCUGCAAGGAAAAGACAAAACGCUUUUAGGGGUUUGAAAGAUAAUGAGGAGAACUAGGUUACUAAUUUAAGGGGGAUGAAAGAUAUUAUUUGUACCUAUUACUCUGACUUGUUUUCUUCCUUAUGUCCUAGUCACACUUAAAUGGCAGCGGCUGUUUAGCAUCUUAACCUGCUCAUGUAUGAUGCUAUGAAUGAUUAAUUAAAUAAGCUUUUCGGUUUGGUUCGAUUCGGGUUCGUAAUUCGGAUUGGAUUGGGUUGGUAAUUCGGGUUAAAAUUUCGAUUCAGGUUAAUUUAGAUUAGUUUGGGUUAGAAUAAUUCAAUCUAAAAAUUCAGGUUAAUUCGAGUUAGAACAAGUUGGAACAAUUUAAACAAAAAAUUCUACCAAAAACCACUUAAAAUUCAAAAAUCUUCAAUCCAAAUAUCCUCAACAACAAAAAGCAUCCUCAACAAUAUUUCAACAAGUCCUUUUAAAGUUAAUGGAACAUAAAACAUGUAGUUAAGUACAAUGAAAGUACAAAAAUUACAAAUCUAAAAAUUAAAAUGGCAAAUGGCAAUCAUGAUUAAACAUCUCCACAUGACAAACAAUGCUAAUAAUCCAUCUCCAACACCAUCAAUACUCAUCCCAACACCUCCAAAUUAGCAAUAAUUAACCAACAUUGUAGCAAAAUAUCGAGCAACAACAAAUAAAAAAUAAAGCAAAUCAGUCCAUUCCACAGAAAAAAUUAAAAAAUUAAUCAACAUUUAGUGGAAUCACUCAAUAUGCCUUAACAGUUCUUAAUAUUAUUAGUAGCAUGUUUGUAUUAUACUACGCCCUAAUUGUGUAAUUGAUUAUUAUGCAAUUCUCAAUAUUACUAGUAUCAUGUUUGUAUUAUGACUACGCCUUAAUUUUAUAAUUGAUUAUUAUGCUUGAUCCAAAUCAAUAUAUAUAGUUACAUACUUACUGUUGCAACAAAAAAUCUUUAUAUUAGAACACUUGGAUGGUCCGCUUGUGUCGAUUUAUGAAGUUCUACAUGAAAUAAAAAGACUUGAAGUAAAUAACUCUUAAAGUAAACAAAUCUUAAAAAUAAAUAAGUAAAUAAGUAACCACUAAUAUUUAUUCCUUCUGUAAGAGCAUUUAUAAACUCGUUUUCCUCAACCAAUGCUUGGAGGUUUGUUGUUGAAUCAACAAAAAGUGAAGAUCGCAACCAAUUUUGCAUCAGUAUCAAUGCUUCCACCAUAUUAGGAGUCAUAGAACUCCUAUAUUAAUCUAAAAUACGACCUCCCGUGCUAAAAGUGGACUCAUAUGCAACUGUAGAUAAUGGAAUGGCAAACACAUCUCUUGCUAUAUGCGACAAAACUGGGUAUUUUAAACUAUUAACUUUCCACCAUAACAAAAUAUCAAAUGGAGCACCCAAUGCAUUAGGCGCUUGAUAUUCAACCGACUUCAUCAAGUAAAGAUCUAGCUCAUUUGACAAUUCUAUAUGAUCUCUAAUGACAGCAACCAUCUCGGUGUAUUUGGAGAAAAGGGUCCUCAAAUACGUCAUUGUCUUCAUCUAUAAAAGUCAGCCUACUAUUAACACUAACACCAGCACUUGCACUUGGAAACGCACUUGCACUUGCACUUGCACUUGCACUUACACUAGCACAUGGUUUUAAGUGUUGAGCACUGUAUGCUUUAAAAAGCUUGUUUAGCACAUCUUUCGCCACAUUUUUCAUCUCAACACAUUUUACAUUAUCCUUACCAUAUAAAGUCUCAAAACAAAGUGUUGUAAAAUUCAUUUUCUCCCAUGGAUCUAAUACAGAAGCAACGAUCAAUAACUUGUUUAUCUUUGAAGGCCCCUCCCAAUACUCCUCAAAUUUCUCCUUUAUGCUACUUGUUAUCAUACUAAUGUACGGGUCAAGGUUGUCCACCAUUGUAUUCAGAGCUUUUUCAACUUUGCAUAUCUCAUUGUAGCCAUAUUAGAUGUCACCCUCAGAGAAGAAGAAAAUGCAAGUGUGGCAUCAUAAAAAAUCCACAAAAACCUGAUCAUUCGACGAGCAUUAUCCCAAUCUUAACUUCCUAGUGGUCCCACCAUUUUCUUCCCACAUUCUUCUUCACGAAAAUAAGCAUCAUAAAGCUUAUCCUCAUUUGUCAUUCGAUUAAAUGUCGAUCUAAACUUCAAUGCUGUCGUCAACAUGGUAUAUGCGAAAUUCCACCUAGUUGGACGAUCUAAAACCACACUUCCUCUAAAAGGCUAACAAUUCUUCCCCAAAAUAUUUUAUUACUCUACACAAAUUUGAAAUGCUUUCAAUCUCACAGUAGAUAAUCUCACAUACUUCAUAGCAUUGCGGAUACUAAUAAUAUUAUCAUCUAGUUUUUUCAACCCCUCAUUAACAGUAAGAUUCAUAAUAUGUGUGCAACACACAUGCAUAGAGUCAUCAUUCAACACCAAUGCAUCAUCUCUCCAAGUCUUCAAUUUAUUCGUCAAAUAGCUAAUGGCAACCUUAUUUGCACUUGCAUUGUCCACGACGACUAUGAACACCCUCUCUAUACCCUAGUCAAGCAAACAUUUCUCGACCUGCUUACCAAUCGUCUCCCUUUUAUGUUCAAAAAUUGUGUUAAAAUUGAUGAUAUUCUUGCAUAACUGCCAAUCUUGGUCAAUAAAGUGAGCUGUUAUUACCAUAUAACUAGUCGUCGUGAUGGAAGUCCAAAUAUCCGCAGUGAGCGAGACUAUUUGCUUCUUAUCACAUAAUAAACUCUUCAACAAAACGUUUUCAACUAGAAAUAAGUCAAGGAUAUCCUUAGUAAUGGUUCUACGAGAUGGUCACAAAUCUAAGACAGAUAACACUAGAAAAAUGUCUGAAUCUAGAAUUCUCCACAUGUGAAAAUAGCAACUCAUCAAAAAUAAUCAUUUUAGUUGUUGCCCUUCUAAUAGCCUCCUGAUUAAAUUCCCUAACCACAACUUGACCAAUCUUUUCAUUACCGGCACCAGUAGGUUCUUGAGUUAAAACUGCUUGAUUUUGUAGAUAACUUUCAUAUUUAAAACAUAUUUUCAAGUGAUUCGAUAAAUUGCUAGUCUCAUCAGUAGAUUUACAUGAAUAUUCUUGGCUGCAAUAAUUGCACUUACACCAAUUAUAAUAUUUUGGCAAUUUAGUGAAAUCCUUACACCGAUUACAACGUUCAAUCACUUUUCUUGACUGAGGUGGUUUUGAUGAUGUCCUUGAUGACCUAUUCCUCUUCGACCCGAAUUGGGCUUUCAUAAUCAUUGGUGACAUAUCACUAACUUCAUUAGAUUCAGUGGAUUGGAUGUUGUCACGAACUCUUGAUUCAUCUGUCUCAAACAUCUGAAUCAUAAAUCCAUAGCAUGAUUGUAUCAGUGAUCAAAGUCAAUCGAUAGCAUAAACAUAACAAAACAAAGAAAUCUAGAAUAAAACAUCACAAUUUAAUAUAAUAAUAAUAAUUUAUUGUGUAUUUGGACACUCUAGCCAAUGCGAAUCCUAUUUCGACACCCAAAUAUGAUUUUGCAAUAAAAAAUGAGUUCACAUUACAAAAACUCAUAAUUUCAUAAUGUUAUAUAUCCUAAACUAAACAAAUAUCACAAUUUAAUUAACAACAACAACAACAACAUUUGGGAAUUAAUAUAACUUUGCCGAACAAUAAUUAAGUUAAACAAACAAUAAUAAUAAUAGUAAUAAUAACUACGAAUCAGCAUUCAGUAAAUUGCCAUAUUCUAAAUAUUAAAAAACAAGUUAAUUAAUUAACAAUCUUCAAUUUAAUUAAUAAUAACAACAACAAACCCACUCCAAUUUAAUUAAUAACAAUCUCCAAUUGUUCAAUUAUCAGUCAACAACAACAAAUCCACUCCAAUUUAAUUAAUAACAGUCUCCAAUUGUUCAAUUAUCAGUUAACAGCAACAAACGUUACAAACCCACUCCAAUUUAAUUAAAAACAAUCUCCAAUUGUUUAAUUAUCAAUCAACAGCAACAAACCCUCGCCAAAUAAUUGAACAAUUGUUAAUUAAUUAAUUAACAAUCUCCAAUUUAAUUUAUAACAACAGUCAUCAGCAAGUCAGCAACAAACCCACUCCAAAAUCCAAAUAUCAGCACCUAGUAUGGACUAAACUACAAACCUUGAUCGAUGGGAAGCUACAGCGUCGGCAAAGCAUGACUGUGUGGGGCUGAGUGAGACGCGAGGUAAACGGCAUGGCGCGGCUGCGGGCGACUUGAUUAUUGAAGGCGUGCUAGCUGACGACGAGUGGGUUGCGGUGAACGGCUGUAAUAGGGCGUCUUCUGGAGCUGGACAGUUGCAGGCAGUGGGCUUCCUGUUGCCGUCGUCGUGGCCUCAUCUUUACUGUUUAGGGAUUUGCUUUCGAGGCUUGCUGCUAGUUAACGAGACCGAGAGUGUGAGAAGUGAGAAUAGGGAGGUAAUGAGAGUGUGAGACAGUGAGAAAUAAGAGAUUUUUUUUUGUUUAAUACAUAUGUAUUUUUUAAUUUUUAAAAGCCAAAACUUAAAAAAAAAAUUCAACCCGUUUGGAUUAAAAUUCGAUUCGGGUUCUGAACGGAUUGAUAGUUUGAAUUUGUUCGGGUUGCAAAAGUUAACUCGAUCCGAAUGCCUGUCCCUACUUACAUGAGCCCAUGCAGGGGUUGCAAGUCCUAGCUUGGCUCAUGUGCACCCACGUCUGCGCACAUGAAACUAUGCCAUACAUGACAAUAUGUAGCGAAUCGGUUGUAAUGACUAUUUAGUGCAGGCCUCCUGCUCAAUUGUUUACAAUUAUUAUUUUAAUUACAAAUUUGUAUAUUUCUAAUACUAAAAGUGAGUAGAAAUACGAUAAGAUAAGGGUGGUGUUAAUUAUUUGAAUCCAAAGCUUUCAAGAGAUACCUUCAAUCGAAGCACAAUCAAUCUAAACGUAAAACUUAACUAUCAGUUUGCAAUCAAUAUGUAGGGCAAAGCUACAUUGCAACAUUCAUUUGGUAGCCCUCUCUUUUGUCUUUUUAAAGGUCAAUUAUAAUAGUGUCCUGGUAUUUGUUAUAAAAAUGAAAAUGUUGAAAAUUUUUAAAAUUUUACGCAUUAGUCCUACACCAACACAGUAUCAUUUUUCUCAUCCAUUUUGCACCAUCAAUGACAUCAUUUUUCUCACCCAUUUUAAUUAAAAGGUAAUUAAAAUUAUUUUCCAUAUAGAAACAGAAUAAUAAAAUAAAUUUUUUAUUCUUAUUUUUUAAUUAAUUAUAAAAAGAUAUUUUGUAUUAAAACAAUCACUAGUGACUACUGUUUCUUCGCGUGCAAUGAUAUUUUUAAUCGAAAGGGGACAUGAAGGGUUCCAUUAUAUUUGAAAUUGGAUGAUUUACAUAAAGAUAGUCUCAAUGCUAGCAAAUGGUGAUAUGUAAAGUUGCAUGCUCCUUCUAAAAUAACUGCAACAAUAACUAUACCACAAAAACACAAGGAGUUACAUUACACUACCACCUUUUCUUUUCUUUUCUUUUUUCUUUUUUCUUUUUUCAAAUUUAGAGACCUUUAAUUUGGUUGUUAAAGGCAAUGAACCUUAAAACGUGAUGUAGGAAGCAUAUUAGAUAAAAUGAAUUAGAAUUUACUAGAAAUUAUAAUAUUUGGGUCAAUUUAAAAUUUAAUAUUUUAUUAAAAUUUAUCUUAUUUAUUAAGCUUACUUGAGUCAUAUUUGUAAUUCUAACCUAAUUAGGAUUUCAGAUUAUUUCUCUUAUUUGAGAAAGAUUAGCUACUAUUAUAUAUAUAAACUUGUUAUUCUUAAUUUAUGAUAACAGACACAAACUUCUUAUUAAUAAUUUUUAAUUUUUUCAUAAUUGAGAUAUCUUCUCCUUGGUGAGAGCAUCUUUUUAAAGUUUUCAAGACAUAAAUCAUAUUAGAGCUUUUUUCUGCACUAGGCAGAGCAUUCUCGACCACCAACUUCGUACAUUAGUUCCAUCAAGUUAAAAAAAAAAACCCAACAAAACCCGAAGCUACCAUCACAUCCGUGCCACACGGCUGCCGCCGCCACUGGUUUCUCUUCUUUUUGGUCGAUCCUCUCUCCCAUCCAAAAGCCCUCACGUCGCCAAUCAUAACCCAACCCAUAACACCACCAUCCCGUCACCGUAGCCACGGGAAACUAGCCAAAACAGCCGCUGAACCACCACGAAAAUCCACCUCUCUAUUCGCUGCAAUCCGUUACGAUUCACAGCCUCCACCACCACCCAUUCGUCCACGAUCAUCAGCUCUUUCUUUUCAACCCACUCACGCUGCCAACCCUCGGCCGGAUCGCCAGAAACUGAAACCAACCUCCACCCACUACUUUAACUCAACUUUUCAGUCAAAUCACAACUAUUUGAGACAAAUCACCACCAGCAUCACACUCAACACCAUCAAAUCUUCUAGAUCCACCUAUCCUAGGCCAAAUUUUCGACCAUCGUCGCUGGCAACACCAACUUUUGCCUAUUUAUAAUUUUGCCCCUUUACUUUUCUAUACUUAUACUAUUACCUAUAAUUUUCUGUUCUUUAAAAAACACCCAAAAACCAAACAAACUUAUAAAAAAUAAAUAAAUUAGAAUUUAAUAGGAAUUAUAAUAUUUGGGUCAAUUUAAAAUUCAAUAUUUUAUUAGGAUUUAUCUUAUUUUAUUAAGCUUACUUGAGUCAUUUGUAAUUCUAAUCUAAUUAGGAUUUUAGAUUAUUUCUCUUAUUUGAGAAAGAUAAGGAUUAAUUUAGCGACUAUUAUGUAUAUAGGUUUUUUAUUCUUAAUUUAUGAUAACAGACACAAGCUUCUCAUUAAUAAUAUUCAAUUUUUUCUCAAUUAAAAUAUCUUCUCUUUGAUGAGAGUCUCUUUCUUGAGUUUUCAAGACGUAUGAUAGAACGAAAUCUGGUAUCACUUCCGCCCUGCAUUAAAACGUCAACUAAUCAUAGGGUUUUAUUAUAGUUGUUUGCAUUGGAAGGCUCAUCUAUCACCGACAUAUCUAUUUAUCCGGCAACAUUGCCACCAUUACAUUGAUCGGAGAAUUUUGAAUACGUCGAUAGUUUUUGUUUUUAUGUUCACUCACGUCUAUUUCUUAGUGAUGAUACCGUCAUUGUUGUCAUUGGUGGUGCAAUAAUUUUUAGCAAUAUUAUUUUGAUUUUUCAUUUGAUUUACAAAACUUAAAUAUUAAAUAUAAUACUCAAUUUUAGUCUCAUACACUUAAAUAUUACUAAUAUUCAAGUUCGUGGUGGAUAUUGAAUAAAUCAAAUUCAGAGUAUUUUAGAUGGAUAUUAUCCAAUCUAUUCAGAUCAGAUACUUAGACAUCCAACUUGAAUGGAUUUGUUUGCUCUUUCUAGCUGUUAACUUGAUUAAUAAUUCUAUUGGGUUUGGUUUUAAAACUCCUAAUAUGAUAACUCAUUCAUGACACAAUUAAUUUAGAUAUGUGUUGAAUUGCCAUCUCUAUUGUUAUCCAUGUGUGAUGUUAGCAAGAAAGAAGAAAGAAUAGAAAAUACUUAUUUUUAGUUUAUUUUUUUAAAGAAAUAUUUAAAUUAUUUUCAAAUAAAGUAAUUGUUUAGAAUUUUUUUACCCUUCUCUCCAAUAAGUUAAUGACUAUUUAAACAGUUGGGGUGGAGUAACAAAUACCAAUUUAUUUAAGCGUGCAAUUAAAUUAUUAUUAUUUAUUUAAGGACAAAAACUUAUUGUUAAAAAAAGAUUUUACAAGUUAAUAAACUAACAUUUUAUUAUUAUUAGUAAAUUAACAUAUUUUUAGAUUUUACAAGUUAAUAAACUAGCAUUUUAUUAUUAUUAGUAAAUUAACAUAUUUUUACUAUAUAAUUAAAUAGUUGAUAGUAUGUUUAAUAAAUAUUAUGUUACAAAAAAAAUAACUACAUAGAAUAUGAAAUUAAAUUUAUUUUUGUAUAUUGUAUAUUUCAUCUACUUGAGAUAAUAAAAUCUCUUGUGUUGAAAAACAAAAUUAUGGGUUUUGAACCUUGUUCACAUAGGUGAGAGAUAAUUGGUUGCCAUUAUGUUAAAUUAAAAAAAAAAGAUCAUAUUUAUACUUAUCACUAAUUAUGGUUAGUAAAUAAUAUACAUGCAUUGUUUAACUAUAUAACAAAGUAGUUAAUUUAUUAAUUAAUAAAUUAAUUUAAAUAGAUAUUAAUAAGUGUAAGAAUAAGUCAUUUAAUUGGAAACCUAUUUCAAUGGAGUUUUAAAAAAAAAAGAGAAUAUUAUGGACUUAUAUGUUAUAAUUUCAAAACUUUUGAUUAUUUUUAUUUUGCAUGAACAAUAAGGGUCUUUGAUGUUAAUAACCCAAUAAUCACAUCUCAGCCAUUAUGCAAUUCUUAGGUUAAAUCCAACGGUACGUUUGAAAAAGACAAAAAAUAGGGUACCAAACCCCAUGGGUAUUGUAGCUGGACCCUUUAUUUAUUUAUUUUUUCAAUUGAAAGAGUUUUGUUUUCUUUUUCUUAAGGGCAAAUGCUAUGUUACAAUUAAUGUAACAUACACACUCAACAAUAACCACACAAAUUGUGUGGGCCCAUUAUUUGUGUGGUUGUUGUUGAGUGUGUAUGUUACAUUAAUUGUAACAUAGGGACUCCCUUUCUUAAGUGCUCGGUAAUGCUAAGCAACUUGCAUUUCCAACACCAAUCUUUUUUUUUAUAUAUACAAAAUGACCCUUUUUUUUUUCCAAAAAAAUUAAGGAGAUAUACGGAUUUGAAAAUCUGAUUGGGUAGUUGUUUGAAUGAUGUGGAAAGUAAAAUGUAAUCAAGAAUUUCUGGAAAAGAGUAUUUUAUUUUUAUUUUUUUCAAUUGAAAGAGUUUUGUUUUCUUUUUCUUAAGUGCUCGGUAAUGCUAAGCAACUUGUAGUUCCUACACCAAUCUUUUUUUUUUCUUUUUGAUACAAAAUGACCCAUUUACAUUAAAAAAAAUUCUUUUAAAAAAAACUUAUCACUUUUCGAAAUAUAAUGAUAAGAAGAGCUGCGGAUAAUAAUAAUCCACAUAAAAGAGUUGCAUCGCCCAAUUCCAUCAUACUUACGUGCAUUAAAGAACCUGAAGUUGCAAAGCCUUGGGUAAAAAAAAAACACUUGGUGCCGUUAUAACGCUAAAAUGAUUUUGAUUAUUUUUAAAAUAAAAAUUCUAUGAAUAAUAGAUACACUCCAUGAAAGAUAGAUGCAACUUGCAGUUUCAAAACCAAUAUUAUUUUUAUAAUCAAAGAUCUAUUGAUAUUUACAAUCAGAAUUCUAUCAAGACUAUCAUUACAAUUUAAUUUUGGCACCAUCCAAAAUUUUACAAUCAUAAUUCUAUUUGGACUAUUGGCACAAUCCACAUUUCUACCAUCUCAUAAUACUGGAUGAAUAUCUACUCUGCCAUAAUUUAUAGAGAGGCAAUCUUACCUCUACCCAAUUUUUGUAGGAGCCCAAACCCUCAAGGUGCACUCAAGCCUUGUGUAUGGGCUGUGCCAAUGAGCCACAAGCCCAUUGGCGUUUCAACACCAAUCUUGUUUUCAUUUGGAAGAGGUUCAUAUCGAUGUUGGAUUAGGUCUCACGUCUCGACUCAAGAAUUUUCUUUUAAUUAUUUAUUUCACGCAUGGAUCGAUACAUAUAUAUGCUCCAUGUUACUUAUGACCAUUGUUCUCGAUCAAGUAAUUACUGAUCCUAUCAAAAAAAUUAAUUAAUUAAUGAUACUUCAUGCAGAUGCAUGCGGCAUAAUGAUAGACAGUUUUCAAGAGCACGUGAAUUCUUUUAUUAAUACAAAAUGUUUGACAUCUUAAACGAUAAUAGACAAACAAAUGCAAUUGAAUACACAAAAGUACAAAUGGAAUUUGAAAAGAAGGAAACGAAAAUGAAAGGAAAAAAAAACACAUAAAAAACUGCGAAGCAUCCACGUUUGCAUGCCCUCAAGUCUACAACAUAAAGCCUUGUUCGGGCUAGAAAGCCACCAUAUUUUAUGCAUUGGCGGCCUUCGUAUGAAUAGUGACUUUUUUAGUAAAUCUUAGGAGGUGGGGGAGAGUUGUAGUAAUAAACAUGAGGAGGCGAAGGUGUAGGUGGUGGUGGUGAUUUGUAGUAGUAAGCAGGCGGAGGUGACGGUGAAGGUGGUGGCGGAGAUUUAUAGAUGUAAGGUGGAGGUGGCGAUGGCGAAGGUGGUGGAGGGGACUUGUAAAUGUAAGGGGGAGGGGGAGGGGGAGAUGGCGGUGGUGGUGGGGGUGAGUUGUAGAUAUAUGGCGGAGGAGGAGAUGGAGACGAAAGGGGUGGAGAUUUGUAAACAUAAGGAGGCGGGGUUGAUGGGAAAGGUGGAGGUGGAGAGUUGUAUACAUAUGGAGGAGGUGGUGACGUUAAGGGAGGUGGAGGGGACUGGUAGAAGUAUGGAGGAGGUGGCGAUGGUGACGGAGGUGGCGGGGAUUGAUAAAUGUAUGGAGGAGGUGGCGAUGGUGAUGCAGGUGGCGGGGACUGGUAGACAUAUGGAGGAGGUGGCGAUGGCGAUGGAGAUGGGGGAGAUUGGUAGAUAUAUGGAGGAGGUGGCGAUGGGGAUGGUGGUGGCGGUGAUUUGUAAUUGUAAGGUGGAGGUGGUGAUGGAGACGGGGGUGGUGGGGACUGGUUAACAUAAGGUGGAGGAGGUGGUGAGGAAGGAGGAGGAGGCGAUUUGUAGAUAUAUGGUGGAGGUGGUGACGGAGAUGGUGGUGGUGGAGAUGUGUAGACAUAAGGAGGUGGAGGUGGAGGUGAUGGUGAGGGUGAUGGUGGGGAUUUAUAUACAUAAGGUGGGGGUGGUGAUGGUGAUGGUGGUGGAGGAGAUGGAGAAGGUGGUGAUGGAGACUUGUAGAUGUAUGGAGGAGGUGGAGGAGAUGGAGAAGGUGGUGGUGGGGACUUGUAGACAUAAGGCGGAGGAGGAGAUGGUGAAGGUGGUGGUGGGGACUUGUAAUCACAAGGUGGAGUAGGUGAUGCAUGGGACGGAGGUGGCGGUGAUUUAUAGAUAUAUGAUGGAGGUUGGGGUGAUUUGUAAUAGUAUGUAGACGGAGGGGAAGACUUGUAAUGGUAGGGAUUUGGUGACCUGUAAAUGUAGGGUGGCGGAGGUGGUGAAGCAUAAGUGUAUGGCUUGUAGUCAGCUGCCACAUGAGUUGCCAACAAACAUAAUGCCAAAGCAAAAACUAGAUGGGGCCAAAUAUUGGCCAUUUUUGGCUGAAUUUGAUCACUCGAAAAUCCCAACGAAAGAGUUGGGGUCUUUAUGGCGUGGAGAUUAGAGGCAGAUCAGUUUUUAUUAGGAUGAGUACAAUAGAGAAGCGUGCUGUUUAUAUAGUGAUAGUUUCGAGCUUUAAAGCCAUUUUUUAAUGAAGCAUGGAGCUUCCUCCAUACACGUCUAAUAUUUUUGUACCUUUUUUUAUUUAUUAUAUAUAUCAAGUGUAUUGACAUAAUGGGAUCCCACCAAGCCUUUGCAUGUCUCUUUUGUGCAAACACCUUGAAAUCGUCAAGUUUAUAUUCUAGAAGUCAUAACGAAUUAAUUAAAAAGUAGGUAAAAAUUUCAUCCAAUUAUUGAGCAAAUUGCAAGAACAAGGGGUUCUUGAGAAACUUUCCAUCGUCAGUUGGUAGCUCAUAAAAUUGGCUGGUCAUUUAAAACCAAUUGAGCCAUCUGAUCAUUUCUUAUUAAAUUAUGCAGAACAAUUAUCAUUUCACCGUCCCCAAAUAUUAGGGAAUGACUGCAAGAGAAAGGCACUUGCCCACACUUCUGCCAUUUACAUAAUAUUGUUUCUCGACUUUUCUCGUUUCUCUUGUUUGUUUUUGUUUGUUUUGUUUUGUUGGCUUUUAUUUUUUCAUGGCUUAGACGCUUUGGUUUAUAUUUCUCUCCAUUUUUCUUUGCAUUGAUUUAUUUUUCAGGUAGAGGUCUCAUCUAAUUCCUCACUUUAUCAGUGGUUUUAAUUAAAAAAAAGGAAAAGAAAAUCCUUUCGUUUAAUUUAGAUUAAAGCUAAAAUUUUAUAUAUGUUUACAUAGAAUGUUUGUUUACAUUAUAGCUGAAAAAAAUAAAAAAAUCUGAGCCAGGUUAAAACUAUACUUAUAGACGUGGAGAGAAGAUUUAGUUACCAAUUACGCGAAACAAAAUAUAAAAGUAAAUAAAAAAAUCGUACAUGAAAACGCGUGUCAAUAAUAUGACCUUCUGGUUAACAGCCAAGUUCCUCUUUGUUAUAUGUAUUUUAAUUUCCUACUAAAGCUUCUUUAGAUACUUUUACUCAAAGAUCAAGACAUCACAUGUAUAUUUGGUGAAAGUUACAAGCAGGAAUAUUCAGGAUAGAUAAUUUUAUUAUACAUAUGUCCAAAGUUAUUUAAUAAGGGAUCUGAAGUGAAACAGUCAAAAGCAUCUUCUAAUUUGUUGCAGUAUAUAUAUACAUAAAGCUAAUGUCAAUGUGUUUGUUCUCUUUCUAUUUUUUUUUUCUUUUUUAAAUGAUGAGAUGACUGCUGAUUAAGAUGAGAAGUUUAAAUUCGUGAACUACAGGAGAACUCCUAUAAACAAAUGGUUGACGAGUAAUUAAUUCACUUAAACAAUAAAUAAAAUCUUUCGAUUUUAAUUUGGGGUUGUAUAUUAAAUUAAUAAUUUUUCAAAUUCUUUAGGCCCAACGAAUAUAUAAAUUAAUUGUUAACUAAAUACAUUAAACAAACAAGUGUAAAAGGUCCUCAACAAUUUAUAUGAAUUUUAUUAUUGACCCAAGGAGUUUUAUAAACCUUGAUUUUGACGGUAACAAUAACAAAUAAUAUGGUAAGGGAAAUAACGAAAAAAAAAACACUUUUAGAUCUCAUUAGUUCUUGAAUGUCAAAAUCCAUUCAUGUAAAAUCAAGUUCAAAGAAGUCACGGACAUGCUCAUCAAGACAAAACUCGAAUGUGAAGAACACUAGCUUAAGUGAUAUUUCAUUUACAUAAUUAUUGUAAAGCUAGUUUGUUGGAUUUAUGCAUUAUUAAGUAUUUAAAGCUCAAAUCUGAUAAUAAUCAUCACAUCCAAAUCUGUCUUUUCUUUAUAAGUUAUAUUUUCUAUACUUGAAGAAAAUCAAAAGCUAAAUGUUUUAUCAAAAUUAAUUUCUUCGAGGUAUAAGGAUUUAUUUGAAAAUUCUUUAAAAAAAAUUAUGUAUCAAAAAAGCUAGAGAAUGCUAUUUCUUCAAAUCUUGAAAAAGAUCUAUUUGAUAAUACUUCAAAACUUUUUGGGCACUGUUGUCAUCAUAGAAAAAAUUUGGGAACAACAUGGACCAGAAUGCUGAACUUUUAAAAUUGGGAAAAGCCCAAAGCCAGCCGAUUAUAGAGCAGCUAACCGGUUUAUUUUAUAGAGACAAACCAGAGAUCUGUUAGACCUAGUUUGUUUAAAAGCCCCCAACGCAACUUAUCAUAUCAGCAAAGUGGUUUGCCCAUUGUACAUAGAAUUUUUGUUUUAUGUUUCUAACAGUUAGUGCUCUGAAAUUACCCUAUAAAUCAAACUCCAAAUCAUUUUUCAAGAUUGGUUUGAGUUAAAACCUAAUAUUUCUGAAUACUCCUGAGCGUUUACUUGCUUGCCUGUAUAAAUUUAUACAUACUUGAGUUAUCACUUGCUUAUCUAUUAUAUAUUUUUGUGAGGAGUGUGUUCUUUGUAAGGUUCAUUUUAAUUUUUCAAUUGAGUGAUAGUAAGUGUGAGAAACACUUGUUGAAGAGAUAAGGAAUAUAUAUUUCGAAUUUAUAACAAUUCAUUGACGCCUUUAGAAUCAAUUGCACUCAUUUUUUUAGCCUCGGGAUAUGUGGCUUAAUGUAAGUGGAAUUCUCAAGUUUGAAUUGUUUGGAGGCGGGGACGUAGACGGUUUGUCAAAUCAUGUAAAAAUUGUUAUGUUUCCUUUUUCUAUCCUUACCUCUUUAAUUUAUUUGUUGUGUUUGUUGUUGUUAGAUUGUGAUUUUUAUUGUUGGAAAAAUUUUUAAACCCAAUUCACCUAUCAUCUUGGGUUGUUGUUAGGUAAAUUUUCAAUUACAAUAUUGUACAUACAUUAAAUAACUUUAUUUAACUGGUUAUUCAAGUUCCAAAAAAAUUGAUUUGAGCUUUACUUACCCCUCUACCUCUUUAAAAAUUAAAUAAAUAAGUUAUAAACAAGUUGUAAUCUAAACUACAUAUAAAAAAUAUUUAUAGGUAUUAUUCGAAUGGUUAAGGCAGGUGCCGGGUUGUACGUGUACCCCUUGAUUUGUUAGCCAAAAUCAUAUGGCUGAAAUGUGUUGUGUUGAUGAUAAUUUGCUGAAUAUUCUUUCAAAUUAAUAAUAUUUAUUGAUAGAUAAAUUGAAUAAAUUUAUCUGUGAAAAUCCCUCUAAAAAAAUUAUUUUGCUUAGUCCGACGAAGUUGUUCUGUAAUUAUAAGUUAUAUACUCUCUUUCACUUUAUUUAGAAGUAAACACAAAUUAAGAAUUAGGACUCUCUCCUAAACUGAUAUUUUUCUGAGCAAAUUUUAUUAACAUGAUUGGUAGUUAAUAAAUUAAAAAGUAAAUAUAGUUAAAUUAUAAUCACACACUUACACUAAAAUACAAGUUGUACAAGAUUUGUAAAAAAUUAGAAGAGAAUCCUAGUCCCACAAAUUAAAAGAGCCUAAUGCAUUAGUCUAUGUGAAGAAUCAAUCAUUUUAGGGGAAAAAACAAAAAAGGGAAAGAGAAAAGUUUCGGUCAAAGCUUUUAAUAUUCUCUCUUAACUACCCUGCUUUGCAAGAGGGAAAAAAAAUGGGAAGAGAGAAAAUAACUAUGAGAUGGGAAAAAAAUUAUGAACGAAAGAGUUAUUACACUUUAAAUAGAAAGCUAGCUAGCAUAGUGCUGAUGCAAAGACUAGAUGAGGCCAAAUGUUGGCCAUUUUGGAGUUCUUGUUGUCACAGACCGCUCAAAUUUGCCACUAAUGGAGGCUAAUUCCGCGCGCAUGGGUACACUUAGCAAAAGUCCGCCUAAAAGUGGAGUGCGCUUAGAAGCACGGUGUGCUUAGCACAAAAGGCAGGAUGCACUUAGAAGUGGGAUGCGCUUAGAAAUGGGCCGCCAACACAACUAGCCAACUGUGAUGCGCUUAACGAUCAUCCAAGCCCGGCUCGAAUUUUAGAUUUCUCUACAAUUGUAAAUAAGCUAGAACUUUCUAGGUUUGAGCAUUUAAGCCCUUAGGAUUUUUAUGCAAGUUGUAUGGAAAGUUCAAGAACCUAGCACCCAACACCUAUAAAAAGGGGGUAAGCCCUCCUUAUUUGCUCACCACCACACCACACACACAAGCUCUCUAGCUCUUGUAAAAAGCUCUCUUGUAAUUUAUUCUUUAGUGUGUAAUAAAUUUUAUAUUUGGCCAUAUUGCUCUCUUCUCUCUAGCAUUUUUCACAAGUGCUCUUGCUUUGCUAGUUUGAGAAGAAUCGAAAGGCUUACCUAGCAACUUGUGUGCGAGAAGUCGUCUAAGUGUGGCACGGGUUUGCUGCGCAAAACUCUCGUCCCAUGACAAGUGAUAUCAGAGCUAAGGUUUGCAGACACGCAAAUUAGCUCAACGAGCAAUGGCCAACCCUCCUAGCACAACACAAGAGGGCGUAGUCGAUGUGGAGUCACUUGAGCAAAAUUGUGGCCGUGAGGAGGGACUCAUACAAGUUAAGUCUUGUGGCAAGUCCAAGGCCACUUCCGUGGAUGCCUUGGAGCCUCACGUGGCCACGUUCGAAACCUCUAUGUCUGUUGUCUAGGACACCCUCAAUACUUCGGAGGUGUAGGUCGACGGUCUUAAGGGCGAGUAUGGUGAGUUCACGGUAGCCAUCAAGACCUUCAUGCAAGACUAAGCUGACACUUUCUGAGGGGAGUUUGGAGCAUCACAUGAUGAGCUGCUCAACUUGUGUAGCUUCGUGCAAAGUGAGCUAUGAGCGGUCCGUGCAGAGGUCGAUGAAGUUUGCUCAGACUGGGCUUGGCACAAGUAUACACUCACACCUAGCCCGACUUCCACAAGUACAAGUGAUGCGUACCACAUCAACGUGCCAAAGCUUGACACCUACGAUGGUGCACUCAAUGCCACUAUAGUGGACAACUUCUUAUUUGGACUAGAGCAAUAUUUCGAUGCCAUGGGUGUUUGUAAUGAAACAUUGAAAAUAAGCACUGCACCUACAUUCCUUCAAGGCACCGCGCCUAUAUUCCUUUGAGGCACUGCACAACUAUAGUAGCGGCAGAUGCAUGGCGAGAUAGGCAAAAGCAUAUGCGCCAUCAACACAUGGGUUGAGUUCCAACGCGAACUCUGCGAGUACUUUACCCCAAGCAACCCAGAGAAGAAAGCACGAGCGCGCCUUCAUCAGCUUAAGCAAAUGGGUAGCGUCCACAAUUACUCCGCCCAACCCAAGGAUAAGAGGCCCAGCCAUGGUAAAGGUGGGGGAAAUGGCCGGAAGAACAAGGACCACAAUCGGAAAGAUUGAGGGCAGAAAAAGCCUCUAAAUCGCAAGAGUAGGUAAAGUAAAUCAGAAAAACAAUCACCCAAACCUUAAAGCCUAUGCUUCAUAUGUAAUGGUUCGCAUUGGGUACAUGACUGUUUGAAAAAGAAGUUGUUUAAUACUCUAGCGGCACAACUUAAGGACCACUUCACACCGUCAACGGAGGAACCCAACACAGCAUGGGUACCCUCCAAUGCCUCGGCGCACUCAAGAGCCACCUGCUAGCACCCACCAAUAAAUGACUCAUGUUCGUGAGUGCGACCAUCAAUGGCCAAGCCAUGUAUGCCUUGCUCGACACUGGAGCGACACACAACUUUAUUUCGAAAGAUGAGGCCAAGCACCUAGGCCUCGAGGUGACGAAGGAAGGAGGCACCAUGAAGGUGGUAAACUCACCCGCCAAACGCAUCACGAGCACUACAUAAGGUGUGCGCGUAACACUCGUAACAUGGAGCGGAAAGCUCGAUUUCUCUAUCGUGCCUAUGGAUGACUUCAAGAUGGUUCGUGUCAUGAAAUUCUUUGAUUAAGUUCAUGCUUUCCACUACCAGCCACAAACUCCCUAAGCAUCAUCAACAGGAGUAUAGAGUGUAUAAUUCCGACCGAGCAAUCCAAGACCGCAGAUAAGACGCUCUCGGCCAUGCAAUUCAAGAAGGGUUUCCGAAAUGACCCAAUUUUCUUGGUCUCUAUCUGGGAGUUGAAUAAUGAAGAAGAUUGCGGAGACUCACCAAGCCAAGUCUCUUCGCUUAUCCAAAGAGUCCUCAACAAAUUCAAAGACGUCAUGCCUCCGGAGUUACCGAAGAAGCUCCCAUCAAGACGUGAGGUGGAUCAUGAGAUCGGGCUAGAAUAAGGUCUAAAACCUCUAGCCUUGGCGCCCUACUGCAUGGCGUCACCCGAACUCGAAGAGUUGCAGAGACAACUCAAAGACUUACUGGACGCGGGCUACAUCCACCCAUCGAAGGUUCCAUUCAGUGCACUCGUGCUCUUCCAAAAGAAGAAAGAUGGAUCGCUGCGAAUGUGCAUUAACUAUCGGGCACUCAACAAGAUUACAAUCAAGAACAAAUAUCUGAUCCCUUUGAUCGCGGAUUUGUUUGAUCAACUUGGCAAAGCACGUUACUUCACCAAGCUCGACUUGCGGUUCGAAUACUACCAAGUGCACAUAGCUAAGGGAGAUGAGCCAAAGAUAGCAUGCGUAACUAGGUAUGAAUCUUUUGAAUUCCUUGUUAUGUCAUUUGGCAUCACCAAUGCACUAGCCACAUUUAUACGUUUAUGAACAAAGUUCUCCAAUAUUUCCUCGACCACUUCUUCGUCGUGUACUUGGAUGACAUCGUGGUGUAUAGCACCACACUUAAAGAACAUGUCAAACACUUGCGGCAAGUCCUCCAAGUAUUAUACGACAACGAGCUCUACCUCAAAAUGGAGAAGUGCUCAUCGUUCAACGAGAGGUAGAGUUCCUUGGCCACAAGAUAGCGGACAGGAAACUUAUGAUGGAGAACUCGAAAGUAAAGGCCAUUCUCGAGUGGGAAUAUCCUACCAAAGUACCUAAACUCCGGUCUUUUCUCGAGCUAAUGAAUUAUUACCGUCACUUCAUCAAGGGAUAUUCGACCAAAGUGGUACCUUUGACCAAUUUACUUAAGAAGAAUCGAGAAUGAUAUUGGUCAGAAGAGUGCCAAUACACAUUCAAGGAGUUGAAGAAAACUAUCUCCAAGGAACUCGUCCUCAUUCUUCUAGAUCACACCAAACCAUUCGAGGCUCAAACGGAUGCCUCCGACGCCACCAUUAGUAAAUCCUCAUGCAAGAAGGCCACUUUAUAGCACUCGAGAGUUAAUUGAAGGCUUAAUGAUACGGAACGCCGCUAUACUGUGCAAGAAAAAGAAAUGAUUGCAAUUGUCCAUUGCCUACGCGUGUGGCGACACUACUUGCUUAGGUCACAUUUAAUGAUCUUAACGGAUAACAUAGUCACAAGCUAUUUCCAAACACAAAAGAAGUUGUUCCCUAAGCAAGCAAAGUGGCAAGACUUCCUUGAGGAAUUCGAUUACCGACUCGAGUACAAGCCCAGAAAAGCCAAUGUCAUUGCGGAUGCCCUAAGUUGCAAAGUGGAGUUGGCGACUCUUAGCAUGAGCCAACCAAAGUCCGACUUUGUCACACACAUUAAGAAAUGCCUCCAAUAAGACACCCUAGCGAAAUACUUAUUGAGGAAAUUUCUUAAGGGCAAGACAAGGCGAUUUUGGCAAGAGGAAAACAUCAUUCUCACCAAAUGUGACCGACUCUUCGUGUCUAGGUGGGGAAAUUUAUGAUGAGAAGUAAUCAAAGUGUGCCACGACUCGAAGUGGGCUGCCCACCCCAGAGUAAAGCGCACGACCGUACUAGUCCAAGCCUCAUAAUUUUGGCCACACAUGAGAGACGACAUCGAGGCUUAUGUGUAUACUUGUCUUGUAUGCCAACAAGACAAGACGAAUCACCAACUUGCAAUAAGAUUGUUGGAGCCCUUGUCAAUAGCAUCAAGGCCAUGGGAAAGUGUCACCAUAGACUUCAUCUCGGCCUUACCCAAGUUUGAGGAGUGCGAAAGCAUCAUGGUCCUGGUCGACCGCUACAGCAAGUACACAACUUUUAUCGUCGUACCGACCAAUUGCAAAGCGGAUAAAGUUGCCUGGCUCUUCAUCAAACAUGUUGUGAAACUGUGGGGAGUUUCGAAAACAUUGUGAACGAUCGAGGGCCAUGAUUCACUGACCGUUUUUGGACGGAGCUCUUCAAGAUGUUGAGAACCGACCUCAAGUUCUCAUCAACCUUCCACCCACAAACGGAUGGGCAAACUGAGCGUAUCAGUAGCCUCCUCGAGAUGUAUUUGAGGCACUAUGUAAGCGCUCACAAGCGAGAUUGGGCCAAGUUAUUGGAUAUUGCCCAAUUCUCAUACAACCUACAACGCAGCGAGGCUAUCGGUAAGAGUCCAUUCAAAAUCAUCUUGGGAUUCCAACCCAUGAUGCCAAACACCAUAGUCUUGACAUAUGGAGAAAAAAGCCCAGUGGCUCACAAGCUCGCCCGCGAGUGGCACAAGGAAGCGGACAUCAUGUGAGCCUACCUCGACAAAGCCGCACGGAGGAUGAAUAAAUAGGCUGAUUCGAAAAGACGCCACGUCAAAUACAAGGAAGGCGAUCAAGUAAUGGUGAAGCUCAUACCCCAACAAUUCAAGACUUUACAGAAAGUUCACAAAGGGUUAGUGAGGUGUUACGAAGAGCCUUUCCGAGUUGUCCAACGUGUGGGUAAAGUCUCAUACCAACUCCAACUUUUGUCAAGACUCAAGAUUCAUCUGGUCUUCCACGUGAGUCUACUUAAGCCAUAUCAUAGGGAUGCGGAAGAACCAAACCGCGAAGAGUUAAGACGUGCCCAAAUUGUCGUUGUCACUGCGUAUGACAAGGAUGUGGAGUACAUUUUUGCCAAUCGAGUAAUUCGAAAAAAGGGCAUACCGACAUACAACGAGUACUUGGUGAAGUGGAGAAACCUCCUCGAGAGUGAAGCCACGUGGGAACGCGUAGACGACCUAUGGCAAUUCACAGAGCAUGUCCAAAACUACCAGCACGAGAAUGCAAUGAGGAUGCCGUGAGCAGAAGUGGGGGAAAAUUUUCACGAGCUGCUCAAAUUUGCCACCAACGGAAGCUAAUUCCGCGUGCACAUGUACACUUAGCAAAAGUCCGCCUUAGAAGCGGGUUGCACUUAACACAAAAGGUUGGAUGCACUUAAAAGUGAAAUGUGCUUAGAAAUGGGACGCUAACACAAUUAGCCAACCGUGGUGCACUUAGCGAUCAUUCAAGCCCAGCUUGAAUUCUAAAUUUCUCUACAAACUACAAUUGUAAAUAAGCUAGAACUUUCUAAGCUUGAGCAUUUAAGUCUCUAGGAUAUUUAUGCAAGUUGCAUGGAAAGUUCAAAAACCUAGCACCCAACACCUAUAAAAAGGGGUGAGCCCUCCUCAUUUUCUCACCACCACACCACACACAAAAGCUCUCUAGCUCUUGUAAAAAGCACUCUUGUAAUUUAUUCUUUAGUGUGUAACAAAAUAUAUAUUUGGCCAUAUUGUUCUCUUGUCUCUAGCAUUUUCCGUAAGUGUUCUUACUUUGCUAGUUUGAGAAGAAUCAAAAGGCUUACUUAACGACUCAUGUGCUAGAAGUCGUCUAAGUGCCGCAUAGGUUUGUUGUGCAAAACUCUCGUCCUGUGACAUUAUGGUCGGAUAUUAGAAUACUAGUUUUUUAUGAGUGCAACACAGAACCUUGGUGCUUAUAUAUUGAUAUAUAUAUUCAAAUAAAGAAUCUUUUAUGAUUUAGGAUUAAUAUGGUAAUGUUGUAAUUUUUAAAAUAAUUAUUGUUAGUUGUACUAUAGAAAUAAUCAAUUGUUGAAAAAAAUUAGUUAAGUAUUUGGUAAAAUUUAUUUUUUAGAAGUGCUUUAAGUUUUAAAAGUAAUAAUAUGUGUUUGGUAAAUCUUACCGUUAACCUACUGUAAGAGUACAAAUGAAUAAAAUAAAUAUAAUGUUUAAUAAAAAAAUUUACAUAUAUAAUUUUUUGUUGUAUAUAUACAAUAAUUGAUAACUAAAAUAAUUUUUUUGUUAAUUUUUUUUUAUUUUUUAUAUUAAUAUAAUUGGUGAUAAUAUUCUCUUUAAAAUUAAUAAUUUUAUUUUCCAAUUGAAUAAGGAUAUUUUGGAAUUUUUUAAUAUAUGUAAGGAUAUAUAUGAAAUUUUAUUUAUCAUAAAACUGAUUCUUAAAAUCAAAAUUUGAAAAGCUACUUUUUUCCUAUUUUUCAAAAUUUGCUAUAACUGAAUGAUUUUGCCAAAAAUAAUUUUUUAAAAAAUUACCUUUUAACUUUUUAAAAUUACUUUUAAACCUUUGAAAAGCAAUCCUAAAUGAGCCCCUAAUAUUUUUCUACAAAUAAAUACUUAUUGUACCCACUAUUAAAAUUUAAAAAUUAAAUUUAUGCUCUACACACUCGAAUACUAAAGCUAAACUUUUAAACCAAUUCCCUAUGUUAAUAAAAAAAUUUAAACAAACUCAUUUAGCUAAUUACAACCCCAUAAUAAAUAAGUAAAUCAUAACUAUACACGAUUAAAAAUGUACAUAUGUCAAAAGAUCUUUCAAACUUUAAAUUAGCUAUCACGAGAAGACUGUUAUUCAAUGUUUUCGAACUUUAUACUCAUUUUUAUAAUUACUAAUUUGUACAAUUAAUUAAUUAUAUCAUUCUUUCAUUUUUUUUUUAUUAAUUCAUAUCUCUUUGCCAUGUUUAAUCUAAGAUUGCAUGAAUAAUAUAUAACUAAGCUAUGUUUAUUUUAACAUUUUAAGGCAUAAGUAUGGAAGUACCCAAAAAAUAUUUUAAAUUCAAUAAUUUUUUAUUUUAAUUUUAUACCAAAUUAUUUCUAAAUGAUUUAUUGGUAAUUAAUACGUUAUUAGUAUGAAUACCAACUCUUACUGGUUGAAGUAUACAAGUGACCACAAGUCAAUGGAAAAGGAGCAACAAUCUUGGAAUACCCAAGACUUUUUCCAUACAUAUUCCUAAAUUAAUUAUUUUGACAUAGUAACGAAUUUUUUUUUUCAAUUUGAUCAUUUUAUGUUAUAAGGGUAAAUAGUCAAAUUGAAUCUACAUUAAGGCAAAUUUAGUGAUAGGAUAUGAUCCAUAUUUUAUGUACCAUGUAUGCUCCCUAUUUUAUGUAAAUUUGUUAUUGGAAUUAGUUCCCUCCGGAUAAACAAUUAGGCACCGGUAAUUUUCUUUCAAAUACUUUCAAGUACUUGAUUCUCUGUUUGCUGUGUAUGAGUGAAUAUUAUCAUGAUUGGUUGAAGUAUACAAGUGACCAUGAGUAAAUGGAAAAGGAGUAACAAUCUUGGAAUACCCAAGACUUUUUCCAUACAUAUUCCUAAAUUAAUAAUUUUGACAUAGUAACGAUUUUUUUUAUUUGAUCAUUUUAAGUUAUAAGGGUAAAUAGUCAAAUUGAAUCUACAUUAAAACAAAUUUAGUGAUAAGAUAUGGUCCAUAUUUUAUGUACCUUGUAUGCUCCCUAUUUUAUGUAAAUUUGUUAUUAGAAUUAGUUCCCUCCGGAUAAACAAUUAGGCGCCAGCAUUUUUCUUUCAAGUACUUUAUAAUCCAUGCAUGCAUGAAUUCUUUUAUUUACUUCAAAAUAUUGAUAACUCGAACAAACGUGGAGGAACGAAUAAUGUACAAACACAGAGACAUACUAAUAUGGUUGAUUGAAGUAUGACAGUAAGAGAACAUUAAACAAAAUAACAAAACAAAAGGCAAAUAAUCACUAAGAACUGUAAAGCAUCCAUAUUGCAUGCCUUCGUUCCUGAUAUAUAAGCCUUAUUUGAGAAACGAAACUGUUGCGGCUUUAUACUUUCAUAACCUGCAAACCAAGGGGUUUAAAAAAAGAUAACAUAAAUAUAAGUGGAUAAGAAAAAUAAGUAGAAAUAAAUUACACAAGAAAAAUUAUAAAACUAAUAAAGGUUUCCGCGAAGCAUACAUUUAUUUGCUCCAAGUAUAAACAGUGACUUGUUUAGUAGUAAGGUGGUGGAGGUGACUUAUAGAUGUACGGAGGGGGUGGGGAAUUGUAAACAUAAGGAGGUGGAGGUGGAGAUUUGUACAUAUACGGAGGAGGUGGUGGGGACUUGUACACAUACGGAGGAGGUGGUGGGGACUUGUACACAUACGGAGGAGGUGGUGGGGACUUGUACACAUACGGAGGAGGUGGUGGGGACUUGUACACAUACGGAGGAGGUGGUGGGGACUUGUACACGUGGUGGGGACUUGUACACAUACGGAGGAGGUGGUGGGGACUUGUACACAUACGGAGGAGGUGGUGGGGACUUGUACACAUACGGAGGAGGUGGUGGGGACUUGUACACAUAUGGAGGAGGUGGGGACUUGUAGAGAUAUGGUGGUGGGGACAUAUAGACAUAAGGUGGUGGUGGUGGAGACUUGUAGACGUAUGGUGGAGGAGGUGACUUGUAUAUGUAUGGAGGUGGAGGUGACAUGUAGACGUAAGGAGGAGAAGGUGAUGGUGAUGGCGAUGUGUAGACAUAAGGUGGAAGAGAUUUAUGAUCGCGUCCAUAAGGUGGCUUGUAAGAAUAAGGCGGCGGGGACAUGUAAACAUACGGUGGUGGAGGCGGUGGCGACUUAUACAUGUAGGGUGGUGGAGUGUAUGUUGGUGGAGCAUAAGUGUAUGGCAUGCCGUUGUCUGCAGCUACAUGAGUUGCAACAAAGCAUAAUACCAAUGCAUAGACUAGAUGUGGCCAAAUAUUGACCAUUUUCGCUAUCAUUUUGAUGACCUUGAAAAUCCCAGCGAGAGUGCUAAGAGCUUUAUUUCUUCGAUACUAGAGGAUCACUUUUGAAUGAACAUGGCAUAGAAACACGCAGUUUAUAUAGUCAGUUAACCCAUUUUUUUAAUAGAGCAUGAAGUUUCCUCUCCAACAAAUCCAAUUAUUUUACCCUCACACUCUUCUUUUUAAUAUGUUACUGACAUUAUCGGAUCUCACCAAGUCAUUGCAGUUCUCCUUUCUGAAUUCUAAAACAUUCAAAGUUGUGGGUUAAUUUCGAAUUAGUCCUUUAUAAAUUGAUUAUUUUUAAAUUAUCUCUUAUUUUUUAAAAUUUUAAUUUACUCUAUUUUUAUUAGGAUGACUUAAAAAAAAAUCAACCCAUCUCAUUUUUUUCUUAUUUUUUAAAAUAAAAAUGAAAUAAUUUGAAACUUUUAAAAGUAGAGAGAGUGAUUUAAAAAUACUCAAUUCAUGAGGGGGUAAUUUAAAAUUUAUCCUAAAUUAUAUUAUAGUAACUAUAGUCAAUAAUCAAUUAAAAAUAAAAAUAGAUAAAACUCCACCCAAAGAGAUCAAAUUGCAAGAAAGAGCAGUUAUGAUCUGGGGUUCCUGAGAAAAUUUCCAAGGUGACUUUUUGUCUCAUGACAACUAAUUGGCUGGUGCUUAUUGUAAAGGGUAAAUUAAUUCAUUGAAUUGAUCUGUUAAGAACCUACCCUCAAUAGCUAUUUCAAAACUCAGUCAUAUUAUUUCUUAUUACCGAUAUUAAAUUAUAAAGAACGGUGAACAUUUGGAGAAACAACACAGAUAGCAUUUAUCAUUUUCAGGUUUAAAACUAGCUAACUAAAUCACAACGCCAAAUAUCAAUAUUUUUUUUCUAACAUGAUUUGAUCGAAGGAAAAGACUUCAACGCAGAUUUCUCUAUUUUUUUUUAAAUGUAGAUUUUACAGUUAUAUAAUGUUAUUUGUAGUUUUUGCAUUGAUUAAAAUUUAUAUUUUUAUAAAAAUGAGAUGCUACGACUAUCUCACUUAUUUGAUCUCUCAAACUCGAACCACGUCUCAUUAGCUGUAGAAUUAAUAUAAAUUCAAAUUAUAGAAAGAAUGAUGAAAAAGCCUUUUGAAAAUACAAUUAAGAAAAGGGAAAAAAAAAUUAUAUGGUGGCUUUACCACAUAAUUCUUAAUUCAAUUUAUCUUGGAUCAAGUCAUAACGUGUAUGUUUGGUGUACGUUACAUUUGACAUUUUCCAUGUUUAGGUACUGAAGAAAUUAAUUAAGCAUGUAAGCACCAAUCAAUUAGCAAAUUAACUCAGAAUAUAAUUUAAAAACUGAAUUGUGAAUAAACAAACAGUACUGAUUGGUCUGAAGCAGUCAAAAUCACAGAUUCUAGUUAAUUUGUUGCUUCUUCAUUUAUGAAAUAUAAAACAAAUUUAACGUCGUUGAAAUUAGUUUGCCAACUUUUUAAUAAUAUGACGAUGCACCGAUUAUUGAAUAUCUUACUCUUGAAGUACCGUAAUUAGAUCCGGACUCAUCAUUUUCUAGCCACAUAUGCCAAAUUGUCUUGUUCUUGGCUGUAGAAUUACCAUUUAUAACUCAUCAGCAAUGUUACAUCAUUUAUGAAUAUUCAACUUCAGAAAUUAGUAGAGCGAAAAGGCUUAUUUGUAGAUAUUCGUCUCUUAGUACAAAUAGUUGGAUUUUCACGAAAUAUUUUUUAUCGUUUAUGUAUAGGUAUGCUUUUACAAAUUAUCGUGAACGAUUUUUUUUUUCUUUUUUGGGUAAUAGCAAUUCUUACAAUAAUAAUAAUAAUAACAAUAAUAAUCUAACUACGGUAUAUUAAGGUUAUUAUACCCCAACUUGCACACCAUUAAAUGUUUAGAUUUUGCUGACUUUCUAAACAUUUGAUGAUACUCAGAUUAUGAGGUAUGGUAUUUCUAAGAUACAGAUAUAGUAUCCUGAGGAUACUAAAUUUACGGCAAAAAAUUAAAACAACAAUAAUAAUACAUGGAUUUAGAGCAUCUAUAAGCUUAUUCUAGAUGUGUUAUUGUUUUUAACUGCUACCAGGAAGGAACUGGAAGUAAAUGAUCUCCACGUCUGUUGAUGUCGAAAAACGACCUCAACAGCUGAAUUUGUUUCUUUUGGGGAAUUACAGCGCAAAUCCAAGCUCAAUCGCCAAUAUGACCGUAAUUUUCUGUACCUGUCAAUCAGAAAACACGGUUAGGAUACGCCGAUGGGGUCCUGGCGCAGACCCUCCGAUGCUUAAAUCAGAAAUUGUGUAUAAAGAGAUAAAAAAGAAAGAGAAGAAUUGUGAAUGAGUUCAAAAUAAAGGAAUUUUCCAAUAGAGAAACCCAAAAUCUGGUAGGGAAUGUUAAGGCUCUUAGAUAGGUCACUUGUAGAGUUUUUGGUUCAUUUUUGCUAACCCCUUCACCUGAUGCGCUCUUUAGUUUAAAUAGACUCUUAGUCGUAUACGGUUACCUCCUUAACUUCAGCCCACUUUCUUCAGCAGUUGCAAGUGGUUGUCAGUUGGAGGUGGUUUAAAUAGAUCAUGGCAUACAACUUCCCUAUAAAUUAGGCCACGUUUUCUUAACUAGCAAUUUUUCAUGUCAAGCUAAUUCUCAGGUCGGACGAGAGAAUUUCAAGGUCAGAUUACUUCACUUUCAGAUCAGACGGAUGAAUUUCUCAGUUGCUCAUAUAGCGUUGAAGUUGUACUCUUAACUUAGGUCAUUCACAUAGAUCUUAGGUCGUACUUGUAAACCAAGUCGCCAACAUAGGCUGCAGGUUGCACUUAUGAGGUCAGCUCAACAACAAUAAGUUCUGAGUACAUUAGGAUCGACUAUAUUUUAAGACACUAUCAGAAAAUCCAACCCAAACACCAGUCCCCUAGUUUUCAAUACCGAAAAGUCAUUGCCGGUGUUGGAAACUAGUAGAAAAAUUUUCUCAAAACCCAACACCUCAUUGAUAAAACUUGAAAACAAGAAGGGAAAAGUUUAGAGAACAAGUCAAUCGGCUUAUGAAUUUUUUUUUCAUUGAUUAAAAACUUUUUUAUUGCACAAUUUUCUCCAUCUAACUGUAAAUUUGUCAAUUCUAAAGAGUAUUUAAUAAGGGAAAUUGUUAUUUUCUCCUUUACUAAAACCAAUACAUACUAGUUACUAAAAAUUUUCAUAAUAACCAAUAAUUCCCUUGCCGACAUAAUUUUAUAGUAUUACCUUUAUUUUUAAAUUCACUUUUAUUCAUACCUACUGUAAAUUAAAUAAGUCAUAUAAUUAAAAAUUAAAAUUAAAAAAAACUGAAGUACUAAAGAUAAGAAAUAUAUGUUCACUAUGAAAAAAAAUUAAUAAUGAGAUAUUUUCUUAUAAUUUUUUGUUAUUUUUUAAACACUUUUCUUAUAAUAAAUUUAUAUUUUGUUUUCUAAGAUAAACCACCAAGUAAAUUACAUAUUUACCCCUCUUUUCCUUUAAAAUUUUUAUGUUAGGAAAUUUUUUAAUAUUAUAAAAAUAAUAAAGAAAAAAAUGAUAUAUAUUAAUUUCAUUAAGGGAAAACUAACAAUUUCCUUAUUUAACAAUUUCCGCAAUGAACUGUUACACCAACUGUUGAGCAUCUGAAUUCAAACAUUUGGGAAAGGAAAACGGCAGCGUUUUCUUAAUGUUUGAGUUGCUAUGAAGUCACGUGAAGGAAGCAUGAUCACUUAAACUAGAAACGGCAACUGAAGCUAUCGUUUUGGCUGUGUUUAAUUCCUAAUCGUCACCAUUCUCCUUCUCCUGCACAAAGCCAGGGAACAAAAAAAUGCAAAUUGAAUAAACAAUUUCAACAUAGAUAGCAUAAUUAUCCGCAGAAGAAUCACAACGUUUCAUACAAAACCUCUUCACAAUUUCCUUCAUCUUCCUCCUCAUCAAUCUCCUCAGACAUUGAUGUUUCAGACUCCUCUUCAUCCUCUGAUGUCGCAGGGAAUUCAAUCUAAUUUUACCAUAACAAAAACAAAGACAACAAAUAGUUUAAACAACCAAUAAAAACACUUUUUACAUAAAUAACACAACUAGUUGCCAAAAAAAAAAAGUUAUUAAACGAACCUCUUUGCUGCCUUCUCCAUCUUCCUCGUGGUCAGUCUCCUCCGACGUUGAUGUCUCAGACUCCCCUGAGUCCUCUAUCUUAGGACGCUUAGCCUGAUAUUACCGAUGACUCAGAUUACUGACAGAGCAAGACAGCUUAGUGAACAAGUUAUCCACUGAAACAAAAAGGAAGAUAGCUUAAUGAAUCGAUGCAUAUAUACCAUUUUUUCGUGUAACUGCUGUAUGGUUGUAUUCACGUCACCUGCCCAACACGCUUCAUUCAGUUCCAAGUUUUGCACAUCCCAUAAUCUCGGUGUCUUUAAAACUCCUGCAGAGAAAGUCUUCAUGUUGGGGCAUUUGAUCACCAUUAGAUCCUCCAAGCAUGGGAAAUUGAAGGCAUAAUUAGCGCCGGAGCAGAAACUUCUCAGGCUCUCUAAACUUUCAAGAAACAACUCCUUCAAUUUGUUGAAAACAAUUUCAACUUUUACCACGUCUCCCUGAUCACUUGCUAUUACUUCAGUAACCAUUUUGCACUUCGAUAUUGUCAUUUUUCUCAGUUGCACCAGACACUUCGCUGUUGGGGAUGUUACUACGCUUACUAGUCUUUCGCAGUCGCACACUUCCAAAACUGUUAGAUUUCGGAAAGAUGCUCGGGAUGGAACCAAAUUCAUCAUAUUGCCACAAUACUUAAUCUCUAGAAUUUCAAGAUUUUGAAGCAUUAAGUCCAGUUUGGAAUCUUGUUUCCACAUAUGAGUCAGAUCCGAGAGUUUAUUUAGCUUCAAGGUUUUUAUAUGUGUGAGCCUUCCAGCAUGUUCUUCAACCUCUUCAGAGGAACAAAUUUCUUUGUAUGAACCAUAACUCAGUACAAGCUUUUCAAGAUUGCGAGCUCUCUGAAGCAAGCCAAGUGGAAAAACAGCUGAUUCAUCAUCAUACGAGACAUUAAGGACUUUGAGCUUGCUCAAAAGAUGUUCUAGAAAAUGGUCCUGCCAUAUCAUGGUGAUGUCCUUUUUGCUUAAUGACAAUUCCUCCAAGUUUCGGAAGACCUAGUGACCAAGCAGAAAAAGGCCAGCAGGAGUUGGUCUUCCAUCAGACAAUUGCACAGAACAGAUAAAAUCUUAUAAAACAAAUGAAAAAUGAGCAUCAUACCUGAUCAUCAAAGAAGUGGGGUUGUUCUGCUGGGAUCCCUUUUAUUUCCUCAAAGCUAAUAUGUUCUGGCACGAAUAUACUUACUUUGUCACAACCAUAUGCUUUCAACUUUUUUAACACCGGCCAUUCUAAAGUAUACAUUCCAUGGUAGAAAGUUCUAAGAUGUGGAAGUUCGCAGAGUGUGAGCGAGAUUAAACUGGGAAAGACAAACCCAACAGUUGCUUCGGCUCUUCCUUCCUUGGCAACAAUCUCCUCCAC
RNAcentral lists this long non-coding RNA (103444 nucleotides) under Citrus sinensis (sweet orange). RNAcentral describes it as "long non-coding RNA (CSIN_LNC000969)". Lineage: Eukaryota; Viridiplantae; Streptophyta; Magnoliopsida; Sapindales; Rutaceae. The record is from RNAcentral.